AAAGAGAUGUCAUUAGGGAUGAACUAGGGGCUAUGCAUGGUGUUGUUGUUCCGAAGAGUGGGUUUAAUGCAGAGCGUGUCAAUACUCAAUAGAGGCCUUUGUUAUUCUUGUCUGAUGAUGUAGUAUUUGUCCUCGGUUGAAUUUGUUAUGGUGGUGGUGGUGGCUGUGUUAUGAUGCCCCUGGUCUGGCUUUUAUUGGCCCUUGUGCAUAGGGGUUUCGGCUGUAAUCAUCUCAAUUACACUUGUUCGCCCUUUCUCUCCCGCUCUCUCGCUUUCUGUUAAUUAUAUUAUUUGCUAGAGGACCGUAUUUUGAACUUUGAAGAAAAUUUACUACUGUUAAAAAGGCUUUUGUAUAUAUCUCAAUCCAAAGCUUCACAAACAUUUGAAUGAGCAUUUCUCACUUAAGCACAUCAUUGUAAAUAAUGCAUUGGUAUUGAAUGUAUGAUCAGAGAAACUACUUGUGUUGUGCAACCUUUGGGACGGUGAUCGAUGUGGGAAACCCCCCUCCCCCACCCCACCCCCCCAAAAAACAAGUAUAAAAAAAAAAAAAUGAAGAGGAAAAGGAUCACCUGCUGUCACUUCCUGUGGACAUAUAUGCUGUGGUUACCAACUGAAUGGUGGUGUUUGGCGCGAAGCCGGAGCAGUAGUUUGGCUAACACAUUGUAAUUGUUUUUGUUCUCAAUUAGUUUUAAAUAGAUUUUUAUUAUUGAAAAAUGGGAAAGCCCUUUUUGAAAAUUAUUAUUAAGAACUGAUUUGGAAAAUAUUUUCUAAGGCCUUCACCUCCCUUCAGUUUUAUGAAUUUUUGAUGGUAAAAAUGAAACUUGUUCAUUUCCAUUUUUGUUUUUCAAAAUUUAGAAAUAAAAAGUGGAAGUGAAGCAAAACUAAUCUCGAAAAUAUUUAAACAACAGUCGUUGCAUUUAAAAGCUACAGGAGACAUGAAAACAAAAUGUAUGUGCAUUGUUUUUGUAAAUAUGAAAAUAUUUUCCUUGUUUCCACCGUCAAACAUUACGCUCCCCAUUGUCCUUUUCGUUUCGUUAAAAGAAAAAACGAAAAAAAGAAGUUUGCAAAUUGUAAGUUUCCUAAAAAGGCUAAAAGGCUGAGGGUUCCGCGUGAAAUUUUCGUUAAAAGGCGCGAAGCGGAGAAACGGGGUUCAGAAACGCCGACUGUGGACUGUGGAGGAGGGUAAAGCGGGAGCGGAGAAUCCAACACUAAUAUUCGGCCUAAAUUCUCCCACUCGCAUGGAUGGAGUCUUUGCUACAGAGAUACCGUCGCGAUCGUCGCAAGCUUCUUGAUUUCAUCUUAUCGUCAGCUUCCAUACAUCAAAUUCCAACCUCAUCUGCUCCUACUGCCAAUGUUUCUGACAGUGAUCUUGAUGUCGUCAGUGCUGAUUACGUCCUCGAUUGCCUCAAAUCCGGUUAGUAGGAUUCAUUUCUCCCUCGUUUGGUUUCCGGGAAAGCUGCAGGACAAUAAAUUAUGAUGUGUCGUGUUUUUUUUUUCAUUUUUUUUCCCUUUAAUUGUUCUCUUCCUUCUCGUUAUAGCCAAUUUUAAUUAUCCGAGCUGGAUAGUGUAACACAAGCUUGAUUGAGAUUUUUUUUUUUCUCGUUUCUUUCAACGGUUGGUUUCGCAUUUCAUUUUCUUUGGAUCUCUUAAAACUCAAACUGCGUUUCUUGUCCUGGAAAUGAAAAGGACAACACUGAACUCUUUCAAAUCUGUGUGCAUGUUUUUUUCAUCAAGAAAAGGAAAGUUGAGCUAAUCUAAGUUACACAAUGGUGAACAGAGACCUGAUCUGAGUUGAUUUUUGAAUGUAACUGAAACAAUAAAACACAAUUAUUUACUUGGAUGAUGGCAAAACUACGGGGAAGUGAGGAGUGCUGUUUGUAGAAAACAGUAUUCUGGAUACAAGUGGGGGCUGACGGCAGAGCUGCUUUAGGGAGUGCUAUUUGUAGGAAAACAGUAUUCUAACAGUUUCCCAGGUAAAUGCGGCGAAACUUAUGUAGCGUAUAGAAAUAGCAAAGGCUAAUCAAUAUAGAGUUGACAUUUUCCAAGUACUCCAAGUAAAUGGGUGAAGAGUUGCAGAGAUUUCUGUGACAAGGUUAGCAUAACUUCAAUCCCUUUAUUCUUAAAAAUUUGCAUGGAAUGGCUCAUCAAUCCAAUUCUGGAUGAGCAAGAAGAAGCAACAUCUGAAUUCUUUCUUAAGCAUUACCGACAGUAUUGCUUUAACUUUCUGGUUGUGUGAUAGGUUUAUUUUUUCUUUCUUCAUUUGUUCUCUUUUUCUUUUCUCAGCUGAAGAAAGGAUUUUAUAUAAUUAUUUUAUUUUCGCUCUCUUAGAAAUCAUUUGAAACGUUCUUGUCCUUGUCCUGUUCUCUUUGAACGUUCUAAUUAUGUAAGGUGAUAUUAUCUUGUUAUCAGGUGGGGUGGUUGAUAUCUCGGAAGCAACUAAAAGGUAUUAUGAAGAAUCAGCUCGUCCAGUAAUGGUAAGGAGAGAUGCAUUGAUUCUCUAAUUUCUCCGAACUUCAUAGUUUGGUUGUUCCAGCGAACAGUUUAAAAAAAUUUAGAAUUAUGGUUCUCACAAGAUACACUCUAUUUUCGUUCUGUGGAAUUUGUUUGGAAUUGAAGUACCAGAUUGAUUAACAGAUUCCUAAUGCAGUCUUCAUUUUUUAGACUUCAAAUUUCUUAUAGAUAUUUUUAGUCUUCGAUCCUUUCCCCUGAUGAUUCUUGUUUGAUUCAUUUUGUUGAAAUUUGUGGUUUUGAUCUUACAAGUAUGAUCUUUCUUGAAGGUGUUUAGAGAGCUGUAAUAAGAGUUGGCAUGUUUCCUGAAUCUCCCUUUUCACUUAUCAAUACAUGUUUGUUGAUCUCUCUGAGUGGAUAAGUGCUAAAAAUGGGUUCCUUUUUGCAGAUUCAUUCUCAAUUAGGGGAUUCCUAUUUUCUUUCUUCAGAUCCAGAUUUGGCUGAAUCUCCUCCUCGGCGCCUGCCUCCUCGAAUCCAUGUGAAUCAGAGCAGUAAUCAUUCAUCUUCUUCAUCUGAGAACAUUGCAAUGUCCGGGGAUGGCCAUGACCUUAAGUAUACUACCACAACAUCUACCCCUUUGAAGCCUGUAGAAAAUCUAAAUAUUUUUUCAUUAGGAUUACCUAUCCUGAAUACAGGUAUCAGUUGUUCAAUUUGAUUUUCUUGUGAGUUUUAGUGUGAUAGAAAGCUUCUACCUUUAGCAGUCCAACCACUAAUUACGCAUCUUGUUUCUUAAUGUUAUCUGGUUGUUCUGUUUCAUUUUUUUUUUGUUAAUUUGUUUCCUAAGCCUGGAGGUUUCAUCUGUUGAGUAAACUGAUACAUAGCUUUAGGGUUGUUGAAGGAUUGUCGGAUGAUGAUUUGCGGGAAUCAGCUUAUGAAAUAAUGCUUGCAUCCAUAGUAUUUUCUGGGUAAUACCUCUCUCCUUCUCUCCUUCCAAUGCUCCCUAUCUGCUUGCCUCAUUCUAGUUUAUCCACCUCUUAAUCUGACAAGCACUUAGGUCUCUUUCUCUCUUUUGCUUAAUAAUCUAUUUCUUUUUCUCUUUGCACAACUAGGGUUCAAGUAUAUACUGUCCAGGAUAGAAAGAAAGAGAAAAGUUCAAAAUUUCUUUCAGGAUUUAAGGGUAAAAUGGAUAAAGCACAUUUACAAUCUCAGUCUCUAGGGAGACAUUCAGAGCUCAUUGACACCAUCCGAGUUCAAAUGCAGGCAAGUUAUUGUGUUCUUACUUUUAGCUGUAAUUCUUGGUGGCUGAUUUGGGAUAUUUCCUGCAGAACUUUCCAAGUUGAGAUUACUAUGUGUAUGCCCAUUGACUGUCUAAAAAAUAUUCAUUGAAUUAGGCACUCAUAAAAUAAUGAUCUUAUAUAUUAAUUCACAAUCAUGUAACUCUGAUAAUUCUUAUGGAAUACAGAUAGUAUAAUAAAGCGAUGUUUUCAGGGUAGCCAUCUUUAACUAGAAAUGCUAAAAGUAGUAUUAUUUAGGUAGUGUACAGGGUUCUGAAUUAACAAAACUACUUUCCCCUGGUCGUGUGUUUCACAUACUUGUCUAUUAGCUUUGUACUUUCUAGGAAAAAAAUAAAUUAAUCUUGUGCAAUUUGCUUAGCAUGCCAGAGAAAAAGUAAAUUAACUGUACAUUUUAUGAAAAUCAGAUUCUGACUAGAUUGAUGAGAAUUAGAUAAUAUAUCAUGAAUCCAAGUAAUCAUAGUGGCUGAGCAGCCACUGCCUCCUGAUUGUAGUUGAAUUAGUAAGCUGAGUAGAAAGACUAAUUGUGUAUUUUCAGUCAACCAUUGAUGAAACAUGAUUUAUGUGGGGUUUUGCCUAUUGUGCUGAAUUUGUGGCUAUAAAGCAAUUGACACUUUUUAUAUUAUCCUGAAUUAUGUCUCUUUGUGCAGGGUUCUGCUCAUUGUAUGUGUAGUUAACUUAUAUAUUUACCAACACCAAAACCAACUUUAGUUUAGUUUUUUGUUUUAUCUCAAGGGGUUUAUACAGUUUUAUGCAAAAUUGUGCUGAAAUGCAGACCCUCAAUUGAGUAGUACCCCUGCUUUCUUUAAGCUCCUCAAUUACAUGUUUAUAUGUGGAAAAUGUGGCUAAAUGGUUUAUCAACUUAUAUAUUGGGGCUUGAAAAAAUCAAGUGGAAGUCUAUUUGUGUCAUUGCAUGUGUACCAUCUUUAGCUUUUAAUUUAAUUUAAUUUAAUUUAUUUUUUGUUCUUCUUCUGCUUCUUUUUGCUCCCAAUUGGAAGCUAAACCCAAUUGCUAUGAUUCCUCAUGAAUAAAUUGUUUUUUGCUAGAUUUCAGAGGUAAUGGAUCUAUGCAUGAGACAAAAGUUGAUGCAGUUUGCUACAAGGAAACUGUGUGACCGAAUUGAUAUUCCUCAAAUCUCGUUGGGGCUGUUAAAUAGCAUUUUCAAGUCUGAUUUUGUCCAUGAAAAGUCAUAUAUGCAAUGGAAGUAUAGACAGGUAAAAAUAAACUUGCGUAUUGUUUUAUGACAAUUCCUUUCCGUCUAGAAUUCCCUCUUCUUUUUUAAACAGUGGUUUUAUAAACGUAUUAUCCGUUGUUGGCUUGAAGGACUUUAGUUGUUAUCAUGUUUGGUUAUUUUGAACAAACAAUAGUUUUCCAUAAAUAUGUCAUCCUUCAUUUUUAGGUAUUUCUAAGAGAAACCAGUAGUUUUGAGUUUUGCAUAAAGAUGCUGUGAACCAGUCAUCCUAUUGCUAGGACUUUUCACUUUGCCGCCCUGGGUGUGUUUAUCAUUCUGAAGCUAAAUUGAUGACCCUGUAAGUAGGGGCGGCCAUGCAUGGGUGGGUUUGGGCUACGCCAAUCACUGAAGUUAGGGGGACUUUGCUGAUCCAUCCAACCUUAGGCUUAGGACAGUGUUUAACAGUCCAAGGGGUUUAGAGUAUAAAAGUAGGCUGGGUCUAAUCCUAUAGAGUUAUGUAUGUAUAUAUGUAUGUAUGUAUGUGUGUAUGUAUGUAUGGAUGGAUGUAUGGAUGUAUGCUUGAAGGAAUUCUUUUAUAGCAAGUAAUCAUAAACUUAAUGUCAAUCAUCAUUGUCAGGUGGGGCAGGGCUUGAAUUGGUCUUGCUUGGAAAUGAGAUUGGCCAAGAAAUUCAGGACUUGCCUGGCCCUACUGCUAUGUAAGGCCCAAGCACUGUCCAUGGCCACCUGUGCAGUGGUGGAUCCAGCAUAGGAUGAGGGAGGUCAUAUGCCCCCCCUUGAAAAAUAUAAAAGAAGUAUUGAUGAGAGCUGGGUUUGAGCCCACUCCCUCUUGUUAAGAAGAAAAAUAAGCCAAUCAGUAGGCUAGUUUUUUGUUUUUGGAUCAUUUUUGCCCCCUUGGAUUAAAUCUCAUGUAUUUUUCCCUCCCUACCUUCACUUUCUGGUACUGCCACUGCACCUGUAGCUGUAAAAUGUGCUGUUGAAAACUGUAAGUCUGGAUAAUUAUUUUAGCCAGUGCUGUUGCAUGUCUAAGUAAUUUACUCAACUGUGAUCUUCAACAUAUUUUUACCAAUUGUAGAUGGUGCCUAAAUAGUUCCUCAGUUGUGUUCAUGCUGAACAGCAUAGGUGUAGGAGUAAAUUACCAAAAAAAUAUGUUUUUUCAGGCUGCUUACUCUCCGGUCUUGCAACUAUUUUCAUGCAGGCAAAUAUCUUAGAAGAAGUUCUCUAUUUUUUUGUCAAUCUUAAAACAGCUGAGCGUCUAACCAUUAAAAGUUCUCUCGCAAAGAUCAGGAACACAAAGGUACAGCCUAGUUAUGGGUUUGUGAUGCUUUGGUGACUGUAAAUUUGAUGACUCAUGGAGUGGCUUGCUUUUACAUUUCUUUUGAUUUCCUCUACAAUCUAAUAAUAAAUCUACUUGACUUGUUCUGUGUUGUAGGAAUGGGAUUUUAUAAUGCCCCCUUCUGAGCGUGCUGAGGUUCUACUAGCUAUGAAAGAGGUUGCUUCAAAAUUAGCAUCUGUGCCAGGACAAUUUGGCAUACAUGAUGAGACUUGUUAUUGGACUGCUGGUUAUCACUUAAACAUUAGGAUUUAUGAGAAGUUGCUCUUUGGUAUGUUUGACGUGCUUGACGAAGGGCAGCUCAUAGAGGUACGUGUUUCUGCUCGGUCUUUUCAGUGUAGGAAAUUUCCUGAUAUGGUGUAGUAAGUAACUUUGAGUGAUGGUCAAAUAUGUUAUGUGAUCAUUAUUAGGAAGCUGAUGAAAUCCUGAUGCUCAUCAAGUUGACCUGGUCUAGUCUAGGCAUCAAUCAGAGAAUGCAUAAUGUAUUAUAUGGCUGGGUGCUUUUUCAACAGGUACACAUUCUACUUUGGGUAUUACCUGAGUUUAACAUUCACAGAAGUUUCUUGUUUAUUUUAUUGUAAAACUGAAUUCUUUAUAUAUGAUUAUUUUUCACGUGGAAAAAUUUCCUUUUUAGAAUUUUGAAACAAUAUAGAGAUUUAGAUAUGUUAUCUCCAUUGCAUUAUUGUAUAACAUAGUUGAUUAUAUAUUAUGUGAACUCAAUCAAAUGUCUCACCUAGGGCAAAGUGGGAAAAAAUUAUGUCUUCCUGAAUGCCAUCUUAAUAUGCAAUGGAUACUAGGCUCAUGUUUUUGACAGAUAAAUUUAUCCUUAUAUAGCUUUGUGUAGAAUGUGCAUGUUGGUCAUUGUAGGUUGAUCCAAUCAUGGUUACAUUUUACCAAGUUUUUGUUGCUAAGUACAAUGAAUUGAUUAUUCAACUACCCCUGGAAAUUCGUUCUAUCAUGAAUGCGGUUGUUUUCCAUUUUUUGAGAGUGACUAUUUUGGUUUCUUUUUAUCAAGGAUAUGCUAUUUUUUUCUGUCGACUUCUCAUUGAAUUUUUUUUGUUUAUUAUGUUGUAUCCAAUUACCAUUAAAGAUCUUUUUUCAGUCAAGUCCUCGUAUCCUAAAAUUUGUGGAGAACUAGACAUUUAAAUGUAUACCCACACCCAACAGUUGUAUCAGGACUCAUAUAACAUAAGAAGGAAGGGAACUAGAUGAGAAGAGAAGAAAAAUGUAAUUAGGUGAGGAAAUAUACGAGUUGAAGAAUAGGGUUUCACGGGAAUAAUUUUCUUUCAUUGAGAUUAUUCUUUUAUAGAGUUUACAUCAUAUACAAAUCCUUCAAAUUAGGAAACUAAAUCAUUGAUUAAAAGGAAAGAAUAACUCCUAACAAUUACUUUCCUAAAAAUGCAAAGAUUGACAACUAAUAAAUAAUUUACAGCUUUACAAAGUUAUUUCUUUCCAUAUUAGUUUCGGUUUUCCAACACUCCCUCUCAAGCAGGCUUAAAGAUAUCUUCCAUAGCCAGCUUGCCAACUAGAAAAUUGAAUUGCCUUUUGUGUAGUCCUUUGGUGAAGACAUCAGCCACUUGUUCCUCAGUAGGGAUAUAGGUCAUACAGACCAAUCCAUUGUCUAUCUUCUCUUUAAUGAAAUGCUUGUCCACUUCCACAUGUUUGGUGCGGUCAUGGAGAACCGGAUUGUGAGUUACUGAAAUUGCUGCCUUGUUGUCAAAAUACAACUUCAUAGGAGAUGAACCUGUCAUCUUUAACUCUUCCGGUAAUCUUCUUAUCCACAUAAUCUCACAAAUGCCAUGAGCUACAGCUCUAAACUCAGCCUCAACACUACUUCUAGCAACCGCGUUUUGUUUUUUACUUCGCCACGUAACCAAGUUGCCACCUACAAAUGAACAGUACCUAGAGGUGGACCUUCGAUCCACUAUGCUUCUAGCCCAGUCUGCAUCGGUGUAGGUUUCAAUUUGUAGGUGUCCUCGUGACUUGAACAGAAGACCUCUACCUGGUGUCCCCUUUAAAUACCUUAGAAUCCUGUAAACAACUUCAAAAUGCUCUGGUCCAGGCGCAUGCAUAAAUUGACUAACCAUACUCACUGAGAAUGCUAUGUCAGGGCGUGUAUGGGAUAGGUAAAUCAAUCUCCCAACAAGUCUUUGAUAACGAUCCCGGUCCUUCACAUUCUUGGCUUUUGUAGGUUGCAGUUUUACAUUCAGCUCUAUAGGUGUUUCAGCAGGCUUACAUCCUAACAUACCUGUCUCAUUAAGAAGAUCAAGAACAUACUUUCGUUGAUUUACAAAGAUACCUUCUUUGGACCUAGCAAACUCCAUCCCAAGAAAGUAUUUUAAUGCCUCCAGGUCCUUAAUCUCAAAUUCCUCAGCAAGUUUCCCCUUCAGCUUCUCUAGUUCAUUGCAAUCAUCCCCAGUUAACACAAUAUCGUCAACAUACACAAUUAAGAUGACUACUUUACCUUCAUUUGAAUGUUUGUAGAACAUCGUGUGAUCAGCUUGACUUUGAGUAUAUCCAUAAUGCUUUAUUACUUUGCCAAAGCGCUCAAACCAAGCUUUAGGCGACUGCUUAAGUCUGUAUAAGAACUUCUUCUAUUUGCACACUUUCCCAACUCUAAAACUUUCUUCAAAACCUGGUGGAGAACUCAUGAACACUUCCUCCUCUAGGUCUCCAUUAAGAAAGACAUUUUAAACAUCCAAUUGGUGUAAGGGCCAAUUGGAAUUUACUGCAAGGGACAACAAAACUCUAAUCGAGUUUAUUUUAGCUACGGGGACGAAAGUCUCUUGGUAGUCUAUCCCAUAGGUUUGAGUAAAACCCUUUGCCACAAGUCUGGCUUUGUAUCUCUCAACACUUCCAUCUGCUUUACUCUUUAUUGUAAACACCCAUUUGCACCUUACAACUUUUUUUUCCCUUGGUAAAUCUACAACCUCCCAAGUGCCAUUCUUUUUUAAGGCAUUCAUUUCCUCAAACACUGCCAAUUUCCAACUUGGUUCAUCUAGUGCUUCUUGAAUAUUUCUAGGUACCACAAGUUUUGAAAUAUUUGUAGUGAAUGCUUUAUAGUUGUCAAAAAGGUUACUAUAGGAGAUAUAUUUGGCAAUGGGAUGUUUAGUGCAAACUCGGGUUCUCUUUCUAAGAGUAAUAGGGAGAUCAAGGUCAAGGUCCUAUGCAGGAACAAUUGGGGCUAAUCCUAAACCGGGUUUGGGUGCAGAUAUUUUUGGACUUGGACCAAAGUGUGAUGGUAAACUUAGAUCAGUAACAGAAGAAGAAGAAGCAUGUAUAUGAGUAGGAAUAGAAAGAGGGUUACCUGAGACAUUUAGAGAGCCAUUGCCCAGGGCUUUCGGUUGACCAUGUGCUGGGAUGAUCAGCUGGUCUUUACUUUUUUCAGGGACUUUUUUCCUUGAAUAAACCACAAGCUCAAGAUUGUUUCUAUUUUUUUUCAUUCGUAGUAUUUCUUCUUCUGAUAGACCAAUUUCAGAUUCGGAUUCAGUAGGCUUAGUUUCCUUAUUUUCUUUUUCAAGAGAGAUAUCAAGAAUUACACUAGACAAAGGUUCAACAAUUUCCCAAAAAUUUGGUUCCACUAAUUUUUCCCCCUGAAGUAAAUUUUUGGUAAAAUAUGGGACAUUUUCCAUAAAGGAAACAUCCAUAGUUGUGUAAAAACGUUUUGUAAGGGGAUUAAAACAUUUGUAACCCUUUUUAUUAGGAGUAUAUCCUACAAAAACACAUUUUUCUGCUCUUGGGUCUAACUUAGAUCUUGACCUUUUUGGAAUGUGUACAUAUGCAGUGCAACCAAAUAUUUUCAAGGGUAAUUCAGAAUUAAUUCGAGAUUCUGGAAAUACCUUUUUCAAGCACUCCAAAGGAGUGGUAUACUGCAAAAUUUUUGUAGGAAUCCUAUUGAUUAGAUAUGAAGCAGUUAGUAUGACAUCCCCCCAUAAGUAUUUUGGAAUAUUCAUGUAAAACAUCAUAGCCCGUGCUACUUCUAACAAGUGUUUAUUUUUACGUUCAGCUAUUCCAGUCUGUUUAGGGGUAUCAGAACACAAGGAUUGAUGUAAAAUUCCUUUCUCGUUUGAAAAGGUUUCCAAAACUUUAUUAAAGUACUCAGUCCCAUUAUCAGAUCUCAAAAUACUGAUUUUUGUUUGAAAUUGGUUUUCAAUCAUUCUGUAAAAUUCUUUAAAAAUCCUUUCGACUUCAGAUUUUUCCCUCAUUAAAUAUACCCAACAAAGACGUGUAUGGUCGUCUAUAAAGGUCACAAACCAUUUUUUUCCUGAAAUUGUGGUUACUUUUGAAGGUCCCCAAACAUCACUGUGAAAAAGAUAAAAUGGUUUUGAUGCAUAGUAGGGUUUUGGAAUGUAAGUUUUUCUUUAGCUAUUUGCCAAUAAACAACUUUCACAUUGAAAUGAUAAAGGGUCAACCUUUUGAAAUAACAUUGGAAAUAAAUGUUUUAAAUAAGAGAAACUAGGAUGGCCUAAUCUGCAAUGCCAAACCAUUAUUUGAUCAUGAACAGAAAGAGAACUAAUACUACUUAGUCCUUGAGCAAUUUUAUUACUAGGUAAGUUAUCCUCGAAAUAAUAGAGGCCAUUGAUCAUCCUAGCACUGCCAAUUGUCUUCCCCGAGCUCUGGUCCUGAAAAAUACAAUGGGAUUUAUAGAAGAUAACACAACAAUUAGAAUCUCUAGAUAAUUUGCUAACAGACAAGAGAUUACAAGUAAGUUUAGGAACAUGGAGAACAGAUUAAGAUCUAUUCCCUCAGAGAUUUUUAUUAGACCUUUUCUUGCAAUAGGUGAGAAAUUACUAUUAGCUAUCCGAACCUUUUUAUUUCCAGGACACGGUGAAUAGGAUUCAAACAUGUUUGAGGAAUUGGUCAUGUGGUCGGAUGCUCCAGAAUCGAUUAUCCAUGGAGUAGAUUUAAAACGACAAGAUAGAGCAUAUAAUUCAUUACUUGUGUGUGCCAAAGAAACACUAGAAGUACUGGAUGUCAAGUUGGAUUUCAGCAGUGCAAGAAGAUGCUCCAUUUGCGCAGUGGUGAAGAGGCUGGUCUCAGUCUCAUUAGCAGUAGGAAUAAUGGCUCGGCCUGGUUUGUCACCUGUUUUUCCUUUCCAAUUUGCAAGUUUCCCAUGAAUUUUCCAAUAGUUUUCACGAGUAUGGCGAGGUUUGUUGCAAAAAUCACACCAAACUUGUGGUCUUUCAUCUCAUUUGCGCUGAAAUGCAGCAGCUUUAUUAUAGCCUCCACUCGUGGUAACCAAGGCCGAACCUUCAAUAGCAACUCCAGGUCCCUUCUUGCCCAGCAUCACAUUCCUCCGACUUUCUUCUCUUUUAACUUCUGAAAAAACUUCACCAAUUGAAGACAGGGGUUGUCUUCCAAUGAUUCUCCCCCUUACCUCAUCAAACUCGACAUUAAGGCCAACCAAGAACUUGAAGAUCCGAUUGUCUUCCAUGGUCUUCUUAUGAUGAAGUCCAUCCUCGGCAGAUUUCCACUUAUAGGUGUUGAAGAGGUCAAGGUUUUGCCAGAUCCGCUUCAAGGAGUUGAAGUACUUUGUGACGUUGUCCUCCCCUUGUCGUAUCUCACCAAGUUUGAGGGUUAAUUCAAAGAUCCGUGAUUGAUUCCCUAAAUCAGAAUACAUCUGAUUUACAUUCUCCCAAAGCUCUUGUGCUGUUGGAUAACACAUGUAAUUAGAGCUAAUGUCUUCUUCCAUAGAAUUCACAAGCCAUGUCAUCACCAUGGAAUUCUCGGCAUCCCAUAUAGCAUAGUUUGGAUCAUCCACUGCAGGAGCCUUCUUUUCACCCGUCAGGUAGCCCAUCUUUCCACGUCCUCUGAUGUACAUCCAAACUGAUUGAGACCAUCUUAGAAAAUUGUCGCCAUUCAAGUGAAUCGUGGUGAUUUGGACAGAGUGAGAUUUCGAGGUGGUAGGACUGAUUUUUGAAGAAUCAAUGAUGAUGGGAUUGUUCAGAGAAGGUUGAGGAACAGUAGUGGACUCGUUUGAAAUAUCCAACAUGGUUUCAGAGAAUAGGGAUUGAAAGAGAGGAAGAAGGAGGAUUUCGGCAAGCAAAUUGCUAGCUUUGAUACCAAGUUGAAGAAUAGGGUUUCACGGGAAUAAUUUUCUUUCAUUGAGAUUAUUCUUUUAUAGAGUUUACAACAUAUACAAAUCCUUCAAAUUAGGAAACUAAAUCACUGAUUAAAAGGAAAGAAUAACUCCUAAUAAUUACUUUCCUAAAAAUACAAAGAUUGACAACUAAUAAAUAAUUUACAGCUUUACAAAGUUAUUUCUUUCCAUAUCAGUUUCGGUUUUCCAACAAUACGAAAGUAGAACAGCAAGAAAAAAAUGUAAAUUCUCUUAAAUAAUUCUGAAUAAUAAUAAUAAUAGCUGCAAAUUAUGUCCCUAUUUAUAAGUAAUUGAAGAAUGUUAAAAAAAUAAAAACUAACUGAUAGAUACUAGUUGACAUGGGAAAACACAAAGUGAUAAGAGUUGAGCUCUUGAUUUUGAUAAAAAUUGAAAUCCUAAUUUGAUGUGAACAGGAAUCCUUUUAUCUCCUACUUCUACACCUAUAAUAAACUUGAAAUGGGUGGUCUUGAUCCCCAUCAGUAGGUAGUAUUGUAUUUCUUUGUUACGCUAUAUUGUGAUGUUAGAAACAAACUAAGAGGGUGUUUGGUAAAUAGAGAAUGACUUAAUAUGACAAUUUAAGUCAUUAAGCUUAUCAAGGCCUUGUUUGGAUUGAUUUUCGAGAAACUAAAAACUCUUUUCUAUGUCUGCUUGAUUAAUUUCAUUGAACGAACUUAUGGCUUAAAAAAGAGCUUAAUAUGGAAACCAAGAAAAUGUUGCUUCUCGUAAAAACUCUAUUUUGGCUUAUGUAAGAAGUUCUUUAAUGUUUAAUAAAACUUUUACAAUACCAAUAUUACCCUUUAAAUUCAUUGACUCUGGCUUCGGUUGUAGCUUCCAACUUAAGCAAAAAAGGAAGCUAUCCCAAACAAGGCCUAAAUAUGUUUCAUAAAACAAAUUAAUAUUUGGACUUAAAAUUAAAAAUGACGUAAAUAAUAACUUAAAAUAAAUAUCAUUUUUUAAAUCCCAAAUAUUUUUUGCUUAGUUGCUGUGUCUCGUAUCUCCUUUAUUUUCUCUUAUAACCUCAUUACUUAAUAUCAAUAGGGGUUGUUAUGUCAAUUGAAUGGUUAAAGGAAAAUUGUAAGUUGAUUUUACGUCAAACAACCUUAAUGAUUAAAGCAAGAAAUUAAGUAAUAAGUUUUUAGUUAACAACAUAAACAUAAUUUAAAUUAAAAGUCAUCUUUAGUCAUUACGCAUUAAGUGUUAAGUUUUACCAAAUACCAUCUAAGAAUGGUGUUUAACUUAUUGACUUAUGAAGUCAAAACUGAUUUUUCAUCAGAAAUCUGCUUAACAAUUACAACUUUUUUUUUUUUUAAAUAUUUAAUAAGUUCCAUAAAAAGGUUCCUAAAGUUUUAAUAUAUUCCAUUGGACUUUUGUAUUAAGAUACUCACCGAUAUAUUUGUAAAUUAAGAUGUUGACAUAUUUGUCAACAUCAAUGUUUAGAACCCAUGAUUUUCCCUCAUGGUUCGAAUAUGCUUUAUGGUUUGAUGAUUGUAUGCAGUGGGGCUAAUGUGAUGUUUAAAUCUCUUUUAUGGAUAUGCAGUGUGUUGGUCAUCAACUUGAAAACCAAGUAGAUUUCUGGGAUGUUGGAAGAUAAUUUUGUGUCAUGGGGAUUAGACCAACAAUAUAGGAGGCUGGUUUCUUAAGUUGUUGAUCUUGGUGGGAUAUGUAGAUGCCAAAAAUGGUUCUAAGUGAAUUGAAGGAAUUUAGCACGUAUGAUCCCAAGUACUCAUACUUAUUUGCAAUAUGGAUGCAUAAAGAGAACAUAUAUACUAUGAACUUCUGUAUAAAGGUUGCUGUGGAUGAUAUUAUUUGUGGAUUGAAAUAGAAUUGCACCUCUUUGAUCUUGUGGUAGACUAAUUGUUUGUUCGCAAUGUAUUUUUUUCGUUGGUGGAUAGCAUUGUGCCAUGUCUGGCAAUCUAUGUAUUGGGCUGCUAAACAUUUUCAAUCAUUAUGGUGUAUAUUGAUUGAUAUCCCAACUUUCUAAGCUAUCUUAAACAAUUUUGACUUUUCAUGGCCUCUAGAAAUAUGCUUUUUUUAUUUAUUUUAAUUAUUUCUCUCAUGCAUUUUUCCAUCUUGAAGUUUGUUGGGACAGAUGAAGCAACAUUACUAGAAUAUGCAAUCCUUGAGGUACAACAAGUCCUGUCAACUGAGGAUAUUGAUGGGAAGGAAGAGCAAUAUAUGAAUAGCUUAGUAUGUUCCAGGGUUUUCAAUGGCAAAGAAAAAAAAUUAAGUCUGGUGGAGGCUAUUUUUUUCUCGAUGAGCAUCUGGUGUGACAGUAAACUGUUGGAUUAUCAUCUGCAUUUUAGUAAGGUUAGUAGCUAUUAGUUAUUAUAUUUUGUUACUUCAUAUUUUAUUGUUCAUAUUUAAAUGAUAGCCAACAUUUUUGACAUCUUUGUAGCAUGUUCUGUCAUGUAGACUUGACUUUUGUCUAAGAUCUAUGUGUUCUCCAUUUAAGUCUCCGUGAAGGGUGAGUCCAGGUCUAAAGUUCAGGCUGAAAGGCAUAGCGGAUGUUCCCCUGAUCUUUUGUUGAUAUUGUUAUUAUUAGUGAUAUUUCUAUUGGUGUUUUUGUUGUUAAGUUUAUCCAUUUGAUUCAAAAGUUUAAUGGGCCAACAAUAUAUCAAUCUGACUUGCACUAAAGUCCUAACACCCUGCCUUAUAGGCAGCCUUCUCUGGCUUGAAUGUAGAUUUAGUAAAUAGGGGAAAUACGUAAGCGUUCACAUUUGAACUCUUGACCUCUAGGAAACCAGGCUUCGAUAUCAUGUUAAGUUACUGAUUUGAUGAAAAGAUUAAACAAUUAGGUAAUGGGACUCAAUAUAUAUAAAUAUAUACAGUUGACUUGGACGAAGCAUGGUUAUUAUUAUUAUUAUUGUUGUGUUGGUAAUAUGUUAAUUGUCAACUUGGUUGCCCAACUUCAACAUUGUUGGCUUUUCUUUUUCUUCUUUAAUAGGAAGCAGAAGAUCAUUAUUAUUAGCUUCUUCAAGUCCCUGGUAGUUCCUUCUAUACCCUGUAUAAUGUGAUUUUAUUUCCAGAGUUUCUAUGCCUAAUUAUGAUAUUUUCUUUUCAGAAACUCGACAACUUUAAAACAGUUAUGACCUUGGCAUUAGCAGUUGGUUUUAUCACUUCUAGUGAAGGCGGUGAAAUCAAGGUUAGUGUUGCUAAAUUGUAUGUCAUUCAUUUACCUUGCGGGUGGCAAAAGGAACUAUGCUAUUUCCAAGGCUUAAUUUUGUAUUUUGGUGUUCUAACAUUUGGUUGUUCAGAUGUAGAGUCCUUUUUGCCAAAAAAUUGAAAUCUUUCUUUGUAUUCCAAUUUGUAUGUCAUUCAUUUACCUUUUUGGUGGUGAAGGAACUAUGCUACUUCCAAGCCUUAAUUUUGUAUUGGUGGUCUAAUAUUUGGUUGUUCAGAUGUGGAGUCCUUUUUGCAAAAAAAUUGAAAUCUUUUCUUGUAUCCAAUUUGUAUAUGACCUAUAUCAAGUUAAACCAGUUUUUUCUUGUUACUAAGUCGUGGUUAGUUGUUGGAUGAUUUAGUUAGUUGAGUUUGUCCCUUUUAUUAAUUUGUCUAGAAACUAAUAUGAGUAGAGCUUGUUUCUAAAGGUUAGUGGUGAUCUUUAACUUGCUGACUGAGUUCCAUGGGGAUAGAGCAAUGGAUCAGAAUUUUAGUAGAGUUAGGAAGGAUUUUAAAAAAAGCUAAUGCAAAGGUUUUCAUAUGUGAAGGUUUUUUCUCAGAGUGAUUAUGGUGACAUUAGCAGCUUUUCUUCUUUUGCAUUUUCUAUAUAAUUAAAGGUUUUUAGAUUAGUUCACUUUUUCUUUAUGCCCAUCUUAUCUUCUCUUCAGUCUAGCCCAUGAGAGAAGCUAGCCUCAAGUUGAUUGGCAAUUGAUGCUCUUUCUGUCUGAUGACAACCCUCUUUUGUUUAAAAUAGUCAUGUUGAUCCAUCGCAUUAACCAUUUUACUGUCCUUAAUUUUCAUCUUACAAGAAAAGUUUUCAUACUUGCAGUUAACAAAAACUAAUGGUUUGGACGAGAUUGCUGCUAAAAAACUUCAAACUUAUAUUCAAAAAUCCAUUGAAGCUGCAUACAGCCGGGUAAGUUGGCUAAUGAUUCACCUUUUUAUGAUCGCUUUUGGUGUCCAAAUAAUAGUUCUUUUUUGGUGAAGUCAAUAUAUUUAUUUCAUUGUCCUUAGGUAGCAGCUACCAUGGAUCUUGAAUCUAAAUUAGAAAGAACACAUCCCUUGGCUCUGCUUGCAAAUGAACUAAGAUUGAUUGCAAAUAGAGAGUUAACUGUAUUUUGCCCCAUCCUACGUCAUUGGUGUCCAGAAGCUGGGAUGAUAUCAGCGAUGCUGCUAAACCAACUUUAUGGGGAGAGACUGGUCUGUUUCCAUGAUGACUAAUGAAAAUCAUCUCUAUGUCUUUGCAGCUGGUGCAUCCUUACUGCUUUGCUGCAUCUUUAUUUAAAAGGCUGUUGUUUUUGUUGACAUGUAGAAACCAUUCCUCAAAGGAGUAACGAGUCUUUCUGAAGAUGUCAAAUUAGUGCUUCCUGCAGCUGAUAUGUUAGAUCAUGACCUGACUCAACUAUAUUCUUCUGCAUGCAAGGACCAUGGGUCAUUUCACCCUUUUGUCCAAGAUUUUGAUCAUUAUGAGGUUGGUUUCUUCCUUCCCAACCCACCCAAAUUUCCAAACUGAAAAUUUUAUGUCAAUUGUUCCAAUAUGGCAUGUCUCUGAUAAUUUGAUAUCACUGUUCUUGUCUUAUAAAAUCAUAUAUUCUUCCUGCAUAUCGUUUGAGUUUCCCUGUUUUAGGCAUCUCAGUAAAAUAUGGCUUAGAUAAUAUGAAAAUUAGACUAGAAUUAUAUAGCAAGAGCACUUCUAAAAAAAUGAAAGUUUAAUUCUUGACUUUUGGAAGUGAAACUAUAAGUAAUGGAUGUGCAGCAAACUGAAAUUUUAGAUCAAGUGCAUUUCAUGCGCUUCGGCGGCCUGAAUCUUAAGACACUUCAAAGGUAGCAGAACCAAGCUUCCUACUUAAUCAUGAAACAUGGUUCAAACAUUCAUAAUGCAAUCCAUUCCAAUUCUUUCAAUCUACUGCACUUUUUUAAAGUUUGUCUCCUUGUUCAUGAAUCCUAAUUUUUAAUUAGCCAAACUUAACACUUUGUCGAAGGACUGUACCUAUUACAAUUUACAAGCAAGGGCUGUCAAAUGUGUUCUUGUGAACAGGUUGUCUUAGGUAAAUUUGGGAAUUUUUAUGCUGUUUAAAAACCUAAUCCAAAUUAAUUGAAUUCCAUUUGCAAUAUAAUUAUAAUAGCAAACAAUCUGAACUGCAGCAGAUCUUAUUCAUGCCCAUGGACGAGCAUAUGUGGAAAACACCCUAUGAUUGUGAUUUUUUUACCAGAGUUAAAAACCCUGGGCUGAACAGCUGCAGUGGUAAUUCACUAAAUAAAAAGGGCUCAGAGAAUUUCUUUGAAUCUGAAAUGCUCAUCCCUCCUGACAGACUUACUCUUGAUUGUACUUGCAAUCUUUUGUCACUUCCUCGAUGUGGCAGUCCCCAAUUGCUCCUUAAUUAUAUGUUUCUUCUAGCAUUUGUCUUGUUUACACAAUGGGUAUGAGGAUCAUCCUGUUCCUGGGAUUAAAGUUCUUACAUUUAAAAACUAUGAUAGCAUUCAAUCUGUGUCUUUUGUGUGACUCUGGGUCCUAUUGACAUAGAAGAUGAACUGUCUUGGAUGUUGGUGCUCACAGCGAUGCACAAGUACUCUUGUUUGAGAGCCCGAUCAUUUAGAAGUAUCUUUUUUACAUGUUUUGAGUUGUAAUCUGAUGCUUCAUGUGCUUUGUUAUAAUAAUGAGAUGGAGAAUGAGCUGUUUGUCCUUUUUCUUUGUGUGCAGAUUGGGGAAAUUUCUAGACCUAUUAUUCUUGAUUGGGUGAUUGCUCAACAUGGGCGCAUCUUGGAAUGGACUGGACGUGCUUUUGAUCUUGAGGUUGGUCAUGUACUCAGUAGGAUUCUUUAGCCUUUUAGUAUAAUUGUAUUCUUUGAUAACAAUCCAGUAGAGUACAUGAAUCAGUGUCUUUCGCCAUUGGGAAAGAUUAAUUAAUAGCCAUUUAGUGGAAGUAUGGAGGCUCCCUUUCAAAUAAAAAACUUCACCUAGAAUAUCAGGCGUCCGUGAGUUAUCUAGGUCUCCUCUUAGGUGGCAACCUGAAAGUGCCUGCUUUUGGAAUUUGGUUAUUGUGGGUGUCUAAACAAUUAGGUGGUUGAAAGGAGUCUUUUAUUUUGUUAGGAAUCUGAAUCACAUUGAAUCAAUCCUUCCUACUCAUAUCCUCACCUAUUCUUCUCUUUUUUGAAUCCCUCGUAGGAUUGCUACUGGGAUUGACAAACUUGCUGGAUUUAUUGUGUUGAAAGGCAAGGAAGGUGUUAGGGACCAUCUAAUUAGGGGGAAUUGACUCUCGUGGGCUACUCUAAAUGUUACUGUCUGAGCCUGAAGGGUAUCUCAUCCUUCUUUAAUUUGGGUUUUUCUUAAAAAGAUUUGUUUGUUUCACAUAAAAAAUUUCAAAUAAAUUCUGUGUGUGUUUAUUUACCAGUAUGCAUUAAAUAUUUUAUUGUGGCAACUAAAUGGAGAAAAUGUUGUUCUAGUUUUUCUUUUAGAGUUAUUGAGAGGGUUAUGAAUGCCUGUGGGGCUAGGCAUGCAUGGGCUAUCAGUUGUUCAUGAGGGCCAUGCAGAAUGGUGACAUGAUGAAUGUGCCAAUAAGGACUGGCAAUUUAACUCCAGUUUGAUGUUCUCCGAGUAUGAGAGGAAGAUACAAAACUUGGGUUGAAAUGGUAAGAAAAGACAUGAUAAUGUUUAAUGUGAUGGAGGACAUGGCCCUGGAUAAAGCUGAAAGCUGAUCAAUGUUUCACAUAGCUGAUUGUUAGCAAUUGGGGUUCAGGGCUUUUCUAUUGUAGUUAUUUUAAUUUUUCUAAUGACUCAAGUUAAAAAAAUGUCAUAGUAUGAUUGUUUUAAUCAGUGAAAAGAUUUUAUGUGUCAAACAAUUAUCUCUAUAUUCAAAGCAUUGUAUAGUGACUAGGAGAGAGCAGUGGAUCUCUCCAUGAUUGUACAGAAAAUUAGAGAGGGAAAUUUAGUCAUGUUGUGGAUUAUGAUGAAGUCCAACAUUUACUAAAAUAAUCCUGCAUACUUGAUACUUUUUAAAUGCACACUGGAAGUUGGACAUGAUGUGUUUGAUUUUUGGGCACAUGCAGGAUUGGGAACCUUUAUCAUCUCAGCAAAGACAGGCAGUAUCUGUAGUUGAAGUGUUUAGAAUUGUAGAGGAGGUAUGUAUUAUUAUUAGGAGAGUUAUUUGAUGCACUGAAGUAGUUUUUUAUUGAGACAUUAUAAAUUUAAUCGCCAUAUGAUAAAAAAUGAUAUAGAUGGAGGUUGCUCAAAAUAGAAGUUUCUUAAUUGAGCUUUUUGGAAGGGUUUGUCCCACUAUGUUCCAUUGGUUGUCUUCUCUAACCAUUCCACUACAAAUUUGUACUCCCAGGAUUCUAAAUUCUUCCUUUCACAGUUUUCUUCUAUGGAUGGCAUUUGUGCCUUUUAUGAAUCUAGCUUUUCUUAAAUGCCUUCAGUUUUGUAUUGUAUGGUGGCCUUAUAUUGAACUUUACUUGCAGACCGUGGAUCAAUUCUUUGGGUUGAAUCUUCCAAUGGAUAUCACACAUUUACAAGCUCUACUAUCUGUUAUUUUCCAUAGCCUGGAUACAUACUUGCAGAAAGUAAUCAGCGAGUUAGGUUAGUGUCAUUAUGUAUUAGCAUACUUAAAAUUGGAUUUACUGCUAAUUAGUUCUUGCUGCUCCUUGAACCUGACUUGAUAAAAACUAUGUAGAACUGAAAGAAACUCUUUUGUUUAGGGGGCAUUUUUCUUUUUGCAUCUGUUAUUGGUUUUGUUGUAUCACUUAUGAGUAAGGACGAAGGCUUCCAUAUGGUCCUUGGUAGAGGAAUACAUUAUAACUGUCCUUUUAAAACUAAUAUUUAAAGCUAUGAUGAUGACCCUCGAAAAGCAGUCUGAUGCUUUUAUAUUUGAUUUUCAAGCUACUUAUCAAAAAAAAAAAAAAAUAUAUGAUUUUCAAGCUGACUAGUGAGAAUGAAAUUGAUUUCCAUGAAACAGUUGCUAGAUGCUCCCUUUCCUAUCGUCUAGUGUGUAGGGUUGCAACUUGGGGGGGUUUAGUUGGGUUGAUGGCUAACCUGAGCUCAACCCAAAUUAAAAAACAAUCAACUCGAGUUGAGUUCAUGUUGGUUGGGUUAGAUUUGGGUUGGUUGUGUUGAUCGGGUUGCAUAAUUCAAAAACCAUCUGUAAUGUUUUUUUUUUAUUUAAUUUAAUUUUUUUCUAUAUAUUUAUAUAAAAAUUUAAAUAGUAAAUAAGACAAAAUUUAAAAAUAGCAACAAAAAAGUAAAAAUAAAUUUAUAUAUAUUUUUAAAAUAAUGAAAAAUUAUAUGAUAUAAUAUAAUUUGAUAUUUUUUCUUAAAAAUUUGAAAAGAAAAUGAAUAUUAUUAAUAUAGGAUAACAUACAUCAUAAAUAUUGUAAAGACAUUAAAUCGGGCUCGGGUUGCACAAACCUUGUCCCAAGUCCAACCCAAAUUGAGCUUGGGUUGAAAUCACCUAACUCAAGCAAAAUCUGAGUAUUGAAAAUGAUUGCUCCGGCCCUUCCAAAUGUUGGGUUGGAUCGAGCCAACCUGCCCAAGUUGCAUCCCUAGUAUAUAUAGUUUUAUGCAGAGGUGUUUAUGCAUAUACAUAUGUGUGUGUGCGUAUACUACGUAUGUGUGUGUGUGUGUGAGAGAGAGAAAUUAAGUCUAGUGCUUCUCUUGUGUUUGGUUAUUUUUUUAUUAUAAGAAAUUAAUGAAUCCUUUUUGUGAAAAUUAUUUUGUAUCCUCAGAGUCCAUUGCAAAUGUUGCAAUUAUUUAAUCGAAAACAUGUUGUCCAAUGUAAAAUACUGAUCAUAAUGCUGUUAGUGGUGCAGUUGAGAAGAGCUAUUUAUUCCCUUCUACUCCUUCUUUGACUCGUUAUAAGGAGAUGGUUAUUCCAAUAGCCAAGAAAAAGUUGGUCGAGUCUACACCCUUGGAUGAGAAAGUGAACAAUAAGUUGAAUGAAUUGACAAUAUCCAAACUGUGUGUCAGAUUGAACACUCUUCAAGUGAGUGCCAUUUUUUUCUUUUCGAUUUUUGGAAAUUAGUCUUUUACAUGAUUUCUGUACUUGUUUAGCUAACUCGAAUUUUUUUGCAUGAGUAUGCUUGAUGUUUGUGGUUGUUAAAUGGACCAUACACUUCUCAAAUUACUUCUACUGUGUAAUAUUGAAUUUAGUUCAUAAGUUGUGAGUUCAAAAGAAAAUAAAACAAAAAGAAUGAUGGUGUCAUUAUAAUGGUUUAGAAGUACGUUUUGAGGGAGAGAUUUUGAUUGGUCCAGAACAAAAUGCUUUGGGAAUAUUUGGAAAUAAAAAUAAACAAUAUAAAUUUUUGGAAAAGAUUUGACAACAUGCAGGGAUGCUUGAAAGGGACUGAAAAAGGAGCAUUUAUUAGAUCCGAAGAUAUGCUAACGAGGUGAAUUAUUGACUGCACUGGAAGGACAAUAAAUUACUUUGCCUUACAAAUUAUUGAUGCUAAUUUUUCAUUUGAACACAAAAUUCAUAAAUGAUAACAGAGAAUUAUGAAGUGCUAAUCCAAACACUGAUACAUGUGAUAGUUCCAAAGUGUUGUGUUAUGCUUACACAUGCAAAACAAAAAUGCUAAUAUUCCUUUCUGUCCCUGUUACUAAAGUUUUUAUCUGCUUGGACAAGCUCAAGUACUGUCAUGUAUUAAGAAUAUUAUAUUCAAGUUUCCCAAGGUGAUUUUAUUUAUUUCCCUCCUGAUUCAAUGUUGUUUGUUUUGAUUGGCAGUAGAAACAUCGACUUGGUCACUAUGACACAUAGGUUAUUUACUUGUUCUGAUAUAAGAGGUCUAGACUUUUGUUACCUGGAACCCCAACUUUAAAGUCACAAGAGUAAAAUGUAGGUCCUUACUUAGAACUUUUGUUUUGAAUGUCCUUGUGUUAAAAUGUCCUCAUAUUCUCAACUCUUUUGUUUAAUGGUUUUAUUUCCUUCUUCCCUGUGGCCUUGAAGAUUUUCAGAGCUUAAUUGGUAUACAGAGUCAUCUAUUACAAGGAUUUUAUUUGUGUACUGCAUUUGCUGAAACACAAUUUUGUUUGCAGUCAACAUGCCAUCAAAUCAUUUCUUUAUUGUUGUUGCUCCUGUGCUGUUGUUAACAUCUAUUGUUUCUUCAUGCAGUAUAUUCAGAAACAAAUGCGUACCCUAGAAGAUGGCAUUCGGAAAUCUUGGGCACUUGUCAGACCAUCUGCUAAUCAAAGAUGGAGUAAGUUUUGUUUGGUUGAUGGCAAAUGGACAACCUAAUAUUUAUGCAUUUCUUUAAGUUUUAAUAUAUUGGCAAUGAAUUAACCUUGUCUAGACUUUUUUAAGCCUCUCUAUCUCUAUAUCCAGAGCCUAGGCAUGAUAAUUUUCCAGUCUACUAUUUUACUUGCUGUAAAGAAUGCUAUCAUUGUGAAUAGAUCACACUAUGGGUAGAUGAUAAAUUUAAAAUCAAUGGACUAAUGCUGAUUAGUAUUGCUACAGGCAACUACCUGGGCAAGCAUAUAUUUGCCUCUUACCACAACUUCAUAAUAUGUUUGUAUUAUGUCUCUAUCUGAAGGAAACGAUAAACCUACAUGAAAUAGCAAUUCAAAGUGUAGAGAGGCAAAAUAUCAUCUUGUAUCUGUUAAGAGGAAAUCGGAAACUGGGAUUUCGAAAUUAGAAAUGGCAUUUUUUUUUUUCUGAGAAAAAUGACUUUGGUGUAUGUUCUCCAUUCUGGAAUAUUUUAUCAUGCUAAUGGUAGUCUUGACUUUAACCCAUUAUGAAUUUUGAUAUGUUCAGAUUCUUUAUUCAUUUUCUUUAAGUGAAAAUCAAUAGGUGUAAAAUGAUUUAUAUGUAACAGUUUUGACUGUCAUCCUUAUUUCCAGCCAAAGAGGAAUCUCUAGAAAAUUUGGAGGAGAGUUCAAUGAUGUCUAGUGAAUCAAUUGAUGAACUAUUUUCCACCACCUUUAACAUAAUCAGGGAUACUGCUACUGAUGCUAUCAACAAAAUUUGUGACUUCAUUGGUGAGUUAAUAAGCUCCAGUAUAUUAGUAAUAUGCAUCUUACUGACACACUGAUAGAUUUUCUCCAUGUACUUGAAAUAUGUUUGUGAAAUUUAAUUUGUCAUAAUUUGUAAUUUUAACAGCUGGAACAAGUUGUUUCCUUGAAUGCCUGUAUCUUUGUGCAUUACAUUGCUUGUCAGCUUGUAAAUUGCUUUCUAAGUGCAUGUUUGGGCACAUUUCGUUUUUUUCUUUUUGUUUUAAAAAUAGCCUUAUACAAAAUGUGGGAAUUCUGAUACAAAAAGUAGGUAGAUACCUUACAUACUUGAAAACACUUUUAAAAAUUUAAGAAAGUAAAAAAAUAUCACUUCCACAGUUUUUUUAAAUUUUGAAAAGAGUCUUAAGAACACAAGAUAAAUUUUUGUUUUUUGUUUAAGAGUUCUUAUAUUUUGUUUAUAAGUUUCUAUUUUUAAAAAUAAAAAAUAGGAAGUAUAUUUAAAUGUCACCUAAGUUAUAUACAAUGAUUCAUUUUUUUAUUUUUUUAAAGACCUGGAUCAAAGAUUAUAAACUCAAAAAUUUAAAUACACAACACUCUUUCAAAUGGUAAGAACCCUUUAUUUGGAUUUUCUUUUCUAUUUUCCUUUUUUUUUUUGGUUGAUUAAGGUUACUCUUCAUUUCCAAUCUAGAGAUGGCCAUUACUAACCAGGACCUACCUUCAACCUCACCAAAAUGAGCAGGUUCAAGUCAACUUAACAGAUUGCCUAUAGGUUUGGCCCUUCCCUAACUGGACAAACUUGAAAUCAACUUGAUUAGUGAAAUGCCUUUCUUUACAUUUAACUAAUAACAUUGGGCCAUUGCUUGGUUAGUUGACUAGUGGCUUGGCUAUGUCUGGAACCCCUUUCCAAUUUGAAUUGCAUAUGCAUCCAUUCAAUACAAUUUAUAUUGUUUUGAAACAACAUAGUUGUAAGAAUUCUCGCCCAUCUUACUUUUCUUUCUUUUACUGAGAUUUUGAAGCCAUGCUUCUCUCUCUCUUGAGUGGAAGGAGGGUGGAUAUACAAGGAGGAAGAAACCACUCUCUGUGUGUGAUCAGAAAUAACUGUUUCAUUGCAUUGAAAUAUUAAGUGCAAAGAAAGCAUGAUAAAGCGAAAUCAGUCUCUCUUUGUGGGUGGGAUGGUGGGAAAAGUCAACAAAGAGGAAGAGAAUCAGAGGAUUUAAGAAAAGCACAAGAGCCACAUGAUGGGGGUGGUGGGUACUGAGUUAGUGUAGUAGAGUGAGCUUGGUUUGCUGCAUCUUAAAACGGAAUUCUACAGUUAUGGUAAAGCUUUGUUCAAAUAAUAGAACUCAGGGCAAGAAAUCUUAGAAAAACCAACUUUAACUAGAUUAUGAUCUCAAGAUAGGGAAUUUGUAUAAGAAGCUUUGCAUUCUAUGCAUUGUGGUAGCAGAAGCUGUGACACCAUUUUGUUGUGCAAUAAGAUAUAUCACAUGUAAAGCAAAUCCACACAUAAAGCUGGACAAUAUAUAACAUGAUUUAGCCAACCAUACACAUCCAUGAAUGAGAAAAAAUCAAUUCACUAUAUAGAAAAUAUUACAUGGGGAAGCAAAUGCAGAUACAAACAAUAGUCUCUCGAAACAUCUAUGCUUUUGUGCUCGUAGUAUUACAUCUUAAGCUGAGCUCUGGGACAUCCCAUGUUUCUUUGCUCUACCUAUGUCUUCCGUCUCUCCCUUAUAUCUUUCAUUCUCAGUAUAGCCUUUAAAGUGCCAUCUUAAUUUCAUUUCAUUUUCUUGUUAUGGCAAAAAAUAUCUGUACAGACAUCUGAAAUCUUUCCUUAUUCAACAAGGAAAUCUAUUUCCAUGAGGAAGUAUCAAAAUAUAAAUGAUUCUACACAAAAAUGAAUUCUUAUGAAAUUAGUAGUUGAAUUAAAUUGGAACUUUAGAUGCCUUCUAAGAAUCUCCACCUUUGGCUUAAAUUCCAUGGUGUUGGCCUUUGGAAAUCCAUAACAAAGGAGUGGGAUCUUUGAGCAGCAGAAUAUCAUUCUCAGUAGGUAAUGGUUAGAGAGUGAGAUUUUGGAAGCAUAAGUGGUGUGAAGAUGAGUUGCUUUGUGUUUCCUUUCCCUACUUAUUUCACUUAGCCAUUUCUAAGUACGGGUGGGUGGCAGAUGUGUGGAACUCAAUAGUCAAAGGGGGUGGAUGGGUUCUCGCUUCUCUAGGUCGUUUAAUGAUUAGGAGGUUGAAAGUGUGGAGCGUUUUGUAUUGAAACUUCAAGCAAAAAGGGUGUAUAGGGAUGAAGAAGAUAGGGUGAUUUAGAUGGUUUCAAAGAGUGGAAAGUUUUCAAUCAUAUCCCUCUAUUCCGUUUUGGAGCCUAGUGACCCUUUAUUGUUCCCGCAGAGCAUCAUUUGGAGUUCUUGCGUGCCAUCCAAGGUGGCUUUUUUUGCUUGGGAGGCAACUUGGGGGAAAGCCUUAACUUUGGAUCAUGUCUAGAGGAGGGGGUUUCUUUGGCAAAUAGAUGUUUUCUUUGCUACUCUAAAGAAGAAACUGUUUGAUCACAUUCUUCUCCACAGUGCAAAGAGAAGGAUUAUUUGGAAGCUGCUUUUUACUUUGUUUGGAGUGUCUUGGGUUCUUCCCUCUUUGGUUAAAGAGACACUCCUUGGGUGGCAUAGGUCCUUUUUGGGUGAAGGUCGCAAAAAGCCUUGGAAGGUUGCCCCUUUAUGUAUCUUUUGGACCGUUUAGAAAGAAAGGAACAUGCUUGCUUUUGAUAAUGCGGAGUUAACGGUCCAAAGGAUGAAAAACUCUUUUGUUUGUAAUUUGUGGUCUUGAACUAGGGUGUUUAUAGAUAUGGGCCCUACUUCUUUUAUUAGUUUUAUUGAUUGGCUAGGUUAAUAAGGGCAGGUGAUGUUUUUUGUUCUUUCCCUCCCCCACUCGGUUAAGCCUUUCGGCGGCUAGUGUGUACUUCCUCUAUACUUUGGGACGCUAUUUGGGCAUUUCCUUUUAAUAUAUACUCUUUGUUUUACCUAUCAAAAAAAAAAUGUGCCUUAGCUAGUGCACACUCCUUCAAAGUGCCACUGCUGAGGCAUUUAAUCAAUGCACUCCAUUUGGAAACUUGUUUGAAGCACAUCUACUAGAUGCUGGACUUUUGAAUAAAAGAAUACUGAUAACCAUCUAUCAUCUCCAAUCCUAAGUUCACAAUACUUGAUGUUCCAAAUCCUUUGCACAACAUAUCCCUUGUAUGCUACUAACUCCCCCAGUUUCACCUUCUAGUAUCUCUAAAUUGUUGAGACACUUUAACAUUUCUAGUUUUCAUGAUUCAAUAAGUGUCUUGCAACACAUUCCUAAUUCAUCGAGCUCAUACUCCAUGUAUCAUAUGAAGAUGAGAGAACAAAUGAUUCAAUUUUCAAUCAAAAUUCCUGUUGCAAUUCUCUUAUACAGUUUGGAUCUCUUGUGGCAUCUUUAUGUUCUAAUUGCACAUUCUGAAUCGCCAAAUUUGCACUUCCUCCUUGCACUUCCAUAAAUCUUUACCUUAGCUUUGAUACCACAUGUUCUAAUAGAAGAUUUGACUCCAAAUUGUUGUGUGAUAAAAGAUAAGCAAAUCCACACAUAAAGAUGCACAAGGUUUAAUGUUGCUUGAUUAAUUAUGCUUAUAUCAUUCAAUGAGACAAAUCAGUUCACUAUUACCAUAGAGAACAUUACAGAGGGAAGUUAACACAGAUAUAAAACUUGAGUCCCUAAACAAUCUAUGUUUCAUUGGUCCUAGUAUUUAUACCUUGAACCUGGACCUGAAACAUUUCAUAUUUCCUCUUCCAAUAGAUGGCUCCCUUCUUUCCCUCACUUUACUUCCUUGGUAUAGCCUCUAGAGGCACAUCUUAAUCACACAACUUUUUCUGUUCAUGACCUCCAAUAUCCAUGGAGAUAUUUGCAACGCUAUGUCUGGUUUCCAAGAAGUACUAAGGAAAAAAAUGCUAAGAAUUAAUUCCUCAUGUUUGGUUCACCAUAGAAAAUACAAAAUAAAAUAAAAGAUAUUUAGAAUUAGUUUAAAACUUAUGCAUUUUUACAUUAUUUAAUCUUUAUAUAGAAGAAAAAUAAGUAAAAUGAGUUGGAAGAGGUAUCUAAAAAUAAUUUAUUAACUUUAACACAGGGUAUGGCCAUCCCUUAUUUAACAAGGGAACCUGCUUCACUAUAAAAUGUUCAAAUAUAAAUUGUUCUUUUCUACAAUAUUCUACACCAAAAAAAAUUCUCAUGAAAAUAAUGCUUGAAUCAAGUUGGAUUGAAGUCAGUUUUCAACAAUAUAAAUGAUACAUGGAUCAGUCAGGAAUAUAAUGCCCUUCAGUAAAGGAAUGGAUGGUAUCGAGGGCUAAAAGGAAGCAUUUAUAUUUAUAGUGUUAUUUCCUCUUCCUUCUGCUUCUUCCUCUCCAUAAACUGUAAUUUUUUCCAUACAGCUUUAAACCCCAUUAUACUCAAAAAGCAUGUCAGUACCCUUUACUGUUAUUGUAUACCAUUAGUUAUGAUUCUUGAAAUUUAGUUCAUGUUUUAAUUUUCUAGUACUGAACUUUUAUAAAAACCUACUUAGCAAUGUGGCAUUCUAACUAAUAAUUAUUUCCAAAUUUACCAUGUUGUACUUAUUAUGUUUUUGACAUUUCCAAAGACAAUUUACCUUGGUUUUGUUUGUUAAAUUUAACUCUUAGGUACCAAAGUUGUGUUUUGGGAUUUGAGAGACUCGUUCUUAUUUCGUUUAUACCGUGGUAAUGUUGAAGAUGCUCGCUUGGACAGUAUUCUUCCACAUGUUGAUACUGUAAGAUAUGAAUGUUAAUUGUCUCUCUUUAUCUUUGUAUGUAUGUACAUGUGAUCACAUAUCGAAUUUCUAUCAUAGCUUUGUAGUGUUUUUCUCUAUUAAGCUGGUUACAAAACCCUUUUAAUCUAGAGCCCAUUGUUGUAGGUCCUUGAUCAAAUAUGUGAUUUGAUUGAUGAUGCUCUCAGAGACCUCGUGGUUUUAAGCAUUUGUAAGGCAGCAUUGGUAUGCUCUCAACCUUGUUUGUCAAAAUCUGUCAAGGUCCCUUUCUUUGUGGUCCUGAUUUUCUAUGUUCUCAUACAGGAAGCUUUUGUUUGGGUUUUGCUGGAUGGAGGACCUUCUCGGGCAUUUUCUGAUUCAGAUAUCCCAAUGAUGGAAGAUGACCUCAAUAUGUUGAAGGUAUGGAACAUUUUUCCCAAUCCUUUUGGUUUAAUUUUAUUGGUCAGUACAUCGAAUCAGCAUACUGCUAAAUGUAGUCAGUUUCUGUUUGAAAGGUAGCAACUGAUUGGGUGCCACUGAUAAACCCAAGUGGAACUGUCACGAUUACUUUCCUGAUACAUAUUUGCUUUCUAUUUUCAUUUCAAUUUCAUUGCCGUCUAAUAGAAUUAUGCUGCUUUGCUUUAUAGGACUUAUUUGUGGCAGAUGGAGAAGGCCUUCCACGCUCAUUAGUUCAGAAGAAAGCAGAAUUUGCUGAACAAAUACUGAGCCUUUUUGCCCUUCAGGUUUUGUUCACCCAUGGUUGAUAAUUAUGCACACCCACAAAUCAAUACACGGCCAAAAGAAGGAAUAAUAGAAACUAGCAUCAUGAUGACUUCUUCCUUUUUUUUUCUCCUGCAGACAGGAACAGUUAUCCAAAUGUUGAUGACGGCAAGUGAACACAUUUCAACAGGAUUAGAUUCUCGUAAACAUGGUCGCCUAUGCUUGGGAGACGCUCAAACCUUAGUACGAGUAUUAUGCCACAAGAAAGAUAGAGAAGCUUCGAAGUUCUUAAAAAGGCAAUAUCAGCUCCCCAUGUCUUCAGGUUAUUUUUUUAUCCCUCAGUUAGACUACCCUGAAACACAAUGUUUUAAUUUGGUAUUGGUUCCUAAGCGGUAUUGAUGUUGUUCUAGUCUAUUCUGGCAGCCUUCACAUCAUUACAUGCUCAAUGGAAAAUGAAACCUCUGGGAAAAAUGAAUGCCGUAUCUUAGAAGUGUUUUGGACUAAAACAUCCUACUGCACUUGUGGGGGUUUUUCUAAAGCUAGGGUCCCCACUUUGAGUAGUAAGCAGGGGACUCAAUUCAACACAGUAAAACGAUAACAUUUAUCCUGAAAUGGUUGGGAUGAUGCGUACACGCACUCUCACACUUGCUUUUCCAACCAAGAUCCAAAAUCUAAAUACUGCUUGAUUUACUUUUCAUUUUUCCUCCCACCUUUCUCGGCAAGGGUGCAAGUUCCUUUUGUGGCAGCUGUUUAAUGCUUUUGGCCAAUCUUUGACUCUAAAUCCCAACCAUCUUUGCUCGAAACUUUAUAAUCUGGUUUCCCUUACAUUUCACUAACUAAAAAAUAAGCUUAAAUCCUUUCUAGCCACCGCCAGAAUAUAAUAAAGUUAAGUGAAGUGAUUUAUUUUUUUGGCAGAAUAUGACGAUACUCCGUCAAAGGAUUCAACUUUGAGAAGUCCCCUUAUUUCAGAUCUCAUAAAGCGAAGCGCAUCAUUCCACUGGACGGAGAAGGGCCAGAGUAGCUUCAUAUCUUUAAAAAAGAAACUCCAAGAAGCAACUUCCGAAAUCAGAUGGUAAACACAUUUCCCUUAUUCUUCCGUGUCACAUGUUUGACACGGAGCUCUAAGUCAUUAUGGGCAUAUGGGAAAGGCUAUGGUUUGGCCCCCUUCCGUUUUACGGUGUAAGGGCGUGCCCGUCAUAGCAUUUUAAGCGUUAAUAUAACGCAAACUCUAUAAAUCAAUAGUCCCCCGCGGCCUACCCACACCAAUCAUAGCAGAAGAGUGCCAUUGUCUGAUGGGCCCUGCUGCCAUUACGUCUCAAAGUUUGCGGAUGACAAUCAUUUUGGAUAAAUAUGUACCUCCAGGUCUCCCCUGAUGUGUUCAGAAGAAAAUGUUGUGUGCUGAUUUGAUUUGGUGAUGGUCCCAAAAAGCUAGAGCCGUGUCAUCUAGAUUUAUCCUAUUCGAGCUUUGGAAAAUGAUAUGCUACCAAAUGGGUUUCAUAUCUAAACUUCAAGAUUGAACUGUGUAUUAGAAUUUUGGUAAUUAAAUAAAGUCAUAAAGAAAUGAGAAUGGAUAAUAUUAAUAAAAGAAGAAGAAGAAGAAGAAGGUAGAAGUGAUCAAGUGAAUGAAACUUGGAUAUAGAUCGAUGAACCAAAUAAAAAUAUAAGCUAAUGAGAUAUUUUUGACAUGGGCAUCUUUUUUCAAAGCAUAUAUAAGUUAUAGUUUUGUGAAUUAUGUUUACAUUCUUCCUUAUACCUGUGAUAUCCCUUAUUUUUUUUUUUCUAUAUUCUAUCAAUCUGUAAUUCAAAACAGCUGAACAAUAAUUUAAUGGUGGAAAAUUUUUGAAGUAUAUAUUGUAGCCGUGCAUGCAAUUUCUUACUUCCCACACUCCAAUAAACUUGGAAACACUGCCACAUCUAGAUUUUUUUUUUCUGCCCUACCGUCGAAGAUUCGAAUCCAAGGAUGUUAGUCUCUAUUCUCUAAGAAUUUCCAAGAUGCUACGAAUUUGCUUUGGGUAACCGGACGUGUAUAACAGAUAUUCCCGCAAAAGACCUAGUCAACCAAGUCAACUGGCUUGCAUAUAUAUAUAUAUAUGAAAAGUCACAUGUUCAUCUUUUAAUUUUUGCCUCUUUUUUUUUUUUGGGUGUUAAAACAAAAGCUUUCAAAUCCCAAUCACACGGGAUAUGAACAUACACUUUGCAAAAGCUUUAGGCUUUCGGCGCAAUGAGACAGAGUGAGAGCCAAGUUCAUUUCCACUAAACAAAGCAACAUCAAUAUUUAUGAUUUGCCCAUCCCGUGGAUUGAGGACUACUGUAGCAAAAUCACAGCCGACAUUCAAACCAUUGAUUUUGUUCAAUCACAUCAUUACCGACUUCUCUUCCUUCUCUUCCACUUGUCGGCCGCUUCCCUCCUCUACACCCACCUCCCAACGGCACUACACUACCCGGAACCAGAGUCACCGGAAUGCCAAUUGCCAUCUGAGAUGGGUCCACCGCCGGCAACUGCGUGUGGCCAGGGUCCGCCGGCCUCUGCUGGAAAACUGGAAAUGACCCUUCUAACCUCACGGCAACAUUCACAAUCCCAUGCCCUCUCGUACCGUCUCUGUCCCGGAGACGGUAGCUUAGGUGCCGCAGAGUCCCCGCCGGAGAGAACCCUUCUAGAAUAUCCCCGGCCGGAAUCUGACACCAACCCAGCUGAAUCUUGCCCUUCAUGAGACGCUUGGUGUAGAUGUGGAGGUAAAUGGCGGAGUAUCUGUGGGAGAAGAAGGUGGCUUCCAUGGGCAGCCGGAACUUGUCACCCCAGGUGGGAUUGAUUCCCCCCUCGUCGUCCACCCUUGUCAUGUACACCUGGCUCUGUUUAUCAGCGCCAGUGGGCUUGUAGGGCGUGGGUGGGGCAGUGGUGAGAGUGAUGAACGGGCGGAUGCGUUUAGAGAAGAAGGUGGAGGUGUUCUUAAGGCCCUCUGCUGAUACAAUUGUGAUUUCGAUAACGAAAGGCUGGCGAUUAGUAUCGAACAUGGUGACUCUGUGAGGGAUUAAUUUACAUACAAAAUUCAAAAUAGAGUUGAGUGAGUGAACGAGUGAAGAGCCAAUCUGGGUUUUUGAGUUUCAUAUAUACAGAGAGAAACAAGAAUGAAAAAAGAGGAGUUGAUGGGAAGUUGGGAUGCUACUCACUCUGCAAUUUCCCUUGUGGAAUAAACUCCCCCAUAUAUGGAAAUUUCAUGUUGGCUGAGUCAACUAACUCGCAUGUGAUGACCACGUGUAGAACAGUAUAUUUACAUAUACACAUUUGAGAUUAUUUUCUGUUUUAACCUAUAAUUUUUUUAGGUUGCCGUAAUAAAGACAAAUUUUCAUUGUUCUACCUCUUAAUUUCAUUUAUUUUUUAUCUUAUGGGUUAGGUAUAUCUUCGGCCGUUAUUUAUACUCUUAUUUAAUUAUUUAGAUUUUAUUUUAUUUUAAUAUUUUAAAACCGAGAUAGGAAUUCGGUGAUCACUUCUUCUUACCCUAGUAAUUUUUUAUUUUAUUUUAUUUGUUUCUUAUUAAUUUUUUCUUGGUAUGAUCAAUGAUGAUUACCAACAUCCAGAAGAUGAUAGGUCAUAUUCAAUAAAAUAAAACAGUGGGAUAAUACAGACAAAUUAUUAAAAAAAUAAAAAGAAAACAAGAAUGGAGCGGGCAGUGUGUAGUGAGUGGGACGGAAGCUGCCAAACCCCUAGUUGUUUAGAAAAACCAAAGUCCGGCCAAUAACUGCCAUUGAAAUAAAUGGUCAGUUUUUUCUCCUAUACGCCAUCACCCACGAAAGUGGUUUGGGAGUUUAGCGGAAAACUGCUUGAACCUUCCCUGCAACUCAGCAAUCGCACACCACCUUCUCCUCUACCCUAACGACUCAGGCAACUGUGGAUUCUUCAAACGUCCAAGUCAAGCCCAUACCUGGAAAACAGGAACCAAUUAAUUAUGUAAAUUUCCAUCACGCUUCUUAAAAAAUUCUGUGAAAGUGGAAGAGAGAAGAGGCCAGAAAUGGCUCACAUGGCUAGGUGUAAAUUGUAAUGAAGGCGUGAGUCACGGGGAGAGCAAAGAGAGGUGAAUCACAUGGCCCAAUUCUCCCAAGUAUUUCUUUACUACACUUACGAGCCUAUGACUGCCCCCCUCCUUCCCCCACCCCACCAUUGAGGGUUUCUGCAACAAGUUGGCAGGGGUGAAGAAAAGUAAGAAACACAAGACCAAGAAUAAGAUGUGUCACAAAGAACAAUUCUUUUGAAGGUGGGGCAUAGCUCCAUCUAAGACAUUAAUGGAAUUGCGGGUACGUAGGUUUAUUAUUAUUAUGUCAUUUUUAUUAGACAAUUCUUGAUAAGAAAAGUCAUCUCCCUUAUUGAUUACGUUUGGUACUUGUAGGAUAAAAUGCUAAUGAAUACGCUUUCGUGUGGAAGACCUAUUUAUUAUUUCACCCAAAUCGCCCCAGAUGACGACUUGUUUCUGUCAAUGAAUUAAGUGCUCCUACACAUGAUUUGAAAAGGUCAAAAAUGACAUUUAAAAUAUAUAAAAUCAAGCAACCUAUUCUAAAUUUCUAAUCAAAAUAUAAAAAGAAAAAGCUGUAAUUACCAAAAUGACCUAAAACCAUUAGAAAAAUAAUAUUUACAUAACAAUUUAAACAAAAUAUUGGCUCCACCACUGUUUACAAAUGUUUUAAAUUUAAUUUUUUUUUCUCUUAUAUUUUCCUUUAAAAUUUUCUCGAGACCCUACAUGGCAAAAAUGUUGAAUUAUAGAGUUCAAUGUUCUGUGCGUUUUUUGAAAUAAUUCUCUUAUUGAAUUUAUAAUAAUAAAAAAAUUAAUUCAAGGAAACUCAAUUAAAAUUUUAUUCAUUUUUUUUUUCUUUUUUUACGCCGAAAGGUGGAGGUGAAGAUGUUGAGAGGCCCAAAAAUGGUUUCACGUGUAGGGUAAGGUUUGGGUGCAAACCAUACAGGCGUGAGUGCCGAGGUAGCGAGGUGGAUCACAUGAAAUGAAGCCAACACUUUCUCCACUGGCCCCCACUCGAUCGAUGGCCCCCUCCAUAACUUGUUGAUUAAGGGUUGCAUCCAUUGUCAUGGAGAAAGAAAGGUUUUGGGAAAUGACUCAUACGAGGAAAAAUAUCUCCCUUAGAAAAGAUAUGUUGGAUGUUUUAAGAUCCUUCCAAACAAACAUGUUAUGUCUCAUGAUUUUCAAAAUAGACAUAUUUAAUUUAUUAAAGAUACAGUUCCUUCAAUAAUCACCACCUAUAAUUAUAAAUAUAGCAUCUUUGAUUUGUUUGGUGUAUUCUUUUUGUUCGGUCUUCAUUUCUAGCAUUCCAGUUUAGUCAAAUAUUAAUUCAAUCAAGAAUUUAAGAGAGCGUAAAUCAUUAAGUGAUUCUUUGUUUCUUAUGAUUUAAACUGAUCAUAAGAAAAUAAUUAUUAUAUCAUGGGAGAUAAUCACUUUUAUACCUUAAGCAUUUGAUCGAGACAAAAUUUGUGUUAAAAACAUUGAGUCGAACUUUAACCUUAAUUAACUUAUUGUUUAUUAGUUUAAUUUUAUUGUUUGAUUUCAAAAUUAGAUGUUCAACUACUUUUUAGUUUGAACAAUAAUUUUAAGACAAAUUUGUUUUUAUUCAUUGUUAAUUUUAAUUACAUAAUAAUUUUUUAUGAAAAUGAUCUCUACAUCUUUUGUUAUAUUGCACAUGAUAAGAAACCUAAUAAAUUAUACAGACUUCAAAAGGUGGCCAUAAAAGAUAUUAUACCUUACAACUCUAAACCUCGCUUGGAUCUCAUUUGAGAAUGCCCCCACAUUAAAAGUGGGUAAAAUUGAUAAGCAAGUAUAUGCAGUUGUGGAAGCUUAGAAUAGUUCUUACUUCCCAUGCAAGAACUAUAUUUUCAAUAGUUUGGAUAACACAUUAUAUAACAUGCAUAGUCUAAUAAAGGUUGUUACGGAACUAUGAGGGUUCUUGGAGAAAAAAGUAUAAGAUAGAGGAUGUUAGCUUGAAGAAAUUUGUAGUUGACAUAUUUUUUAAAUUCAAAAUGAUAGACUCCAAGAUAUUUAUGAGUUGAGUCUUAAGAACUGCAAAUCAUUUUGCAUGAGAUGAAAUGUUAUUGAGUGGGUCUUUCCAAAUUGCAGUUAUAAUGGAAAAUUUACCACUCUUAUGGAAAGAUUUUAAAAAUUACUUGAAGUAUAAAUACAAAGAGAUGUGACUAGCUUCAAACAAUUGUGAGAUUGAGGAUUGAAGACAACAAUCAAAUUUCUCACAAAAAAGUUAGGAAAACUUUCUAUAAAGUCCAAGGCAAAUUUGAUAAAGUAGAAAACAAAAAAAAAAGGGAUGUAUUUCGAUGAAAGUCCUAAUCAAAGGAAAGACAAAUUUGAAAAUUUAAUAAAAAGUACUAUGUGUGCAAUAAGGUAGGGAUUCUUAGUCUAAAGGAUAAGACAAGAAAAUUAAAUACAUAUGAUUGGAGAAGAGAAAUUGAUAAAUAAUGCAUUAGAUUUGAUUCUUUCUACUACAUAGUUUGAAGGUGAACAACUCUAAGGAAUUGUGCAUGGACACGGGAACUACUUGCAAUGUAUGUUCAAAUAUAAAGAUGUUUAUUUUCUUAUGUACAAAUAAAUGGAAAGAAGUUAUACAUAGCUAUGUCUAAAGUCAAAGGCAUAGGAAAGGUGGUAUUAAAGAUGACUUUAGGAAAGACACUCAAUGAUGUGUUGUAUGUGCUAGAUAUCCAUAAGAAUUUAGUGCAUGACUCGUUAUAAGAAUGGCUUCAAAAUGGUCUUCAAAUCUAAUAAAUUGGUAUUCACCAGGAAUGACAUGUAUGCGGGCAAAGAAUAUCGUGCAAAAGGGUUUGAGAUGAAUAUAAUGACUUUAUUGUGAGAUUUUAGUAAUAAUAAUAAAAUUAAAUUUUGUGUUUAUUUACUUUAGUCUUAUAAUUUGUGGCAUAACAAAUUAGGAUGUGUGAAUUUUUAUUCUUUGUGAAAAUUAAGAAAUUUAAAUUUAUUGUCAAACUUUCAUAUCAAUCUUAGUCAUAAGUGUGAAAACAAAAAUACGAAGAAGCAAGACAAUUAGAGAAUUUGAAGUACCUUUUCAUGAGCUCUCUUUAAAACAUGGUAUUAUUUAUCAAACUCCUCACUCACCUUGAUCAAACGAUGUUGUUGAACAUAAGAACCAAAUAUGAAAGGAAAUGAUGAAUGUUAUAUUGAUAAGUUUUGGUUUACCCUAUAAUUUGGGAGGGGAAGCAAUUCUUUUGGCAUACUACAUUUGUGCUAAUGAUAUUAAUGCACAUGGAUUCCUUGUAUAUGCAUUAAACAUUUCUUUUUAAUUUGUGAAAAUACGAUCAUUGAAUCAAGAAAUACCUUUUUUUUUUAAGAACACAUUUCCCUAUAAAAGCAUAUCAGAGAAAAAUUAUCAAAAAAAGAACAUAUAAUAUUGAUAGUAAUAAUCAUCAAAACAUUGACAAACCUAAACAUAAUAAGUUUGAUUAUUUGACUUAUAUACAUUAAAGAAUGAACCCUAGAUAUUUAAAAAAUUAAUUUCUACAUGGUGUUUGCAUUUUUGGUUAAAUAGAAAAAGUUGAAAUAUUUAAUUUUUUCUAUUUAACUAAAAGUAAUCGAUUAAUGUAAUUAAAUUGAACCUAUUGAUAACAAACUCACUUUAAUUAUAUAGGUCAAUAUCAAUAGAUUACUUUAAGCUGAACAAUAAAAACUAAAAAUAAAUAAAUACUUACCUUUUUAUUCAAUCAAAAAACAAAUACGAUACUAAUAAGCCUUUUAGGUUAUAAAUGGAAUAUUAAUUGGAAAUUGAAAGUCGAAGGAGAAGGAUGUAAAAAUCACUAUUAAAAAUUUAGAUAAUUAUUUAGAGAUUCUUGAAUUGCAUUUGGUAGGUAUUUACUUUGUUAUAUAAUACAUUGUCAUCAAAAAUAUUUUUUUAUUAUUUAUAUUUAAAAUUAGAUUUUUUUUUUCAAACCAUUAAUGAUAAAAAUGUUAUUAUUAGAAGCGUUAUGUAUUAAAAUCCUUGACAAACAAUUUAUAACAAAAUGUUACUAUGAGAUUAAAUUCCUUUUCUUGAUGCAUCCUUGAUAAUGUAUCAUUAAUCCUCUUAUUUACUUCAAUCGAAUCAAUCCACCAAUGGUAUAGUUACUUUGAAUUGACCUCAAAUUGAAAUGCUAGAAUCAAAAUGGAUAGGUUACCCUUCUAUGAUACUAUCCCGUUUAUAUAAAUUAAUUUUCAUUGUCGUCUCAAUAAAAAAAUCUCAUACUCCCAUGGGGCCAUCCCAUUAAAUUAAAUUUUUUUAAUUAUAUUAAAAAUAAAUAUAUUUUAUAAAUAAACAUAUAUUAUAAUUUUUGUAACUUAUAUGAUCUGUCCAACUUUAUCUCUGAAUGAUAGAGUUUAAUAUUAAGAAAUCGUGUGUACAAUAAAAUUUGACAUUAAAAAAUGCAUAUAAAAUAGGAAUUUUCGUCGGACGUUUAAAGAUGGAGCGGAGCUGUCACCUAUAUCUAAUUUGAAAGCAAUGUGUAUUGUUCCAGGCUUCCAGCCAUGCAUCUACUGUGCAAACUACAAGUCUACACGGCUGGUGUUGAUGCCAGCCACGUAGUACUUGUAUCCAAGCUGGCCAUCCAUAGGAAUUUAGAAGGUGGGCAUGUUGGGCUUAUCCAUAGCCUGAUUCCGGAUAUUUCAUAUUUGUUUAAUCUUCUUCUCGGCUCAUUGAUUGGGUUGGGACUUGGGACCAAACUUUGUCUUCAGUCUCUGUGUGUUGGGACGCUUGACAGUUGUUGUUACUUAUUGACUGGGAGAAGAAGGAUGGACGAGUGUCACUGCAGAAUAUAAAAUAAAUCAUCCCCCACUUCAUCCAUUCUCUUCCAUAGUCCAGCUGUCCCAAAUAUCGGCUGUAAGCCUGUAACCACCGUCAAGUUCGCCAGCUGCCCCACUUAUUAUGUUGCCCAACUUCUUUCACAUAUUCCUAUGAGAUGGUAUUGGGUCCCAACACUAUUGAGUACGCCUACCGUCACUUCAACCAUGAAAAAUUCAAUUUUUAUUGAAUCUCAGGGUGUGGACUCUCAUGCUUUUGCUCCCCGAAGCCCAGCCCAAACCCGGUCUCACAUGCAAUUUAGUUCUCAACGUAUUUUCCUUCAAUAAGAGCCUUCGAUUUCUGAUGAGAAGAACCCCACCUCUACUCUCAGCAGUGAGUCAAAGGCCCACCAACCGUGUAGGUGGUCCAAAUAUGAAAUAUCAGAGACUGUGGAGCCCAGACUUGCACCAUCAUCCCUCUGUCUCUAUCUCCUUCGGCUUCUCUCCAAUCCCUUUUGGAAACCACUUUUCCCUUUUUAUCUUCUCCUGUGGCAUUGUCCUUGCCAACAGCUACCCAAAUGAAAUGAUGACCAGAACCUUCCAGCCCCUACGCUAUCUCCAUGAGCUGUUCAUCAGAAAGCGACACCCACUGGCCAAAGCAGACCUACAGGUGCCGAGCCAACUCAGGCACUCGUGGUCACCAAAUUAACCUCGGUAUUAGUCCUGAGUCAUGACCCCUCUCCACCGGAUCAUCUCCGGCAUUUCCGAGGAUAACCGCAGGCGGUGCAGCGUACCAAACGUUUGUGUCCCAUUAUUUUCUUGCUUGGAAACUGUUGACCGACACUGCAAAACUCUUGAACUCAGUUUCUUUCCGCAGUUCCAUCAACUUUGUAGACGCAUUGGGCUUUCCACGUACAUACUCCUGCAGCUGAGACCAGUUUAUUCAAAUUCUUAUACAUUAUCUAGGAGGAGGCAGAGCUAUAGUCAUGUUUUAAUCUAGUAGGAUAGGAGAUGACCCAUAAUCGAUCAUCAUAUAUAGACACGAUCAUCAUGUAGAAAUUGAGUGAGGAUGAGUUUUACACUUUUACUCACCUCUCGAAAGGCAUUCUUAAGGGGGAAUAAAAAAAACCAAAAUUAUGUUACCUUUAAUAACGUUUGUUCUCAAAAAUUGUUUUCAAAACUAUUUUUAUAGUGUUUUUUAAAACAAAAAUCAAUUUAAAAGCAUUAUCAAUAUACUUUUUAUACUGUCAAAUAUUAUUUAAAGACAAACUUUAUAUUAUAGUGUUUAUUUUUAACUUUUUUUAAUUUUCAUCUCAUUAUUAUUUUAAAAUAAAUUAUAAAAAUCAAAUAAAAAUAACUAAAAUAUAUUCUCCAAAACAUCAUAUUUUAUAUUUUCAAAAAUAAAACUCUCGAGAUAAAUAAUAUUUCCUUAACUUUCAUAUUAAACUUUAUUUUAAAUCAUAAGUUUUUUUCAACAAAAUCAUUCAAACAAACAUAAAAACUCCGAGUAAGCUUAAACAAGAGCUAGCUUCUCAAAACCGAUUUCCACCAUCUAAUUUCUUGCAUAUGUUUCAUAUUAAGCACUACUUGUAUUUUUCUAGUAAGACAAAAAGGUGCUUGCUAUCAAGUAUCAAGAACGAAGGUCUUUUAAGGUAAAACCCAAAAUACAGGCCCAAUUACAAAGUUCUGACAACUGUCAAAAGCCAUUUGAAAUCUGGACCAGUAAAACACUGCUGUUUUGGCGGCCCAAAGUUUGGACAUGAAGGAUGUGGAAGAGGCCUAUGGUUAAAUUAAAUAUAGAAGUGGGGGUGGGGAUGGCAUAUGGUAAUGUAAUAGGCUUACAUCAAUGCAAAAAGCUAACCAGGAGGAUUUUCCAAACCCAUUGCAUUAAUAACUCCUCCCAAAUGUUGGAGACAUUUUUAAUAUAAAUUUGUACUACUUAUUAAAAUAGGAGAUGUUUGUUAACUUUUUCUUUUCAAAUAUACCCUUAAGUACCAAGAAAAUCUAUCCAUAAAUUCAUUAAUAAAUAUUAAUUUAAUCUUAAAUUAAAUUUAUAUCAUUUUUUAAGGAAGCCGAUGAAAAUGAAAGAACAAAAAAAGGGAUAUUAGAGCCUUUCAAGCAUUAUGAUUUUUUUUUUUGAAAAGUUAACUUCUCUCUUUUACGAUUAUAAGAAUUUAAAUAUAAUUUAUGAGUUAUAUUUUAUUUGAAAUCAUAUUUUCACUUUAAUUAGUUUUAUAAAGAAUUUUUAUAGAUCUUAUGAUAUAUUUUUAUUUGUGCUUUUCUCUUAAUCGCAAACUUUGAUUUGUGUAAAAUUUUUUUUGCCCAAAACCACCCUAAUAAAAAUUUUUAAUUUUUUUUAUAAUACUAUAUAUAUAUAUAUAUAUAGAGGUUGAGAAUAAAAUUAUAAUUUUAAAACCAUGAUUUUAAUAUUAUAAAUAUUCAUUAGAUAAAAAAUAAUCUCUUAUAUAUACUAAGAUUUCAUUUGGAUAGUUUCAUGCUUUAACUUAGUUGAAAGCUAAAAUUUAAGACAAAGUUAUGAUUUUUAGAGAAAUAUUUUAAAUUUUUCACUAAAUAUGAAAAUUUUUAAUUUAUAAAUCCAAAUAAAACUUCCAAACCACCUUUUCCUACUUCCAUAUAUUCCUUAAUCAAUUUAAAAAUAAAACUCUUAAAUUUCCAAAAAUUGAUCCAAAUAGAGAAUAAAUUAAAUAUAUGUUUUUAUGGAAAUAAAUCUUCUAUUCCUCCUUUAAAUAAAUUUCUCAAAAUUUUAUAAUUUUCCAAUAUAUAUAUACAUGUUGACAGAUCAAAACUGAAAAUUCUUAAAAUAUAUGCAGAUUUUCUUCAAACAAUCAAUCAAAGCAAUAAACAAAGUCUAAGAGAUUCAGAGCAAAAGUCAUAACCUCUACAUUGGCAAUGAUCCUCCUUGUCAAGUCUACCUCUAACAAGUAAUGAUCCUAAAUUUGCUCCGGGCUGUAAGCCAAAAGUUUGGAAUAAACUAGUAAUGUUUUUCAAAACCCAUCCCAUCCGACGAGCUGGCAAAUCUUAAAACCAUUAUUCACGGAUCAUGGGAUCAUGGAUCAUUAAGCUGAAACCGUCACCGAAAAUAUCAAAUAAUUCUAUACUUAAUUUGACAUUGCAAACCAACCUAACCUUGAUGAGCCUCCUUCCUCAGCAUUUCCAGAGAGGGCAGCUCGCUGCGGUUCCACGUUUCCACGGGCAAAAAUUACACGUCACGUCUCACGGAGAGGGCUUCCGAGAAACAACUAGAAUGGAGCUUCUAAAUAUACAAUUGGAGCGACACGUGUCGAUCAUGGCACGCUCCUACCUCGAAAAGCGUUCCUAAGGUGCCCACUGUUCCUGUCACUAUCAAUUCUAAUCUAAAACGUUUAAUCAACUGCGGAGUUCUAGCCACGGAGGGUCUUGAUGAUGAUCAGAACUUCCAUCCAACGGCUCUGAUUUCACCUCUUGUUGCUGGGUCUGAGCUUCCUUCUCUGACUCCUCCUCUUCAUCUCUUCUGACGCGCUUCACGCCGAUGGAAACACCGAAUAAUCGUGGGCUUAAAUCGCCCUCGGCCUUGACGCCACUCUGUCCGGCUUCCACAGGCAACUGUCUCUCCGUCAACAAGUCCAGCGGCCUGCCUUCCGGAAUACCUCCUGCGUCAAUUUGGCCGGCGGCGUAGUUUGUCAUCAGAGCGAGUAUGUUAUUACACAAGCCCCUCAACUGCGUUAGUUCCUGAGUUAGUUGCGAGUUCUCCCUCCUGAGCCGUUCGUUCUCUUCUAGAAUCUCAGGCGUACUGGAGCAGCUUGAGGUGCGAUGCACCGUAACGGGUACGGUGGCGGGUGAUGAGUUCGAAGAGAGAACUUGUUCAUCGCCGGAAUUCGUCGGAGACACCGCCCGAGCAACAACGGGAAGGACUGCCGCAACCGUCACCGUCGUCGCUGCAGCGGCAGCCAUCGGCGAGAUUUUCCGGCGCUGUAUGUCUCGCAAAAGCGCUUUUUCUCCUUUGCGGAAGUAGUCGUUGGCGAACUCCCAUCGGUCGGGCACAACCUUACGAAAUCCCUGCAGAUUAAAAAGAGAAUAAACAAAUCAUUUAAUAAAGCAUACUUUCUAAACGGAAGAAAGAUCAAACCUUUAUCAUACGUUUGGUUUCACAGCAAUAGGAAGAAAUAGAAAGAAAGGAAAACUAGGAAUCCGCCAUAUUGUUAGAUUCCAAAUUUUCUUUUAUUUGGCCACAACUUCUAGUAGCAUUAUCAGUUUCACGUAUAAGCUUUUCCGGGAGGACACUUACAUAAGUGUUUAGCUGUCGAACGAAGCUUGAGAAGUUAUUGUGUUUGAAGUACUUCGGAAGCAAAUCCCUCGCAAAUUCAGCAGGUCGCCAAACGAUGAAGGUUGAUCCGUCUUCGUUCCACGAAAUAAGAUCGUCCACAGCCGGAUCGUCCACAAGCUGAUAUGUUUUCGUCAGAAACGGCGUCGGGAGCGAUCUCUGUGAUUCUCCGGCUAGUGAUUCGCCGGUCUGUUCAACCGGCAAUGGUGCCAUGAGCUUCGCUCUCAGAUCCGAACCCUAAGAAACUGGAACAUCUAUGAAAUUUACUUGUUUAGUCCUUCGACUAAAAUUUUUUACAUGCUCAAAUCAAAUUUACUAAAAACGAAAGAAAAUAUCCAACCUCUAUUUGCCCCUGAGAAAGGGCAAGAAAAUGUGAAAAAAAAAAGUUCAUUUUCCAAAUUAAAUUAGAAAAAUCCUAAAGAGAGAGGGAGAGAACAACUAUCGCCUAACUGAGCCCCAAUCAACCACGGUCAGUUAUUCACUUUGUCUAUGACCAGCAACAUAUCGCAUAACAUUCAAUAUUCCAUCUCCUACCUCUUGUUUUCUAUUUUCAUCACAGUUUUCUCACCAACCAAACAAACUACUUAAUCAAACUAGACUAUUUCUAUAGCAAAAAACUAUUAAAAUCAAAUAGAAUUACCUGAUAACCUAUGCUUACAUCCAAAAGAGGAAGAAACACCGAACCAGAAACGAUCGCCGGAAAAGAGAGGAGAGAGAAGGUUGGAGAGAGGUGGGUGUUUUUUUGUGCUGGUUCUAGAAGUUUCUGGGUGGAGUAAAUGAUGAAGAAAAAGAGAAUUCGUGAGUUCGAGAAGGAAAAGGAAAGAAAGGUGAGAAAUAAAAAAGAAAAAGGAAAAGGGAGGCAAAAAAAUUAAUAAUAAAAAGAGGUGGGGCCCACAAGCACACGAAGGAAGAGAGAGAAAGAUAAAAGGAUAGGAAGGUGCGAGAAGGCAGCAAUGGUGUUUUCCAGAAGCUUCGUUCUCUAUCAUUCAUUUUUUUUUCCUUUUUUUUUUGAAGAAUUUAACCGGUUGUCUUCUACGUGUCGGCCAUCUGAUGGAGUCCAAGCUUAAACUCAAGAUAAGGAUGUUGAGACUUGAGUGGAUGGAUGGGGUCCGAUUCACUCACCCGGUGGUGAAGUACACAUGAUUAUGCCCCCAAAUUCUAACCUUACCAUCUUUGCCACGUGUGAAAGGAAUGUGAUUGAUUGUUUUAUUCAUCCUACUUAUGACAUUGAAUGGUUACUUUUGAUUAAGCCUUUUGCCUCUGUAUUAAAUUUUUAUAUUUGUAAUUUUUUUUUAUACUUACAUAUGAUAACACAAUGACACCGUAUAAUGUUAUUCAAAAGUAAACGUGGCCGUAUCUACUUUAUACUCUCAAAUUAUAAUUUGAAUGACCAUAAUUUUGACUUUUUUUUUUUUAUGAAAAAAUUAAGGCUUUUAAAAUUUAUGGUUGGGUAAAUUGAUGUUUUAAGUUUGAUUAAGAUUGAUAGUGCAUGGGACCAUAUAAAUGUACGACUUUAUAUAAGAUUUAACGUGAUGACUUACAAGUGUAGACAAAAGAAAAGUGAAAAAAUAGACAAAUCACUUAUAAGUGUCGGACCAUUUUAAAGUUUAUUAUUGAAUUUAAUCUCUUUUUAUUCACAUCUAACUCAAAUAAAAUAUAUCAUUUUUGAGUGAAAAAUCUUCUUUUAAUUUAUAUGGAACUUUUUAAUAAAUAAAUUAUAUUUGUAAAUAACUUGGUUAUUGUACGUAGAAGUCUAAGAUUGUCGAUAAAGAUCAUAUCAGACGUUGAUAAUUUCAUUUUUAGUUGGAAAUAUGAUGAUAUUCUCCCAAAACUCAAUGUUGUAUCAAACAAACAUGAGGAAAGGGUUGGUGCAGCAAUUAUGAGAUUCCUUUCUGAACAAUCGCAAAGAGGAAUGAUGAGUUGCUUUAAAAUAGAAAGGAUCCAAGAUUUUGUAAAUAAUAGAGACCCAAUGCAUUCAUAUGAUUUUCCACCCUAUGUUUGUGGCAAAUUGGAACAUAUAGUCAUUAUAUCGAUGAAAAAAUUGGAAUUUGAUAACCAUGGUUGGCAUGACCUUUCUAUUUACAUUUCUUUAUGGGAAGAAGGUGAAAAAUCUUCUAAGGGGAAUCAGGAGAGAUGGCUGUAAGAGGCCAAGGGAUCAUCUUACAGAAUCUCUACAUCUUGGCCGAUCUCUUCACCACCCUCGAUCUCUAUUGUUCUCAGGCUCUCAUCACUGCCCUCAAUCUCUACUGCUCGCUCUUCAUCGUUAAGCUCGCUCCUCCGCUCCCUAGAGCUCUUCCCACGCUCAUCCUCUGCAGAAUCUGCCAAACGAAUAUCAACACAAUAAGAAUUAAAUGAUUGAAAGAGAUAAAAUGAUCAUCCAAGAUCUAUAAAUCUAAUAUUUCUCAUGUUUGGUUUUCAAAGGUAAGCUUUAGAACCUCCAUCUUGCUCCAAAUCACCAUCGGCUUCAUCCUCGGAUGAUGUCCAACCCCCAAACUGCCUCUGACCUGAAGCUACCUCAUUCAGAGCUCGAAUUAGAGCCUCAGCAUGUGCAGAAUUAUCCUCGAAUCCCUCGAAAUUUUGUAAAGGAGACACACAACCUGUUAGAAACAAAAGCAAGAAUAUCCAACGCUAAAUGGUAAAUUUAAGGGCACCUGCAGGAGAAGAAGAAAGUGAAAGCAGAUUUACCAUUGUCUGCAUCAAUCAUAGUGUUAUAUGGCGUCUUGGGUUCUGGAAUUUUCUGCCUUACAGGUUUGCUUUCUUCAUAUUCACGAAUUUUGGCUUCAUCCCAUGUCACACGAUGACCCCUCAUCUCCAAACAUGUACUAAUAGUACCAGCAUAUAUGGUUUCUUCUAACUAUUCACUCUCAUGGCAAGCCAAAAUUCAACACAUAUGUUUGGUUACCGGGAAAUUGAAGAAGAGAAAACUGGGGAAACAUGACUCGACUAGACUAGGCUUGCGGACUAUGGAAAUGGAUGGUUUUAACUCUUACGAAUGGUUUGAAAUAUAGAGAGGAAAGCGUGUCUUCAUCCACUAAGGAAUAACUUGAUUCCACAAUUUUCUUGGGCCCAUCAACUCUUUAUACCGUUUUGAAUUCAAUGCCAUAGAUGAAUGCCAAAACGCAGCGUUUGAAGCCAAGACCGUGAGAUGGAAAAACCCAUAAGCCCCAUGGACAAGGAUAAACACAUCAAAACCCAGGCAUUUGAUUAAAUAGAAUAAUCCAAAUAUAACAUAAAUAAUAACGAACUAAGUAGGAUGAUUAUUAAAAGUCAAUUCAAGUCAAAUAAUAUAAUGGAUAUAAGUUUUAAGUACGAAUACUAGGUGUUUGGUAAAAAUGAUAUAAUCCUUUAGUAUUUUUGUUAAGACGAGUCUUCCGUAUUCUCAAGAACACGAAUAUCUAUAUUCGAUAAUAACAUAAAUAAAAGAAUAUUUUCUAUUUAUUAAGAGACACAUUCAUCAAUAAAGGAUAUGUGUCUUGCUUAAUAAAUUAUAAAAGAUCAAGAAUCUUAUAGAGAAGAAGACUUUUUGAAUCAAAAUAAUGAAUUUAUUUUAAAUACAAUUAUAUUUCAUCCAAAUAUGUGAAAAAUGUAUUAAGUUAAAGUUGUGUUUCCAAGACGUAUGAAACUUUUAUUGGUGUAACAAAUAGAUCUGAGUGAACGGUGAAACCAAAAAUAUGUUUUUGAAAGCGUUUUGAGGACGUGUGGAGACAACGGAGAAACCAAAGCGCUGCGUUUUGAGGGGAAAAAACGAAGCCGUUUUAGUGGGUUGCAUGCAGCGAGCUCUGGGAUUUGGAAAUUGGAGCCUCCCGUUCGAAAUGACCAAAACGGUGCGUUCCAAUUGUAUCGGUUCUCUCACUGUGUAACAAUUUGGUGUGUUGUGCUCUGUCGGGCGGAGAAAUAUCUGAAUCCUCCUUUUUCUAAGGUCUCUCUCAACCCAAAAACAAGGUUAGUGUUAGGGUUUAUCAGAACCCUUUUUUUUUUUUUUCCUUGGGCUUGUUUUGUUUUGCAUUUCAUUUCUCUGGUUUUCAGGAAUUAGGAGGAAAAGAUAGUUUGGAACCCAUAUUUUCCUUUGGUUUGGUUUUGGAAAAGGUAACUCAGGUGGGCUUUGUAUUAUUGCAUGGUUUGGAUAAGAUGGGUUUGUUUUCUUUUCUCCACUGAGAACCAGAAACAGAAAAUUGGAGGAAAAAAAAAUAAUUUUCCACUGUUUUCUCAGCGUGCAAACAAACCCUUGCUUCCCAUAUGGUUGAGUAUUGUUCCAGUGUUGUUUGUUCACUCAUUUCCACGCAUUUCCAUGUAUUGUUUUUCGUGGUCUCAUAUUGUUUGACAAAAUGCCUCAGUUAAUGUGGAAAUGAUUUUGUUAAAUGCAAGUCCUUGAAAAAUAGAUACUAAUGCCUUAUCAGAUUAUGAGGACAAAAAUCUCAUCAACUUCAAUCAACAAAUUCUUGGUACUCGUAAUGUUGUAAAACCCCUCCCAUUGUAUGCUCGCUCAGGCUUUGAUUCUUUGCUUGUUCAAGAACAUGAUUGACAAGAUCAAGCUGUUCUAUUGCAUUUUUUUCUAGUUGAACUUGAGUAGUAGAUUUGAUUUACCACUUUUUAAUGGGAAAUUGUUCUAAUUUCGACUUAAGCAUUUCUGCAUUUUCAGCUUGGUAUUCAUACUUUUAAGUGUCUCUGUGGUUCAGUUUGCAUGCACAAAAGAUAGAAAAUGCCUCUGUUUUGUGUGUACCAAUGUAAUGCUGAUAUUGUGUUCAUUCUUACAUGGUUGAAUUUGCAGCCUAAGAGGAAAUCUUUUCCAUUUUGUUGAAGGGCUUGUAUGAUCUAUUGAUUUUCCUAUGCUACUUGUGUGAGCUACUGUGAUCGGGCUAUAUUACCACUGCUCGGUCAAAUAUACUGAAGAUGCAGGCAUUAGCCUCAACUCGAUUGCUUCUUCUUGUUGGAGAUUGUUUACCCGUAGGAAAGUUAUUACAUGUUUCUCGAUUCCAUGGAAGUGUACGUUUUCUGAGUCGGGUUGAUCGUGAACAUGGACCUCUUACUCUUGCAAGCCUUGGAUUCAAAAGUGAAUUUGAAACAACAAAGGGUAACAAAACAAAACCACUUCAUCAACUGAAUGCUGUGCCUGAAGUCUCCAAAAAUAAAGUGAAGGCGGUCAGAAGCAAUGAAAUGAAGGCAGUUGGUACCAAAAAAUCAAUUGAAAUAGAGGCAGCUCCAUUUGCUGCAAAGUCAUUUUCUGAGCUUGGUCUCCCUCCUUUAUUGAUUGACAGGUUAGAACGGGAAGGCUUCUCAGUUCCAACUGAUGUUCAAUCUGCAGCAAUUCCCACAAUUCUUAAGAAUCAUGAUGUUGUGAUUCAGUCUUAUACUGGCUCAGGGAAAACAUUGGCUUAUCUCCUUCCUAUACUGUCUGAAGUGGGACCACUGAAGAACAAACCUCCCAAUGCUGACAACACAUCUAGGAAUAAAAUGGAGAUAGAAGCAGUGAUUUUGGCUCCCUCUAGGGAGCUGGGGAUGCAAAUUGUGAGGGAGGUUGAGAAGCUGUUAGGACCAGCAGACAAAAAACUCGUUCAGCAGCUUGUAGGGGGUGCAAACCGAACAAGGCAGGAAGAAGCUCUCAAGAAAAACAAGCCAUCCAUUGUCGUUGGGACACCUGGACGAAUUGCAGAGAUGAGUGCAUCGGGGAAACUUCGUACCCAUGGCUGUCGUUACUUGGUCUUAGAUGAAGUUGACGAACUCCUUUCGUUCAAUUUCCGGGAGGACAUGCACAGAAUAUUGGAACACGUAGGAAGGAGGUCUGGUGCAGACCCACAUGGUACAAAAAGCCCACUUGAAAGGCGGACUGAGCGGCAAACCAUCAUGGUGUCUGCAACAGUGCCAUUUUCAGUGAUAAGAGCAGCUAGGAGCUGGGGGCGUGACCCACUGCUUGUUCAAGCCAAAAGUGUAAUCCCACUCGAGUCUCUACCUACUGGACCUGUUAAUUUGUUAGGGCCUACAUCCACUUCGAGUUCAAGCUCAAGCUUGCAGACUCAGGCAGCAGCAGAGGGCCUGCCACCAGUUUUGAAACAUUAUUUCUGUGUCACAAAGUUGCAGCACAAGAUCGAUACAUUGAGAAGGUGCGUUCAUGCACUCGAUGCCAAGUGUGUGAUAGCUUUCAUGAAUCACACCAAGCGGCUAAAGGAUGCCGUCUUCAAGCUGGAGGCUCGUGGGAUGAAAGCCGCUGAGCUACAUGGGGAUCUUGGCAAGCUUGCCAGAUCAACAACUUUGAAGAAAUUCAAGAAUGGGGAAGUGAGGGUUCUGGUGACAAACGAGCUUUCUGCCAGGGGUUUGGAUGUGUCCGAGUGUGAUCUUGUGGUUAAUCUGGACUUACCCACAGACUCAAUUCACUAUGCACAUCGAGCUGGCAGGACAGGUCGACUUGGCAGGAAGGGUACUGUGGUCAACAUAUGUGAGGAGCCAGAAGUGUUUGUUGUAAAGAAACUGCAGAGGCAGCUUGGGGUCCCCAUUCAGGCUUGUGAGUUCACAGAGGGCAAGCUUGUUGCAACCACAGAUGAGGAGAAAACCUUAGAGGCUGUGAAGUAACAUGACAUCCUAUCAUCUUUUUCAAAUCUUCUCAAGAGAAUUCAUCUGGAUAGUUUUCCCUUCAGAUACAGGUAUCUUUUAGGGUCUGUUCUCAUACCAAUUAGUAGUAAUAAUGUUGUUGAACUUUUUGUGUAUUUCAGAUCGACAAGAACUACUUCCUCUGAUGAAUUGGAAGUUUGUCUUCAGAUAUGAGCUACUCAUAGAAUUAUACUGUAUUGACUCUACUGAUUGCUUUUUUGACCUUCCUAUGGAGAGCUUUUCAUCAACCCUGACUUAAUAAAGUAACUAAAAUUAAUCAGUAAUUGGACAAUUAUUUCCAGGACCAACCCUUUAAAAGAGUUGAAGAGGAUUCUAAAGCCAGAGUGGCACUUUGCAUAAAAAGCAUGUGCAUCCAUAGUCCCACCAUCUAAUAGAGCCCAUUUUAAUAAGGCUGGAAGGAUCACUUAGAUUAAGCUGGACAAGCGCUUCCAAGUUGGAGGUCACAUUUAUUUUUGUUUUUCUUUCUAAUUUCCAGGUGUUCGCAUUUGAUAUUUCUUUCCCAAUUUGAAAUGAUAACAUACUGAAAAAACUAAUAGUGUAAGCAUGAUAGAGGAACUUCUGUGUUAUUACAUUUCCUAUUUAUUGAAGCAGAGAAGUUCAGAUUAAUAAUGGGGGAACUAUUUACACCAGGAUGGCAUCACCAUAUGACUCUCUUACAAAGUUUGUAGCCUGAAAAGAGGGCACAGAUUGCGGUAACAAGGAAAGCUGCAAAGGACAUGCAAACAGAGACUAUGCCUGCCUUCCAGAGUGCAGUUUGUUCCAGCCGCUGAAUGGCUGGUAUUAUCACCGAAGAAGAGGAUGCAAGAAGAUAACCCACCAACUGUUGCAUGCAACUAAUCAAUCACAGCUUAAAAAGACAAAAAGAAGAUUAAAAAAACAGAAAAAGGAAAGGAAGAAUGAGGAAAAAUGUAAAGUAUUUGUCGGUUUACUGCCUAACCAAUUCUGGGAAGUUAUUUGAUCAUUUAACAUUCUAUUUGAUUCUUGAGCUCCUAGGGUGAUGGUAGUAGUAGACAUGCAUGGAUCAAGCUGGGCUAAAUGUUGAUACAGAUCCAUAACAACCUAAAUUGGACGGUCCAAUCAUCUGGACUAUAGUCUUCCACAUAGUUUGAGGUUGCAUGAAAAUGUUUCGACUUUGAUCAAUUCCAUAAUCCAUGGCAGUUGGCACUGUGUCAGGUGUACCAUAGACAGGGAUAUUAUCAGGCGAAAUGGUUGUUAAGCAUGAAGAGAAAGGGUACUUACCUGAUCAAGAAUGAAGCUACUGUAGUCGGACACCCUGUCUGAGAUGAGAAAGCCUUUGUGGGUAAUGUCACAAACACCUUUACAUAGUUGGAAGGCUGAGUAAGUGAGAGCCAAAAUGGUUACAACCAAACAGUACCUACAUGAAGGCAACCAGAAUAUCUUAUGUGAAUGAACAUCGCCGCUGGUGGAUCAGACCAAAUUAAAAAUGAGCAUAAGUUUGGAUUAGAACAGAAGAACUGCUUUUUCCAAAACUAAAGCGAAUCGCCCAAUUAAAAACUAAAGGAUUAUAGGAUUAUUUGGGUUAGGAACUCAGACGCCAUCAAAUAUUUCCAAGUUCUUUUUUCUGCCCUCAUAGGUAUGAGAUCCUAAACUACAAACAUUAGAACUAAAAUUUCUUUGAAUUUUGAGAAAUUAUUAUGCUUACGUUAAUUCUGGGUACUUUGUGAAGCCAGCUCGUCCACUUGAUGGGGCCGUGACCGUGAGGGAGAGAGCAGAGACAAAAGAGAAAAGAAGAGCCAAGCUUCGGAGGAAGCAAUGGGAAAAAUAGACAGAGGGUCUAGAGCUCCACCCUGUAGUGGCAACUGAGAAGGAGAAAGGAGAUGGUGUUGGAAACAGCUGUGUUGAUGGAGAUGGUGUUGAUACCGGCUGUAUUACCGGAGAUGCUGUUGGUAAUGGCUGUGUUGCUGGAGAAAGAGCCGCUGCAGGUGAAACGCCAGCCAUUAACCUACAAGCAAUCACCACCAAGUCUUUUUCUUCUUUCAUUGCGCCCUCUCUUUUCUAUCUCUUUAGAGAUAAUAUUCCUGAAGAAUGGAAGGGAAGAUAGAAGGCAUCUUCCUAGGUCCUCAACCCUGUUGAUAAACUUAGAAGAGUUUGGUUCGAAGUCAGCAAGUCAACAUUUAAAACGAACAUGCUUAGGUAAUUACUUUAGGACUUAAAAUCAUCAAAUCACAAGAAGCCAUGUAAGCAUGUAGGGGUGAUUCUUGGAGAGAUGAAGCUUCUUGUCCCUAAACGCUUCCCAAUUCAAAAAGGAGGCAGGUAAUCGAAAGAGAAAUGUUGAUGUCAACCCUCGUGAUUUAAGAAGUCCUGAAUCAAUAAAAAAUAGCACACUUGUGGAAAACCAACAACAUGUUAAAGAUAAAAAGCUUACCCAUGUGAUUUUUUUGUUUUGUAGUGUGAUUUGUUUUGACCAGUAACUUCACUGACGGGAUAAGGGCACAAUGAAGGGAUACAGAGACAUCAUCAUUUUGGAACAUAGAUCAAUGUUCAAUUCAAUAAUUCAUUCUAAAGAUACAAGUUUGUCAUCAGGAAGGGCCAUUUAUUGCCCAAAUAGCAAUGGAAUAAAGUGAUCCAAACAUGUAUAUCUACCUUAUUUCAUUUGUAGGAUAAAGGAGGUAAUUCAUUAGCUUAAGCCCUAAACUCAAAGAAGGAUCCAAUUUAUCAGUUCAUAAAUGUUUGAUGAAGUCCAAUGGAUUUUUUCUGGCCCCAGUGUGAUCUGGGUGGGGGUGCUAAGUAUUACAUGGUGUUUCCACAUAAAUUUCCUCUUCAAGGCUUGGAAUGAUACCCCCAUGGGUUAUUACUAGCCCACUUCCAUUGAUCCCUGCACAUCUCCGCUAUACCAUACUUUGCCCUGAAAUGGUAUCCCAAAAAUGGCUGUGAGAACUAAUACGAAUUAUGCAGGAUCCACCAGAAGGAGCCAUACACAACAACUAUUUCAACAUCAUACGAGUUAUAACAAGCAUGAGGAGAAGAAUGGAACAAUCCAACAUCAUCAGCAAUGUGACAGAAUGUGCAUGUCAUAUAGCUAAUUAUGCAGAAAGAGAAAUAUCCACAAACUUACUUCCAACCAAGCUCUUUUGCAGCUUUCUCCGUAGAAGCGUAAACAGCAGUUGCAUCCCCUGCUCGCCUUGGACAUAGUUUGAUAGGGAUUUUCUGAAAGUUUCAAAUAAACCGUGGCUUAUAAUUUACCAGUGAGGGAGAGGGAGAGAGGUAGAGAGAGAGAGAGGCUUGGGUGGGGAGGAUAAACUAGGGACCCCAAGAUGAUGGUUACCUUGCCAGAUGCUUUCUCAAAUGCAGCAACCAUUUCAAGUACUGAUGUACCUUGCCCAGUCCCCAAGUUGUAUGCAGUGCAGCCUGAUAUGAGAUAGUGCAAUCAAAAACCCCAGGGAAAGUAACAAGGCUUUUGCCAUUUGAAACUAUUUUCCACUGAAAAGCUCAGAUUAUACUCCUAUAGUGAAUGGGGAGAACAUGAGUUAAUUAACAUGAAAUCAUCUACAGAAAGAAGUGAUCACCUAUAUCCUCUGAUGUGAAAAGCUUCCGGAGAGCGGCAAUAUGACCGUCUGCUAGGUCCAUAACAUGGAUGUAGUCUCGUAUCUAUCAAUCAAAACAUUAAUUAGCAUUGAAGGAAUAAAUGAAAAUCUGUUUUAUGACCACAGGAUGACCAUAGUGUUUAUGGAUUAGCAGUAUUCCAAAAAUGAGCAUUCAAGCAGAAUAUAUGCUUCAACUUCUAGAUGGUACUCGGUCACUUCUAUCCUACAUAACACUUAGUUCCAAAGCAAAAACAUGAAAGAAGAAUGAACAUACCGCACUACCAUCCCUUGUGGGAUAGUCAUGACCAUAAACAUUAAGCUCAGGCAAUCUGCCAACAGCCACUUGUUGUAUGUAGGGCAUGAGAUUAUUUGGGAUACCCUUUGGAUCUUCACCAAGUUUACCACUUUCAUGAGCCCCAACAGGAUUAAAGUACCUCAGUAAAAUAAUUUUCCAAUCAGGUUCUGCCUUUUGAAUGUCACGAGCAAUUUCUUCAAGGAAAAGCUUCAACCAUGGAAUAAGACUAUAUUUAGGUAAGCAAGGAAUUAGACUACAUUGGCACUGUCUCAAAGGUGUUUGUCCAGACUUGAGCAUCAAACAGAUGGUUAUCAUAAACUAACACAAAUUUGAAAUAAAAUAGGAUAAUUUUUAGGGACAUGAUGAAAUUUUACCUUAGUACGGCCAUAUGGAUUCAUGGCCAUUAAGUUGAAAUCCUCGACACAUGGAAUUUUGUCAGGUUGACCAUAAACAGUUGCAGAUGAUGAGAAAACCAUCUAUUCAGAAUCAUAGUACUUGUAUCAUUAGUGGACAGAGCAUGACAUGAAGCCAAUGCAGAAAGGUAAAAGAAACAUUAAGUGGUUUUCACAUAUGGAUUCAACAGGACCAAUAAAUGUCAUAGAAACUGAAGAAAAGAGAGGAAGAAACUAUAGAAAAUCAUAAAAUCAAUUUUUUCUUGAAAGUAUUGAAUAUAGCAGCUUCUAUAUAUUAUUGUUUUACAUAAAAAAUUUUGGUAUUACUAGUCAAUGAAAACUUCAUCAGAAGUGCAAAUACAUUGAGCGAGAGAACGAAAGGAACAAUGCGAGUCAUUUUGGUGAAAGAGCAAAAUAUAUUGCAAGAGAGAAGGAAAACAAUCAGAAGGGUUCCAGAAAUCUGCAAAAACAUUCCCACAUUGUAGUAUCAUAACAAUGUGGAUGGGAAAAUCUUAUCACAGGAAGUGGCCUUGCAGUGGUCUAAAAUUUUCGUAUCCUCCAUAUAAUUUCAUAGUCCAUACACAAAGAAAGUCAUACCUUAUGGUAUCUAAUAAGCAUUCAACAAAAGGGACAUCUAGAACAACAGAGUUACCUUCCUCCAGAGGCUAAAGCACGCAUUUCAUAGAGUUUGAUGGGAUGCAAGCAAAAGAAACUAAAGUUUAUUUUUCAUUGCUCAACAAAACACAAGAAACAGUACAACAUAUCUAUAAACUUUAUUAGUAAAAAACAUGACCCAGCAAUUGCUAUUCAUCAUGAUAAAUAAGUCUUCCAAAAUAGUAAUGGACUAAUGCUGAGCUACUUUAGAAAAACAUGAUACUUUCCUUCCUCAUACAAGUUCCAAUUGAACCAGUUGACUAAAUCAGAGAAAGCAACCAAAAGAAUUGGCAGACACACCUUUUUACAGUUAUAUUUCGCCAUGAUCUCAUAGAGAUUAAUUGUGCCAAUCAAAUUGUUAUCAAAAUAGCGGCGAGGAUUCACUACACUCUCUCCUACAGCUUUAAGGCCCGCAAAAUGGAUCACAGCAUCAAAUCUGUUACAUUGUCAAACAUAAAGCACAAGACCCAAAAUACCAAAUCAAAAUUUUCGUAAAGAAUUAAUGUAAAGCGACAAAUGAUGAAAUAAGUCUGAGGACCAGAAACAUUAAGAAAUAAAUAAAUAAAUCCCCAUUAAAUAAGAAAAACUGUAAGUUGCAAUAGAAUUAGUAGAAAGAAUAAGAACAGGAAUAAUACAUAUUUGAUCUGUUUGUCACUCCUAUUACAGUGUGGGACCAUAACAAGAAAAGGAACCACAAGUAAUUCUCGACUAAAAUGUGAAUAGGCUCACUUUGAAAUUAUCAAAAUCGAAAAGAAGGGGUCAAAUCCGCAUACUUGGUUUGAGAAAAAAGCUUCUCCAAAUCCGCCUUAUUCCUAAGAUCACCCUGCAAUCAAUCCAAACCAGUCAAAUCCACGACGAAUUAGCACAAAAUGAGAAAAAGAAAAAAAUAAAAUAACUUGAGCUUUCCAAAGAUUGCGGAAAAAAAGUCUAAAACUAGUUUGAAAAAAACGAUCAUUCCUUGUCCUUUUCCUCCCACAUUUUCUCAGAAACCAGCACUCAGACUCACAAAACCCCACACAAACAACUCCUGAUCCGAUCCCGUACCAGAUUGAAAUGGAGUUUCCGAGAGAGCUCAGCACCGACCAAGUCCCGGACCCUCUCAAUAGCCUCCAGAACAGAAUUAUCAAGGUUGUCGAUAAUCCAAACCGUGAAUCCCUCACUCAGCAGCUGUACCACAGUGUGAGUGCCGAUGAAUCCGGCACCACCGGUGACGAGAAUCGUCCGAUCGUACAACGCCAUUGCCUAGAAAAAAUGCGAUGAGAGAGAAGUAGAGAAAAGGAAUGAUUAAGGAAGCAAUGUCGAGAGAAAUAAAAGAGAAGAUUUAGGGUUUGAGCAAAUCAAGGAAUCAGUUAGGUCUUGGAUAAGCACAGAGAGGGAAAGAAAGAGAGAGAAAGAGAGAAAUGGGUCAGUGACUCGAAUUUGUUGUUACGUUUUAAUACAGGUAUGUCUGUUGCCGCGCUUUUCACUGUUGGUCACUGAGUCAUGCGCACGUCAACCUCAAGAGGCAGUUUUUUAGAAGUGGGUUAAGACGAUAACGGAAUGGAUAAACGUUCCUUUUUUUUUCCAAAAAAAAAAGAUUUUUCAUUUUAAUUUUUAACAAUUAUUUUCUCUUUUAUUAUGAAAUUAAUAUUUUAAUUAAAAUAAUUAUAUACAAGGAAAAGAAAUGUUCUUUAAAAGAUAUCAUAAUCAUAUCAAUUCUUUUUCCUAAAAUAAUAUGCUAUUUAAUGCUAUUUAAAGUAUUUAGAACUCAAUUAAGGAAUAUUAAAAAUCAAUUCAAAAGAUCCAAUUUUUAUAUUGAUAUUUAAAAAAUCAAUAAUUAUUUUUCUAUAAGGUUAAAAAAUAAAAUUUUAUGACAAAAUCACUAUUUUAUUUUUAUUUUUUAUUUUUUAUUCAUUCAAUUUUAAAAAAAAAACAUAAUAUUUUUUUCUUUUUUUAUAAUUUACCUUUUCUAUUAAAAAUAAAAAAUAUAUAUAAAAUGUAAUAACUCUUACAUAAAAAUAUGAAUUUUUCUUAAAUUCUUAAUAAUUAUUUUUAAAAUUUAACACAAAAAUUAUAAUUAUUUAUUUAAAAUUGAAGGUUAAAAUUGCCAGUAAUUUCUUCAAAUUGGAAAAUAUAUUAAAGUCAACAAAUCUAAUAAUUUUAAAACAUGUGGAUAAGCUUGAAAAGGGGCUGAAAUUUUGAAAGACUCAUACAAGUGAUAAGGAUGAUAGUUUUGGACAAAAACAAAAGUACAGGGAUAAUGAUCAUUUUAUUUCAUUCAAUAAUUGCCUCUUUGUGAUUUCAGAGCUUUUUUUUUCUCUACCAUAUCAUAUAUAAUACCUUAUUUAGGACAAUAAUUUGAUACUCAAUCAUACUUAACCUAAAUUAAAAAAUAACCAUCUAAAAACGAUCACAUUUAAUUCGAUAUAUUUAAUCUAAAUCAAGUAUAAUCUCAUUGGGAAUAGUCAAAUUUGAUCAAGUUAUAUAAUAUAUUAUAAAUAUUAUAAAGUAUUAAAUCGAGUUUGGGCCACAUUUAGAUUAUUUGAACCUUGGUUUACAUCCUAAAUUGAAAAUAAUUUACGGUAAGUUCAACUCAAAUAUUAGAAAUAAUUGUCUAAGUGCGUUCAAAUAUUAUGUUUGAUUUAGUUUAAAUCGGGUCAAUCCUUCCGAAAAUUGCACCAGUUACCUUAUUUAAAAAAAAAUAAAAUAUUGUAAUAUAUCUUAUUAAUUAUUAUUAAUACAAAUAUUUUUAGCAUUUAUUUGUGAAAAUUUACCCAUGUUUUCCCGAAAAAUAUUAGACUCCCUAAAACAUAAACCAAUAUAAUCAAGAAAAUCAUGAUAAAGAGAUUUUAAGACAAUUUGUUAUGAAUCAUUUAUUGAUUCAUAACAAAUAUGAAGACAACAAAAUGCGAGAUGAAUUUAUAUCAUGGCCUUUUGAUCUUUUGAGAAGAUAAAAAAUAAUAAGCCAUGAUAAUUUUCACAUUCCCUUGAUUUGUAGGGUAAGUUUGAUUUCCAAAAAAUUUGAGCAAAAACUUAUUAUAUUUGGCUCCUAUAAAAUAUUAAGGAAAAAAAAAGGUAAAAAAAUAAUUUUUUCAUAUUUGAUUUUAUUAUGAAAAAUACAAAAAAGUAAAUUUAAUGAGAAAUUUAUAUAUUUUCAAAUUAUUUAAUGUUUAAAUAUCUUAAAUGAGUUUUAAAUAAAAUAUAAAAUAAUUUAUUAUUUUUUAAUAUAUUUUUUAUUUUCCUUCUUUUUUUUCUUUCUACUUUCCUAAUAAAAAUUUAAGAAAAGAAAAGUAGAAAAAAAAUAGAUUUAAAGGCAAUAAAAUUAUUUUUACUACCUCAAACUGAUUUAAUUUAUUUUAGUUUUUUUGUGUAAAGGUUAAAUAAUAUGAAAAUGUAUAAACUAUUAAUUAAAUUAAAUUAUAUUUUAUUUUUUAUAUUUUUUUUAGUAAAAUCAAUAAUAAGAAGGGGAGAAUUAUGUUUUGGGGGUAGAUGGGCCCCCAAAUUAACAAAAGGUCCAUGCAACUCUUUAAAUUGAGCCUAAAACCCAAUGAAAGUAUGAAAAUUGAGUUGAAGGAUAUCAUCCUUCAGUAUUUCCAAAAAUGCCCUUUGUUGAUUUUGAGAAAAAAAAAUUAAUAUUUUUGAAAAAUACUUUUAUUUAAUUUAAUAUUUUUAAAAAAUACUUUUAUGUAAUUUAAUAUUUUUUAAAAUACUUUUAUUUAAUUUAAUAUUUUUUAAAAAUAAAUUUAUUUAAUUUAAUAUUUUUUAAAAAUAAAUUUAUUUAAUUUAAAAUUUUAAAAAAAAUUAAUUUAAUAUUUUUUUUAAAUACUUUAAUUUAAUUUAAUAUUUUUGAAAAAAAAAUUAUUUAAUUUAAUAUUUUUGAAAAAAAAUUAUUUAAUUUAAUAUUUUUGAAAACUACUUUUAUUUAAUUUAGUAUUUUUGAAAAAAAAAAUUAUUGAAAAAAAUUAUUUAACUUAAUUUUAUAAAAUAUUUUAUAUGUGUUCUUAAAGGGUAUAUUUGUCUGUUACUAUUUCAUAUCCUUCAACUCAAUUUAAGGAGUUAUAUGGACCUUUUAUUAAUUUGGGGGCCCAUCUACCCCCAAAAGAUAAUUCUCCCAAUAAGGAAUUUUUUUUCUUUGUAUUUUCCUAAAACAUAGUGGGUAUUUAAUAAAACUUAAUAAUUUAAAUUGACAUUAACUUAAAUUGUUCUUAAGUUGUUAACUUAAAACUUUUAUUUAUUUUUUUACUUUUAAGCAUUAAGGUUAUUUGGUAAAAUUAAUUUAAAAUUUAUUUUAAGUUAUUAAAUUGACAAAUUUAUCUUUAUUAAUUGUAACUAAUGUUUAUUAUUAAAAAAUUUAACUAAUAUUUAUUUUUAUAAAAAUGAGUCAAGAAUAAGGAGUCUUGGUUAUUAAAUAUAUUAUCAUUAAAUGUGAACAAAUAACAAAAAUGGAAUUAAAAAUAAAUUAACUAUUUUGACUUAAUAUUUAAAGUCAUUUUUAAUUUUAAGUUGUGAUAUUAAAUUAUUUUACUAAACAUUAGUAAAUUUACUUAAUAACUUAAAUUUAGUAAGUCAUUUUAAGUUAUUAAGUUGAUUUACUAGAAACAAAUUCAAGAGUAUCAAUCAUUUUUCAUCUUUUUUUUUUUAUAUCUAAUUAAUCAAAAUUACUUUAUAAGAUUAUAGAAGAAUAUUUUUAAAUAGAAAACAUUUAUAGAUUUAAAAAAGAAAAUUGAAGCCUACUUAUUAAAAUUACUUUAUAUGAUUACACUAAAUAUUUCGAUAUAUGACACAUUUAUUGCAUUAAGUUUUUUUUGAAUAAAAUUGAUAAUGAGAUUUUGAAAAAAAUAAAUAAAUUUGCAUAUUCAAGAGCAUGUUUGACAAUGUUUUAGGAAGUGUUUCUACCCUUUCUCCUAAAAACAUUGUAAAACAGACUCUUAAGAAUUAUUCUUCGGAAUUUCAAAAAUCCCUUUAUUUAGUUAUCAUCAUAAACCUUAGCCAAUAUCACAUUUUCACCAAAUCUGGCAAUGAUCUUCCUGAUCUGCAAAUGGUGGAGGAAGAUUUUCUAAAGAUAACUGAGAAUCAUCCAAGAAAAGGAAUUUGGAAUUUGAGUGCACGUCUGCAACUCCUCAGGCAUCUUACUUUCCGUAGCAAAUUGGAAGAGAAAAAUUGACCACUUCCAAGUUGGACUGACGUGCCAUUAUGCCUGACGAUUAGUUUGGUGUUCAAGCAAACCUGCACCAAUAGCUGCUGCUGCGUUCAUAACUGUUACCAUCUCAACCUUUCAAUUAGCUUAAAAGAAUAUUGAAAGCUUCAUAGCAGAGAAUAAAAAGAGAUCAUACAAGUUCAAAAUGAACCUAAUUGCCCUUUAUUAGCAUUUGUACAGAAAAUGAUCAGGGAUUAUUUGAACGAAGCUCGAAAACUAACUGACUAAAUCCUAAACGAGCCCCUGUUUACCAAAGGGGAGGCAACCCCUUUUGAUGUAGAGGCCAUUACAUUUCUCCAAACCUUGCCUGUUUUCAGUCCCUCCUUUUUUUUUCUUUUUUUUUUUGAGAAAUUUAAUUGCUGUCUUCUAAUGAAAAAUAAGAGAUGAAGAUGAAAAGGUUCAUAUAACCAGUGAAGAACACUGAGACCUUUGUAUUUAAAUCCAGCAGAGACACAGGACUUGCCUCCAACCAGCAAUGAAAGGGAAAAAUUAAAAUGUCUUUACUUUCCAUCAGAGUUGGCACUGGUUCCCACCAGUAGUUCCACUGUUGGAACUGUGAAAUCUCACUUUGUACAUGUGAACGGCUCUUCUCCAUUAUCAUCUAAUUCAUUCUGAUCAGUUCUCUUCUUCAAGAUGGUCAAUGACCAUGGCAUCAGAAUGCUGAUUUUAUAAUCUGCAAAACAAGGAGGGUAAGAGAGAAGAAUGGAUAAAUUUUGAAAAGAUCACACAGCUCAAGAAUGGGGGAAAAGCAAAGUUCAAUUCAUGCAUUCAAGCAUACAUAGAUAUCAAGAACUAUAAGAACUUCCAUUCAGAGAGCAAAUGAAAAUUCAAUCAUGCCAAAAGGUAAUUCAGUCAGCUCCAUUUCAAAAGAUAAACCCCUAAUUUCAUCCUAUUAUGAUUUCCAUAGGCUUUUAUUGCUUAGAAAAACAAUUAUCAUGCAUAACAACCGAUUGAACAGACCUGACUAACCCAUUGAUUCUCCAUAUUGUAGGCAACUAUGAAUUGAAACUGCUCUUCUAUUCUCAAGUAUAUGUACAACAGUAAAAUUUUCUUGCCAAAUAUUUUUCUUUUCUCAAAGGGUAAAAAAUGAUUUACAGAAGAACACUCUACUUCGCAUGUAGGUUCAGCAUCCAGAUGGGAUCCAUCAAUACGUGAGUUCAUUUCACAGUAGUUACUGAUAAAUGCAUUUAUGCUUUCAUUUGAAUGCAAAGAAAAAUGGAAAAGAGACUAAUAGUAAAAAGGUUUGGUUCCCAAAAAGUAUUAAUGAAAAGAAAAAAUGUUAAAGAAAAUGAAUUUCUAAUGUUUGGUUUAUCAUGGAAAACAUGAAAUAAAAUUAAAUAUAAUUAAAAUUAGUUAAAAACUUAUUCAUUUUCAAAUUAUUUAAUAUUAUAUAAAAAUGAAAAAUAAGUAAGAUAAAUUUGAAGAAGUAUGUAAAAGCAAAAGAGUGUGAGCGGCAGUGAUGUCCAAGUUUUUUCUUCUUCUUCAGUAUUCAGAAAUCAAACCGAGCAAAGGGAAAGAAUAAAAAAGGAUUGAAUUAUAUUUACCAAAAUCACCUUAAGGUAUCAAGACUCUGUUGGCACUAAAAUUAACAUCUGGAGUUGCAGUCGAAGAAACUGAGGUGCCACAUUUAACUCUGGAUGGAUCCCAUUCCAUAUCAAACGCAUAUUCCAAGCAUCUUCCCAGAGUCUUCACAGAAACUGGAGCUUCGGGUUUACAGAGGGAAGCAACCAAACCCUGCUUUGCAUUUGGAAAAGCUUUGCUGCUGUUGAUAUCUUCACCAUUCUGAGUACAUGGGACUGUUUGUGCAGGUGUGGAGCAAUCAGAAAAGUUGUUGCUAGAUUUUCGGGAAGUUCGCUUUCUUAUAAUAGAGGGAGUAUUUCUGAAACUCAUUGCUGAGCUCCUUAAUAUAGAUUCUGGACUCCUGCUGUUAAUAGAGACACUCUGUGCAACUUUGGGAGUGGUAAAACCACACGAUGGACUGCUUGAAUACCUAGUAUGGUUGUCUGUACUUGGAAAACAAUCGUUCUUUGAAGCAACCAACAAGUCCUUCGAAUGUAUUGGCUCAUAACAAAACCAACUAUUCUUUAUAUGCUCUGACUGUAAAGGUGUUGAAUUAAGUUUGCUUUUCUUGCCAACUUGGGUAUCAUCAUCACCAAAUCGAAAUGCUGAGAGGCUAGAAAGGGAAUCGCCUGUUUCACUACUAAAUCUCAAAUCUGUAACACUCAAAUCAUAAGUCCAAGGCCUUUUAGGAGAUUCCAGUCUUCGCUUAGAAGUGAGAGAAGCAACAGCCUCAGGAGCAUUACAAGGAUUACAGUUUUUUUUAACAGAACCAGGAAGACCCAAGGGAAUAGACAAAGGUUCACACAUAUUUGCAUGAUUGUCAUUGUCUGUGCAUGGUUCACCAAUAACAGCAGUACCAGUGGCAUCUUUACCAUCAAACUGAAAUCCAUUUGGCAGAUUUAAAUCCCCUCCUGAAGGGAUAACAGAUUUUGGUUCUAAACAAUUCUCUCCUCCAUAAGCAUUUCCAAGAACCAAAUCAGUCAAACAAGUCCCAACAGCAUACUCUGACCCGUCUUUCUGAUGAAGAGAGACUAUUUCACCGUGAUUCUGCUUGACAGCUGUGCCCUUCGUGCUGUUUGAAUUUGUUUCACAAUUUUGGGAAUCAGGAACGAUAGCUCCAUGUUUAUCCAAGGUGGAACGGGCAACUAAUUUGGUCUCCGAUUUCUUCUUUAUUGAGCAAUUCCAAUGAUUUUUUAUUGCAUUGUCAUUCCUGCCAUUUUCAAAAAGAUAUGAAAAGAUAAUACCACAUCCAGGAGUAAUUCAUUUGUUCUAUCUAGUGAGAACAUGCAUUAAAUUAUUUUUUUUUAAGAAUGAAAGAAUCAUAUUCAAAACAAAAAUCAGGUACUUCCACCCAGAAAUUGCAUUUUUUGAGGGGGGAAAAAGCCCUAGCCAAAAGGAUUUGAUUGAAAAAAAGAAUGCAACCAUGAUCUGAUUUAGAUUCAAAAAUACCUACAAAAGAACCAUUUAGCCUUUAAGUUGAUAAAGACAACUUCAUAUUACCCUGUAGAGCUUUGUAGAUCCAAAGUACAGUAUCUCUCUCCUAAUGCAUGGUUUUAAAUCAAACAGAAGAAUCUCUCCCCUAAUGAAUUUCACUUUUAGAUCAAAAUAGAGCAGAAUGGUUUUUUCUUUUUUCCUUUUGCCUCAAAUAUCCAAAAUGUAAAUAGAAGUCAAAGUAAUUUUGAGUUCUCUAAAAUGCAUUUUUUUGGGGUUACUUUUUAUUUGUCAAAGACAUUUGAAUAUUUCCCUCUUUUAUUGCAGGGAUAAUGUGAUAAAGAUCUUUCUAUAUAUCAUUAAUGAUUCAGUUCAAACCUUCCAGGCAGGAACCUUGCUAUUUCUGCCCACUUGUUCCCAUAAAGUUGAUGAUAGUACGUAAGAAUUGCCUCCUCUUCUUUGGUCCAUGCAUCUUUCUUUAUAGCUGGGUCUAAAUGGUUGUGCCACCUGAAAAAUCGAUUUGUGACUUCAGAAUUUUGGAAUUAAUGUACUCUAUGUACUCUAUAUAAGAACAAAUACAUUGAUGGGGCACAACAAUAUGCUGAAAAUGUUAGAAUGUAUGGAUCUUGAAGCACAUUCAUCUGCUUAGAACCAAUUAAAUUAUUUGCUUGUGACUUAGGUGAUACUUUUGCACACUAAUUAAGACAACUGGACGGCUUUGGUAAUAUAUAAUCAUUAUACAUAUGCAAUAGAGAAUACCAUCAGCAUAAAUCACCAACAUAGAUCUCCAAGCAGAUGAUAUACAAAACCAAAAGGUCAAUAGUGAAAAGGGUAUUCCUUCCUAGCUGUUGUAAUGCAUUUACAUGAUAAAGAGUUCCCAAAAUUGGAGCAAGCAAAAACAUAAGAAACUACAAAAACAAUCACACUUCUUAAAGCAUGUCAAAAUACCCUUAAUGAGAACUCAGGAAGGUCUCAGAAGUCGACAUUGUUAAUAACAAGAAAGAAGAAUGUACAUAGAAUGCCAUAACGUUGGUGCCUUAACUAGAUUUUACAUACCUUUCUCGGCAUUGCUUGCCUAUGCGGCCUGGUAAGGCCUUUGCAAUCAUAGACCAUCUCUUACAACCAUACUUUUUAACUGACUCAACAAUGCAGUCAUCCUCCUGAAAGUAAACAAGCCACAAUCACAUUUAAUGGUAUCAUAAUCUUCGAGAACACAACAAGCAGUAAGGUUUGUUUUUACCUCCUUCGUCCAAGGUCCUUUGACAAGUUCAGGAUUUAGAACCUUCUGCCAGCGAUGCAAGCACUGGAUAUCUGUCCGUCCAUGAAGAUACUCAGCUGUAUAAAUUCAAAAGAAAUCAAAUCAACAACACUGAGAAAGGCAAUGAGUAGUAUGGCAUUUUUACCCAAUUUCUUGGUAUGUUUUAUCCAAUUAUUACACAAACUGGUGGAACAAUAAAAAAAAAUUAAUCAAACAUUCUACUGCAAUAGAAAAUGCCAUGCUCACCUAUUUUCUUCCAAUUUCUUCCAUUGAAGUUUUUCACAACAGUAGUUAAAAGAUUGUCCUGUCCAUCAUUUAAGGAAAACCAAAAAGUAAGUUAUGAUGUGCUUACUGAGGUUAGAAAGCUUCAGCGGUGCAAAUUCAAGAUAACAAGAAAGAAAACAAUUAAAUCUAGAAAAGAUGUAGGCAGUAAUUUCUCAAUUUCGAACUUAUUGUAUUCUUCCAUUUUUGUUUUUCUUCUUAUUUCCUACACUCUGAAUACUCUAAAAAUGAAAAUUUAUUUCAAGAAACUUUAUGAGAAACAGUAAGCUGGCCAAUUUGAAUCUGCUGCUCAUCUACUUCCCCACUUAUGCAAACUAUAUAAGCUGACCAAAGCAGAAACUUCAGUGACUAACCUCUUCCUCUGUCCAUCCUCCCUUUGUUGAUCGUCUGGUCGGACCAGUUAUCCUCCUACAGAAAAUAGCCCAUAUCACAGUUAUCACAGUUCUAUGCAGGAAAAAGAAAGUUGCCCACCAAAGAAAAGAAUCUUUUGUAAGCCAUAUCAAGCAGCAAUCAGGGGAGGGAAAUCAUCAAAGAUUGGUUGACAGUGCAAAAAACGCCAUCAUCUAUACCAAUAAGGGUGACUUGAAACAACUUAAAUGUGCUACUGAAGAAGAAGACCAGAAGAAAAGACUGAAAUAAGACAUGAAUAUGGCCUAUAGUUUUAAACAUGCCUAUGUUUUUUAGAAAGGGAAUGAGCCCAAAUUUUCAUAUUUUGAUAAGUGGGCUCUCCUGAUUUGAACUGUAGCUGAGCUUAAAUAAGCAAGGUUAGUUAACUUUAGGUUUUAUUUUAUUUUUUCCAGUACACUUUGGAAGAAAAUUUAACCACCGCACACAAUGAAGUCGUAAUGACUUAACCAAACAUAACAAAUAUUAAAACCAGUAAGAUCACCCCCUCACGUGGUUGGGUUUUCAAUUUCCCAAACAUCCCCUACAGGUAUUCAUUGAGCUUAAUCAAGUAAAAUGAAGUUAAUCCAAAAGCGAUAACUACCUGAAUCAAUAUUCUGAUACUCCAGAACAUUCUAUUACAAAUUUAAUGUAUAUCUUCACAUAACCAGUGAGCCUGGAUGAGGUUUAUACUGAAUAGCCAACGGCAAAUUUAUCAUCUACUAACACAGGCCCUUUAAAAUUUUAACUUAUCAAUCAAAAAGCUUAACCGAUAAACUGUAACUUAAAUUGGGAAUCAAGGCAGAUCAAAAUGCUAUAAACUAGGUUAGUUAACUUUUGGUUUUAUUUUGUUUUUCCAGUACAGUUUAGGAAGAAAAUUUAACCACUGCAUGCAAUGAAGUUGUGAUGACGUAACCAAACAUAACAAAUCUUAGAACUGGUAAGAUUACCACCCACGAGGCUGGGUUUCAAUUUCCCAAACAGCCCCUACAGGUAUUCAUUGGGCUGGAUCAAGUACAAUGAAGUUAGCAAAAAGUGGAUAACUACCUGAAUCAAUAUUCUGAUACUCCAGAACAUUCUAUUAUAAAUUUGAUAUGAAAUCUAAAUAAAUAUCUUCACAUAGCCACCCUGGAUGAGUGAGGUUUAUACUAAAUAGCCAACAGCAAAUUUAUCAUCUACAAACACAGGCCCUUUAAAAUUUUAAUUAUCAAUCAAAAAGCUUAAACAUUUUCAAUAAGGCCUGAUAGACUGUAACUUAAAUUGGGAAUCAAGGCAGAUCAAAAUGCUAUAAAUUAGGUUAGUUAACUUUUGGUUUUAUUUUGUUUUUCCUGUACACUUUAGUAAGAAAAUUCAACCACUGCAUGCAAUGAAGUUGUGAUGACGUAACCAAACAUAACGAAUCUUAAAAACGGUAAGAUUACACCCACGUGGCUGGCUUUUCAAUUUCCCAAACAGCCCCUACAGGUAUUCAUUGAGCUGAAUCAAGUACAACGAAGUUAAGCGAACGGAAAUAACUACCUGUAUCAAUAUUCUGAUACUCCAGAACAUUCUAUUAUAAAUUUGAUAUCAAAACUAAAUGCAUAUCUUUACAUAGCCACUUCAGAGCCAGGAUGAGUGAGGUUUAUACUAAAUAGCCAAUAACAAAUUUAUCAUCUACAAACAUAAGCCUUUUAAAAUUUUAAAUUAUCAAUCAAAAAGCUUAAACAUUUUCAAUAAGGCCUGACAGACUGUAAGUUAAACUGCGAUCCAAGGCAGAUCAAAAUGCUAUAAACUAGGUUAGUUAACUUUCAGUUUUAUUUUAUUUUUUCCAGUAUACUUUAGGAAGAAAACUUAACAACUGCAUGAAAUAUAGUUGUAAUAACGUAACCAAACAUAACAAAUCCUAAAACCGGUAAGAUUACCACCCCUGGCUAGUUUUCAAUUUCCCAAACAGGCCCUCCAGGUAUUCGUUGAGCUGAAUCAAGUACAGAGAAGUUGAAGUACAAAGUGAUAACUGCUCGAAUCAAUAUUCUGAUACUCCAGAACAUCCUAUUAUAAAUUUGAUAUGGAAUAUAGAUGUAUCUUCACAUAGCCAGUUCAGAGCCCGGAUCAGUGAGGUUUAUACUAAAUAGCUAACAGAAAAUUUUAACAUCUACAAACACAAGCCCUUUAAAAUUUUAAAUUAUCAAUCAAGAAGCUUAAACAUUUUCACUAAGGCCUGACAGACAGAAACUUAAAUUGUGAACCCAGGCAGAUCAAAAUGGUAUAAACCAGCAAUUUAUCACAUCAAACAGAACUAAGAGAACACAGAAACCUCUAUAUUAUAACAAUUGACAAUACAAGAAAGCAAAUAUGAUCAAGAUGGCAUACUUCUGAGCAGAGGCCGAUCUCAGAGCAGCGGUAUCAGAACUGCUCUCAGAAACCGAAGAAUUGGAAACGAACUCAGCUUCCUUAUUCAAAUCCACAUUACAGUCCUCCUCCUUAACUCCCGACAUGAUCGCGAUCACCACCUCUCCUCCGAAUCAGUCCUGCAAAAAUAAAAAAACGGAGCAGAAGUCAGAACAAACGAAACCAAGUCAAAUCCCAAAAUCACUCACGAAAUCCAUCCCAAUUUCAAUACCCGUUAGAAAACUUCAAGCCUUCCUUCGUUUCCCGCAGUUUCUGAGCACCCAAACACCACUUAACGAAAGCAGUUUCUAGGGCUUAUCUCAAUGAAUUGUCAAGCCUAUGUAACCGCCAAAGAAAUGAGUAGCGACAAGUGUUUGGUAUUCAUAAGAAAGUGAAACUGAACAGAGAAAAAAACUUUGUCUUUCUUUUUUUGGAUUAAAGAAUUAGGGUUUGAAGAGGUGUAGAGACAUUCGGAUCGACACGAAGUAGCGGGAAAGUGAGGAGAGAGAGAGAAAGAGAAACUGGCUUGUUGCGUUUUGAUUUAAACGGCUCACACACAAAAGCUUUCUUUGGAAGCAAUGAGAAGAGAAGAGACGGUCACGGUCGUCUUUUUACGCCGUUUAUUAUACCGUUACAAUUUCUUUCUUUUCCGGCGAAGUUUGUUUUUUCUGCCCGCUGCCUUAUAAUAAACUUCAGUGCCAUUUAUUUUUAGAGUUGAAUUUUAAUAAUUUUAAUUUAACCUUUAUGUGUAAAUAUAAAUAAUAUUUAUAUUCAAAUUUGAAUCAAAUUAUUCCAAUAAAUAAAUAAAUAAGAAAAAUUGUGUUUUGAUUCACUAAUAUGAAAAUAUAUAUAAAAAAAAAACCUCAAAAUUUUAAAAUUAAUAUCAUUUUCAUAUAUUUAAAAAUAAUUUAAAAUAUAUGCAUUUUUUAACGAAUCAUCUAAUUAUUCUCCGGAAACAUCUAUUUGACUUGUCAUAUCAUCAACAUCAUUUAACAAUUACACUCUUUCACAUGUAUUUCUCUUCCUUUUAAAUAUUUAUUCACUCUCCAAGUAAGUAGUUUUUUUUUUUUUUUUCUUAUCUUCAUCAACAAGCAUUCCAUAGGAAAAAUGGCAUCGGCGUAAUGAAAAAAAAAAUAUUUAAAGAGACCGUGGAAAAAACCAUAAGUCUUAUUUUCAACAAAACUCAAACCCAUUUACAAUAAGUUUCCCUACUUUUAAUAUUCACACUCUUCAGUGGGCUGUUUGUUUCUAGAUAAAAAAAUAAUCUCAAAUAAUAAUAAUAAUAAUAAAUGAAAAAUAUAUACGAGUCUAGUUGUCAAUUGAUAUUGAUGACAUGACAAGUCAAAUGAACAUUUUGGAGAAUAAUUGAAUGACUUAUGUAUGUAUUUCAAAUUAUUUUUAAAUAAAUGAAGAUUAUAUUGAUUUAAAAAUUUUGAGGUUUUUUUCUAUAUAUUUUCAUAUCAGUGAAUUAAAACCAACUUUUCCCAAAUAAAUACCAUCAAUGUUGUAACACCUUCUAUUUUUUAAGUUUAUUUUUAAAUAAAAAUAAUAUUUUAAAAAAAUCAUGUGUAAUUUUACUAUGUAAAAAUUUUAAAAUAAAAUAUGUUCAAAUGUAUACCUUUUUAAUUAUUGAAUUUCAUAUUAAGGAAAUCAAAUAAAAAAAUAAGCUUAAAAUAGUAAAUAAAAAUAAUUUAUAUUUUUAAAUUUUUUGUUUUCUAUUCCUUUUUAAUUUUUCUUUUUAUGUUUCCAAAAGCUUGUUUAGCUAUUUAAUUUAAAAAUGUCUUUUUUUUUAAAAAAAAAAAACAUAAACCUAUUUUUAUUUUUUUUUCAACAUUGUUCUACCAUUAUUCUUUGGAAAUAAUUUUUAAAAAUAAAGUGAAAUAGAAAAUAUUUUUUUCACCUAUUUUUAAAAUGAAAAAGGAAAACAUGAGUUAAUUUAUAAACAAGUUUUAGAAAAUAUGACCAAUGAAUCCUAAAUUUCUUAGAAAUCAAACAUAACAUUAACGUAAGAAAUCAAACAUAACAUUAACGUAAUUUUGCUUUUUGAGUGUUAGUAAGGAUUUAACAGUGUAAGAUAAGUCACGGAUUUGAAAAAGGAAAUAAAUUUUCAAAAUGUCGUUUGUAAAUUAUUAACAAUAAAAGAGAAAAUUAAAAUAAAAACAUAAAAAAGAAAGGAACAAGGACGUGAAUUUAUUGACUUUUUGGGGUGACUAAAGUUUAAUGAGAAAAUGAAAAGGGCAAAAAGGCAAGAGUCAUUUUGGAAAUAUUUUAAUACUAAUAAAGGUAUCAUUUGGUUAUUAUGUUUCGUUUAAAGAUAAAACAAUGGACGACCUUCCAUUAUUUUUAGUCUUAUUUUUUAUUUUCAAAACAUAGAAAACAAAAACAUGUUUAACAAUUGGAAUAUUUUUCAAUAUUCAUGGGAAAACACAUCAAUAUUGGACAUGGGUUAUCAAUGAAUGUGGAUUUUCCAUUUUAAUAUUUUGGAAAUUAAAAAAUUAAUUUAUUAUUAUUAUUUCAAAAUUUGCUAUGUAAUUUUAAAAAAUAUAAAAGAAAAACAUUUUUCAAAUGUGAAGUCCAUUGAUUUUUUUGUUUAGCUUAUUAAGGAAAAUACGAAAAAUAAAUAAAUAAAUAAAAUUAAAAUUUUAUAUAUUUUAAAAUUAUUUAAUAUAGAAGAACAAUAGGUGAAAUGAGUUAAAAAAAAAGUGUGUAAACAAUAAUUUAUAACUUUAAGAAUAUUUUUAGUUAUAAAAAAAAAUUGAGAAGAAAAAAAAAUUAAGGAAAAUAACUAUCUCACACAAAAGAAAAUUAAAUAUAAUUAAAAAAAUAUUAAAAAUUUAUAUAUUUUUAAAUUAUUUAAUUUUUAUAUAAAUAAAGAUAUAUUUAAACAUAAUUUAUUAACUUUAAAUUCAUUUUUUAUUUUUUUCUCUAUUUUCUUUCUUUGGUACUUUUACUAAAAUUUUCUAAAAACCAGAAAGAAGGUAAUUUUUUUUUCCACAUUUUAUUCCCUGAUAUAAUAUAUGAAAUAAAAAAGAGAGAAUUAUGUUUUGGGGUAGAUGGGCUCCCAAAUUAACAAAAGGUUCAUGUAACUCUUUAAAUUAAGUCCAAGACCCAAUAAAAGUAUGGAAAUUGAGUUGAAGGAUAUCAUCAUUCAGUAUUUUCAAAAAUGUCCUUUAUUGAUUUUGAGAAAAAAAAUUAAUAUUUUUAAAAAAUACUAUUAUUUAAUUUAAUAUUUUUUAUUUAAUUUAAUAUUUAAAAAAAAUAUUUUUAUGUAAUUUAAUAUUUUUUAAAAUACUUUUAUUUAAUUUAAUAUUUUUUAAAAAUAAAUUUAUUUAAUUUAAUAUUUUUUAAAAAUAAAUUUAUUUAAUUUAAUAUUUUUUAAAAAUAAAUUUAUUUAAUUUAAUAUUUUAAAAAAUAUUUAAUUUAAUAUUUUUUUUAAAUACUUUAAUUUAAUUUAAUAUUUUUGAAAAAAAAAUUAAUUUAAUAUUUUUGAAAAAAAAAUUAUUUAAUUUAAUAUUUUUGAAAACUACUUUUAUUUAAUUUAGUAUUUUUGAAAAAAAAAUUAUUGAAAAAAAAAUUAUUUAACUUAAUUUUAUAAAAUAUUUUAUAUGUGUUCUUAAAGGGUAUAUUUGUCCGUUACUAUUUCAUAUCUUUCAAUUCAAUUUGAAGAGUUAUAUGGACCUUUUGUUAAUUUGGGUGUCCAUCUACCCCCAAAAGAUAAUUCUCCCGAUAAAAAAUAAAGGUAUAUGUUAAGACCUUUCUUAGGUUUCUUCUUUAGGAAGAGUCUUCACUAGUAGACGACUUUUUUUUGUAGGGAUGGGCAUAAGGAUCCCUAAUGCCUCUAAAAAAUUAGGGAUGGGGAGUUAAUGUCUUCUGUUGAAAUCCCCUUAUAGAAUUUCAUGUUAUAUUGUCUUCAAAACUAUGAGAGAGCAUCCAAUAAUCAACCAUAGAGGCCUUACGAACGACCCCUGUUGGAACAUGCUCCCAAGAGUAUGGAGUUGUACCUACCUUUUUAUACAAUGAUGACUCUAACAUAGAAUAAUAGCAUGGUGCCCUAAAGUUGACCAUCCUAAGCACCCUUAACAACAAUCUCACAAUAGAUGUCCAAUUUAGUAUCCCUUAAGUUCUACAAAGAAUAAGAUAAUUAAUUAACAAAUAAUAAUAAUAUGAAAUAAAAAAAAUUAAAAAGAGAUUAGGAAUUGUCAUACCAUCUUCACCUUCUGCAAUAGGCAUUAGAGGAGCACUCUAUGGCACAUUUGACUACCCCUCCCACUCCGUUGCUAACUAGCAAAAAACUUUAGUUCUACCAUUUCUUUGUGAAUUCUAGAAUCCUAGAAACUAAGCACUAAGACCUAUAACUAGGGCAAAUAUACCAAGUAGUGGUUCUAUGAUGCUUGACUUGAUACAAAAAUAAUAGUUCCCCAACUCCAAUUCAUUAUUAGGAGUCAUAUUCAUGAUAGUUAUAGCCAUUAGAGCAAUGGCUAUGUUGGGCUUAAAACAAUGCAAGGGAGCUUUAAUGAAAAAAGAGAAAUGUUGCACUAGUAGUGCAAGUGGAAGGCUUAUCCAACCCUCAAAUGUUCUACUAGGACUAUGCACUCCCUAGGUUUAAGGGGUUGAAGCUCUUCCUUCUAAAGAAAAACAUGAAACUUCACAAAGGAAUGAGUCUUGAAGCACUCAAUGAUGACCUCAAAUCAACCAUAUACUUUUUACAAAGAAAAAAUGAGCAAUGGAGAAGAAAGACAAAAUUUUAAAAAAUAUGAAAGAAAAUCAAAUAAAAGUCUUUAUAUAAGGCACUAGGGAUGGUUGACUACUAACCCACAAUGCUUGAGAACAUAUGGAUAGCCUACACUAAAAAAACACAUCAUCCAUCUUUUGAUUUUCUUGCUCAUUCAUUUAAUUCCCUAGAAAAUUGGGGGAAUAUGUAAGGACGAAAUGAAUUUGUGACAUAUCCUUCCAAGAACUUGAGAUAGCCUUGGUCUAGAAGAGCUAGAAACAACAUAACAAUCAAGGGUAGUCACUAGACCCACCAUCAUCAUGACUCACUAAAUGUCAAUUGAUCAUUUUUAAUCAUUAUAGUGAUGAUAAAAACCCCACUAUGCUUCUCAUGCACUUCCUAAAAAAAUUAUAAAUAGUGAAAUGGUUAAGCCAUUCCUAAACCAUAAUAGUAACCCUUUAAUGACACCAUAUUCAAUUCAAUAAUGGAGUACUAAAUUCAUUCUCCAAAAGUCUAUAAAAUGAUCUAAGAUUGUGCAUAAAAAGGUAAAAGAACAAAAAGUCACUCUCUAUCUGUUUUUCCUUUGAUCAAACUCAUGGUUGACUUGAUCAUUAGUAGAAGGAUCGGUCUAGCAAAGAGUGUAACAAGGUUCUCCACAUAAAUACAAAAUGAAAUCAAGAUUUCAUGAUAGCCUAAAAUCUUUUAUUAUUUUAUAUUUCUCAACCAACUUAAUCUAUUGGUAAUAGUGAUAGUUCGAAUCCAUUGAAUAGUCCAUCGUUAAAAAAAAUUUAUUGGUGACGAAAAAUUUCUAUCGAUAGACUUUUUGCCAACACAUCUUUCUCCGACUACCAUGCAUCAAGAUUAUCCGUUGAUAAAUGUUUAUUCUGAUAGUGUUUAUCAAUUGGGAAAAGUAAAUUUUUUUUAGUGCCUCUUUCCCUUAAAUCAUAGCCCACACACUAGUUUCUUUCGUUUUAUUUCCCUUACCUCAUUCCCCUUCCAUAUUUCUUCUUCCAUCACUUUUUCAAUUUUGAAAAAAAAAAGAACAAAAAUAUAAGAAUAAAAAAGAGAUGGAGUCACAAUUACGCAAUCAUAACACCACCAUGCACUAUUGUAACCAUUGUAAUGCCAUGGCAACAAUAGCACCGUGAUCAUUUUUCUAUUUUUUUUUUUUCAUCCGGGUGAAGAAAGACCAAAAGGAGAAUGGGAAAAAGUUAAGGUUAGAGGUAUGAUUAGGUGUAGGGUUCAAUGGAUAUAGAUAUUCUUAAAGGCAAAAGUGUUUUAAGCAUUUAACAUUUUUUUUUAAAUAAAAUAAAAUAAAAAUAAUAAAAGUAAUAAGAGUGUGUUUGAUAGUAAUUUUGGGAAAUAUUUCUAAUUUUUCUAGUACUUAAAACAUAAAAAAUUUUAAGUCUUACAAAAAUUAAAAACACUUUUUAAAAUUAUUACCAAAUGCAUUUUAAAAAGAAGAUGAAAAUGUUAGGUAGCGAUUCAAUAUCUAUAGAACUUAUAAUUCGAGAAUAUCAUAUGAAAUCUAAAUUGUUAGAUAAAAGUAUAAACAAAUGAAACCAAAAUUAUAAAAAAAAAAUAAAAAAUCAAAUUGUAAAUGUGAUCUGUAUUAAUUGUUCACACUAUGGGUAACAUCAAUCAGUAGUCAAUAUUUAGAAUCCCAUAAACAAGGCUAUUCAUUGUGAAUGAUUUAGAACUUAAGGGAGUGUUUGGUGCUCGGGAAUAGAGAGUGGGAAUAGACAUCUCAUUCCUUUUCUCCCUUAUUCCUAUGUUUGGAUAAAUGUUAAGAAGGCGGAAAUGAAAUAAAAAUUUGUUCCGACAGAAAUCAAAUCCAACUUAUGAGUCAGAUUUGCAUUCAUUAAAAGUAGGUGGUAUUCUGAUUCAUUAAACCUAUUUGAUAAUAUAAAAUAACCUAAAUUACUAUUUUACCCUCUUAUCUUGUUCUUCAAACCCGAUGUUUAUCUUCUUUGUAAAGGUAGAGAUUCAUUCAUCAUCCACUUCUUAUCUUCUUUGCAAAGCUAGAGACCCACUCAUCAUUCAAUUCUCUACAACAAGUGAUUCUUCCAAAUUGAAUCAAUUAAACCUUCCACGAUAUUUAAAAAAAAAAAAUCAAUUUCUAAUUUAUAGAGUUUUGGAUGUUCAUUUUGAUUGUUGGAUCUAGGUUCUGAAAACUCCCUUCUACAUCUUCGAUCAGGUUUACCUUAUUUUCUCUUUCUUCUUCUACUUCUUUAUAUGUGUUUCUUCUUCUCUAUAAAUCUAUUAAUUUUUUUUAUUAAUUUAUGUUUGGAAUCUAAAUUUGAAUUAUUUAAAAUUUUGAUAAAAGAACGAAUAUUUAAAAUUUUUUAAGGUUAUGGAUUUUAUCGGAUAUGAUACUUGUUGAAAAUUAGAAUAAAUUUGAAUUCUUUUAUUUCCUUUUUUGAAAAUAGAAAAAACAUUUGCUAGCUUUGAGAAUUUAAAUAUUAUAAUAAAUAAUUUUUUUUGAAAAAUAUAAUUUUAUAACUACUUAAGCAUGACAAAUUAUUCAAAUUUUUAAUAAAAAUAAUAAUUGAAUAUUUGUGCAUUAGGGUUAUACGAUUUUUUAUGGUUAAUUUUUUAUUUAUUGAGUAUAUAUAUAUUUUUUAGUCUUAUUAUUUAAUAACAAAAAACCUCUCAAAAUUUAUUUUUUUAAAAUAAAAGUAAAAAUAAAAAAAUAUUUUAAAUUAUAUGUAAGGAUAUUAUUGUAAAUUUAUUUCUUUUUCAUUUCCAUUCCUAUUAUUAUCAAACAUUGGAAUGGAAACAAAUAAUCAUUCCAAUCUUGCAUUCCUAAGUUCAUCCAAAUGCUAGAAAUGGAAUCAUCAAAUUCAUUCCAUUCUAUUUAAAAAUAGGAAAGGAAACAAAAUAUUAUUUUCAUUCCCUAUUCCGAUGUACCAAACAAUUAAAGGGAAAUAAUCAAUGUCAUAAAUAAAUGACUAAUCAUGUUCGUCUAUGUAAAUAGAUGAAAAAGAAAAAUACACAUUAGGUGAAUUAUGGAAAUAUUAAGAAAAAUGAAAAAGAAAAAGUAAGCAAUAACUUAAAAUCACUUGCUUAGUUUAGGAUUUGCCAUGACAAAUAAGUUAUUAAUUACUCAAACUCGACAUGAUUUUUGCUGAUUUUGGUUAAAUAAAAUUGUUUUUGGGUUUAAUUCAUGUCGAUCUAUGUGUAAAACAUCAAUUUGACUUGAAUUUAUACGUCAAGAUUCAUUAUAUUAACUCAAUAAUUAUUUGCAUUACAUUUGGAUUGACUUAUUUAACCAAGUACCUAAGUUUUGAAAUGAUACAAAUGUGAUCUAUCAACACAAAUUGUCGUUCUUAAUGUUUGGUUUAGUAAAGUACAAAAUAAAGAAGAAAAAAAAUUAAUAAAAAUGAUUUUUCUCAUAUUUGGUUUAUUAUUAAAAAUAUGAAGCAAAAUUAAAUAUAAUUAAAAUUAAAUAAAAUUUUAUGUAUUUUCAAAUUAUUUAAUCUUUAUAUUGAUUAAGAAAAAUAAGUAAUAUGAGGAUGAAAGAACACAUAAAAAUAAUUUAUUAACUUUAAAUUUAUUUUUUAGUUUUUUCACUUUUUAUUUUAUUUUAGUUUUUCUUUCCCUCUUCUUUGGCUUUUAUUUUUACUCAAAGUUUUUGAAACCACAUAUAACCUUAAUAUUUAAAUAUGCAAAGAAAAAUAAGAAAUAUUAGCUUGAAAAAGUGUGUAAAAAUAAUUUAUUGAUUUUAAGAUUGUGUUUGAUUCUUACCAAGUACUAAAAAAAUAAAAAUAAAAAUGUUACACUAAAUGAUUUUUUUAGCUAUAUUUUGUUCUCAAAAAUCAUGGAGGAAAGAAAAAAACUUAAGGAAUUGUUUUUUUUUUUUUCAUGUUUGGUUUCACUGUGAAAUAUAUGAGAGAAAAUCAAAUGUAAUUAAAAUUAAUUUGAAAUUCUUGUAUUUUAAACUUAAUUAAUAUGUAUAUAAUGAAAAAAAAUAAGUGAAAUGAAUUCAAAGAGCAUAUAAAAAUAAUUUAUUGAAUUUAAAUAUAUUUUUUAUUUUCAUUUAUUUUUUCCUUCUAUUUACUUUUCCUCUAUAUUUUUUUCCCAUUGUAUUUUCCCUCAAAUUUUAUAAGAAUUAAACAUAGUCUUCAUGUUUGAUUUAACAAAAAAAAUACAAAGAAAAUUGAAAUGAGUAAAACUUAUUUAUUUUCAAAUUAUUAAAUCUUUAUAUAGAAAAGGAAGCAAAAAAGGUCGAAUGAGUUUAUAAAAAGAUGCAAAAAUAAUUUGUUAACUUUAAACCUAUUUUUUAUUUUUCAUCACUUUUCCUUUCCUUCUACAUUCAAUUUUUUCUUUCAAAAUUUUCACCAACCAACCUUUGGUUAAUGAAAAAUACUAGGAAAUGGGAAAUAAAAAAGUUGGAAAGAAUUUGUCAUUUGAUUUACAAUGAAAAAUAUAAAGAGAAAUAAAAAAUAAUAAAAAUUAUUUAGAUACUUUUAUAUUUUAAAAUUAUUUAUUCUUGAAAGGGGAAAAAAAUUAUGCCAUGUUACAUUGUAGGAAAUUGAUAAGGAAAGAAAAAAAAAAUACUAAAAAUGAUUUUUCUUAUAUUUUUGUUUUUUAUUUAUUCUUAAUUUUCCUUUCUAUUUUGUUUUUUUCCAAACCUAAAUAUUAUUUUAUUUUGUAGUUCUUUUAAACUUUUGUGUAUAUUUUAAAUUUUUAUAAAAUUAUUAUAAUUUUAAUAAAAUAUUAAUUAUAUAUUUAUAUCAUCAUCGACAACAUCCAAUCACCAACCUAUCGAUGGAGACCCAUGGGGCAAUAAUUUAUUGGUAAACAAAAUCCGGUUGUGAAAACAUUGAUCUUGUCCCAUUUUUCAAUUAAAGAAAAAAAAAAAAGAAGAUAAAAAAGGGCAAAAGUUCUAUUAGCCUUCUAAAGCCCAAUUACCGACCCAAUAAAGUUCCGGAGAAAUUGUAUCCUGGGCUCGUGGGCCAAGCCCAUUAUUCUUCCACUCGAAAACGACAUUGCAUAGAGUUUGUUCCCCAUAGGAUGUGGAAAAACCAUACGAAAAAUAGUUUUAAUGCUACAAAAAUUUAUUUGCCUGUCAUUGAAUGAUUUAAAUAAACUAUUUUUUUUUUCAAAUUUAUUCUUAUAAACAAGUUUUUUUUUAAAAUAUUUACAGAUCAAAUAAAAAUUAAAUCACCUCUGAUUUUUGAAAAGUGACAUACAUAAUUCAAUUGAGAUUUUUUUUUCCUCUAGAAACAAACAUCUUAGAAAUAUUGAACAACAAAAAAAUAAAAUUUUUUAAAAAUUUAAAAUAAAAUAAUUAAAAUUUAAAUAUAAAUAAAACAAAAAAAAUUAAAAAUUUUAAAAAUAAAAUAUUGACUUACAUUGGAUUUUAGUUCUUUUUAGGUAUCAAUUUUUUGGACUAGUGUAUUUUAUGAGAAGUGAAAAACAAUAUUUUAUUUUUUACUUUUUUACUUUCUUUUUUAGUUUUAAUUUAAUUUUUAAUUUUUAAAAUAAUUUUCUAAUCAAUUUUAUUAAAAAAUAUAAGAAGAUGAGGUGAUUUAUAUAAUACAAAAUAUGAAAUUAUUAUUAAUUAAAGGAUUAAAAAUAAUUUUAUUUAUUACUUGAGGAUAUUAAAAAAAAUUCACAAUAAUUUAUAUCUUAUAUUAUAUAAUAAAAAAAUUAUAAUGUAUAUACUUUUAUUAACUUCAAAUAAUAAAUUAAAUUUUUUAUAAUUGUAUUUAAUAUUAUAAAAUAAAAGAAUCAUUUUAAAAAAUAAUUAUCCGAUAUAUGAAAAAUUGCAUGCACAAAGAUAAAACGUUCUUUUUCCCGUAUAUUUUCGGAGUAAAAUCCCACUUUUCCCGGGUUAUCGCGUACGUGGAAUGAAAGGAUGGGAAUUCUUGAAUAGUUGAUUAGUUCGGUCUUCAUCCAUGAAUCCAUCUAGAAACAGUGGGCUUCAAGGUGCAUUCCUUAGCCCAUUGGGCCUGACACGACCGCCCGUAUGCCCUGUGCAGCCCCGUUAGCUGACUUGCUUGCGUCUAUGGAAUGACGUCAAGCACGAGGGCACAAAGAUAUAUGACGCCAUUCCUUGGAAUUUAAUAAAAGCUGUUUCCCACUUCUCCGCCGCCCCCACCCUAUAUAAACCCCUACCCAUUUUCUCAUAAACCACCAUCACCACUACAAAGCCUGUCUUCCUCAAAAUGGGCCUUUUCAAAAGCCUCUCCAUUUCCUCCUUCCUUCUCGCCACCCUCUUCUUCACCUCCGCCCAUGCAGCCAUUUUCAAUAUCCAAAACCAUUGCUCCUACACAGUUUGGGCAGCAGCUGUGCCGGGUGGGGGUAGGCGCCUCGACCGGGGACAGUCCUGGAGCCUGACUGUGAACCCUGGCACAACUGGAGCCCGUAUUUGGGCCCGGACCGGCUGCAGCUUCGAUGGGGCUGGGCGUGGGAGGUGCCAGACCGGGGACUGCGGUGGCGUCCUCCAAUGCACAGCCUAUGGUGCACCCCCCAACACCUUGGCUGAAUUCGCACUUAACCAGUUCAACAACCUGGACUUCUUUGAUAUAUCCUUGGUCGAUGGGUUUAAUGUGCCUAUGGCCUUUAACCCUACCUCCAAUGGGUGCACCCGUGGGAUACGGUGCACGGCCGACAUCGUGGGACAGUGCCCCAGUCCGCUCCAAACUCAGGGUGGCUGCAAUAACCCAUGCACCGUUUUCAAGACCAAUGAGUACUGUUGCAAUUCCGGGAGCUGUGGCCCGACAGAUUACUCAAGGUAUUUCAAGACUAGGUGCCCUGAUGCUUACAGCUACCCUAAGGAUGAUCAAACCAGCACCUUUACAUGCCCUGGUGGUACCAACUAUGAAGUUAUCUUCUGCCCAUAAAGCCUCUAUUAACUAUAGUAUGCAUGUAUUCGCCAGUCUAAACUACUAGGGUGCUUUUGAGUCCAUGUUGAGAUGCAAAAGUCUAAGGAAUAAAUUUGAGCACAUGUAUGUGUACUGAAUGUGCUCAUGCAACAACUUUUCUACGCUAGUAGAAUAAAUGGAUGUUUUUAUGAAUCUUUGGGACUUUAUGCAUUUCAUUAAGAAAGUAUUUUAUCGUUAUUAUAGGAAAUAUUUUUAGUCUUUUUAAUAUUUAAAAAAUAAAAAAUUUUAAAUAUUAAAAAAAGUAGCAACACUUCCUAAAAUUAUUAGGAAAUCAUUACCAAUGGUUAAUUUAGAGUCUUUAGACCACUGGAAUGGAGGUUUCAAGGAAGAAAAAAAAAAAAGAAAAGGUUUGACUGGGAGCAUAGCUUUGCUGACUGACCUCACUCCCAAAUCAAUUUUCCAUGUGGUGGAAGACACGAUGGGUAGGCGGCUGUUAAUGGAGAGUUUGGAGUUUCCCCACCCACUUUCAAUUAUAUCCAUUUACAUGGAAAUAUAUAGGAAAAGAAAAAAAUUUAAUAUUUUCAAAUUUUAAAAUUUUUCGUCAAAAGCAUCUCCUUUCGAUUGUUAUAUUAAAGAUUUUGUGAUUUCAAAUCUUUUCUGGUUUAAGUGCUGAAUUCACCCUAAAGAGUUUGCCUUUUUUUUUUCUUUUCUUUUUCUGUCCCUAUUUAAUAUAUAUAAUUAUGUAGAUUUUCUAUUUUGUAUUUCAUAGUACAUAAUUUUGAUAAUAUUUAAUGUCUUUUGCUUGAUUCCCUGCAUAGCACGUGGGUAGGAUUAUUUUUGGCUUUCAAAUCUGCUUGCAUCUUCAAUGUAGCCUUCAUGAUUUCAUUGAACUGAAGUGGAUAGGACGAGCUUGAGUUAUUCGUAAUGGUGCUGUCUGGCCUUGCUGCACAUCUAUCUACGACCAUCAUAUACUCAGAGCAGUAAUGGUGCUGUUUGGCCUUGCUGCACAUCUGAUCUACGACCAUCCUACACACUAAGAGCACUAAACUUACUAGCAAAGAUGAAAAUAUCGGUAAUCACGUAUAUAUCGGUACUUCGAUCUCACGGAUAUAUCGACGGAUAUUUUGAAAAAUAAUAUCGAUAAAUCUAAAAUUAAUUAAAAUUUAUAAAAAUAUAAAAAAAAUUCAUAAAAAUGUAAUUAAAAGUAUAUUGCUAUUUUUAAGUUGUUUUAUUAAAUAAUUUGAUAUAUGUAUAAUAUCGUAUGGAUCGAUAAAAAUAUGAAUUUUAUAAAUGUACAUUUAUUAUUAAAUUACAUAAUAUUAUGAUAUUUGAUUGUAAUAUAUCUAAUUUUAAAAUAUAUAUUAAUAUUAAAAUUAUGAUCCAUUUAAUUCAAUUGUAUUAAACAAUAUAAAAUAAGUUAUGAUAUAUGUAUAAUUUUUAAAUAUUUAAUUAAUUAUUAAUGAUAUUAAAAACAUUAUGAAGAAAAUUAUAUAAUUUUUAUAUUUUUGGUAAUUAAUUAAAAUAAAUUUUUGUAUUUAAUUAUCAAAUAAUUAUAAUUAAUUUGCUCUUUAAAAUAUUCUUUUAAUAUUUUCUUUAGAUAAUGAGUUUAACUAUAUAUAUAUAUAUAUAUAUGUAUAAUGCAUAUGAUAUAAUAAAGGUGAGUUUGCCCAGAUGGUUAGUGGUUUGAACCUCAAACCUUUUGGUUUGGGGUACAAAUGCGAUAUAUCGAUGAGAUAUCAUCGAUUUUUUGGGUUUCUGGAGAAGUAUUGCCGAAAAUAUCGUCGAACCGUGUUGACCCUUUCCGAUACACGAUAUAUCGCAAUAUUUUCCUCCUUAUUAGCAAUGUCCCACCAAAGUUGCGUGCAUUGAAUUGUAUAAUAUCAGGAUAUUUUCCUCCUUGCUCACUAGCAAUGCCCCACCAAAGUUGUGUGCAUUGAAUUGUAUAAUCAAUUGACUGUUCACCUUUAUAUCUUCAAUGACACUAGUUCUAGAGGUGCAUUUUUUGUGUGCAUCCUCAUCGGAUUUAUCAGUGAAAAUUUGAUUUUUGAAAAAAGAAAAAAACAGUUGAAGUUCCUCUUUAUUUUAGUUUUUUUUAAAAGAAAAACCAAAAUAAGAAGAAAACCGUUCCAAAUUCUUUGGAAAAGAUAUAUAUGUAAAAAUUGAAUUUAGACUAAAAGAUUAGUCAUUUAUUGGAAAAGUACCAUGGUGAUGUGUAACAUUUCUUCAUGCUCAUACAUAUAUGUCUUUACUAAAUGAAUAAAAGAAACUAUAACGAUUAAUUAAUUAAUCAUAGAUACCAAGAUUAAGAACACAAAUCAAUAUACAAACCAAAAUAAGAAGAAAAUCGUUCCAAAUUCUUUGGAAAAGAUAUAUAUGUAAAAACUAAAUUUAGACUAAAAGAUUAGUCAUUUAUUGGAAAUGUACGAUGGUGAUGUGUAACAUCUCUUCGUACUUAUACAUAUAUGUCUUUACUAAAUGAAUAAAAGAAACUAUAAUGAUUGAUUAAUUAAUUAUAGAUACCAAGAUUAAGAACACAAAUCAAUAUACAAAAAAAAACGAUAAAAUCAAAUUAAAAUAAUACCCGAAAUAAAUGACACGAGAAUUUUACAAAAUAAUUUAUUAAACAAAUUAAAAAUAUAUAUAUUUCUAAAAAAUUAUUUUUUUAANNNNNNNNNNNNNNNNNNNNNNNNNNNNNNNNNNNNNNNNNNNNNNNNNNNNNNNNNNNNNNNNNNNNNNNNNNNNNNNNNNNNNNNNNNNNNNNNNNNNNNNNNNNNNNNNNNNNNNNNNNNNNNNNNNNNNNNNNNNNNNNNNNNNNNNNNNNNNNNNNNNNNNNNNNNNNNNNNNNNNNNNNNNNNNNNNNNNNNNNNNNNNNNNNNNNNNNNNNNNNNNNNNNNNNNNNNNNNNNNNNNNNNNNNNNNNNNNNNNNNNNNNNNNNNNNNNNNNNNNNNNNNNNNNNNNNNNNNNNNNNNNNNNNNNNNNNNNNNNNNNNNNNNNNNNNNNNNNNNNNNNNNNNNNNNNNNNNNNNNNNNNNNNNNNNNNNNNNNNNNNNNNNNNNNNNNNNNNNNNNNNNNNNNNNNNNNNNNNNNNNNNNNNNNNNNNNNNNNNNNNNNNNNNNNNNNNNNNNNNNNNNNNNNNNNNNNNNNNNNNNNNNNNNNNNNNNNNNNNNNNNNNNNNNNNNNNNNNNNNNNNNNNNNNNNNNNNNNNNNNNNNNNNNNNNNNNNNNNNNNNNNNNNNNNNNNNNNNNNNNNNNNNNNNNNNNNNNNNNNNNNNNNNNNNNNNNNNNNNNNNNNNNNNNNNNNNNNNNNNNNNNNGAUUUUUACUUACUUUUAUUAGAAAAUAAUAAAUUUUUACAACUUUAUUUAGAAAAAAUAUUUUUAUUUUAUUUUAUUUACAAAUGAAUUAAUUUAUUUACAAAUGAAUUAAUUUAUUUACAAAAAAAAAAUAUUUUUAAUCUAAUUUUAUAAAAAAAAUGAUUUUUACAACUUCAAUUUACCAAAAAAAACUUUCAUUUUAUUUUUAUUAAAAGGACAUCGAAGACCUUUAUUUAUGAAAAUUACUUAUAAUCUUAUUCCAAGGAAAGAGAACUUAUUUAAAUAUCAUUUUUUUUUGGAUAAUUUUAUUAAAGAAAAAACUUUUGGGCAAUUUUAAUUAAACAAAAUAAAUUUUCACACAAUUAUUAUUAAAAAUAAUUAAAUACAAGUUUUUGAAUUCCUUUAAAAACAUUUUUUGAAUUUUUUAUAAAACUUUUUAGAACUAUUAUUUUAUUAAAAAUUAUUUACCAAAUUGUAUUUUUGGUUUGUUCAAUACAAGUGAAUAUUUAUAGAAUCAAUAGAAAUAAAACCAAAUAAAAGUAGAAAAUAAAAUGUGUACACAACAAGCUUUCAUCCUUCUUUUUCUAUGUGAAAUUCAACCCUUCAUGUGUCACACAUCCAUACUCAGUCAAUACUCAAUAGAAUACCAAUGCAAGUAAUGUAAUGGGUCCAUGCAAAACAAAAAUGAAUCAGUCCAAAACAAAUAUUCAAAUCCAAAUUUUAGAAGCCAAUAACAAAAUUCAAAUUGGUCCAAUGAAUUUCACCAAUGAAAAUAAACUCAAAUUAACAAGUAUAACCCAACAAAAAUAUUUCAUUUACUAUAAGCAUUAAUUCAAAAAUUUCAAAUUAAUAACUAAUAUAUAAGCACAAUCUAAUAUCCUUCAACAAGCAACAAAUCAAAAGAUUUUCAAUUAAAUCCAAAUUUAAUAUUUCAUACUCCAAACUCAAUUUAAUAGGCAAACCCAAAUCAAUAACCAAAAUCAAAUUAAAUAAUUCAUGAGCAAAACCCAUAUCAAAUAUCAAUCAAUCCAACAAAUUUUACCAACAACAAAAAUAGCUUAAAUUCCAUAUUAAUUAAUAAACUCAAAACAUGACAAAUCAAAAUAAAUUCAAUCAAACCUAAAUUCAAUAUCUUUAAUUCAAGCCUAAUUUAACACUCAAAUCCAAAACCCAAUAAUCACCGAAUCCAAAUAAAACAUAAACUAACAAACCCAAAUUUAUGAAUACAAAUCAAAAUACAAGGUACAAAAUGAUAUCCAGAUUAUCUAAGCUUACAAAUAAUGUCCCGAUCAAGUAAAUGCAAACAUGAAAAUAAUAAAAAUUAGUCCAAACCAACAAUCUCAAUAAUCAAGAACAAAUUAUUGUAGUAAUUAAACAGAAAUAAUAAAAAUAAAAGGACAUAAAAUUACCCGGAACCCAUUGUAGUAAUUAAACAGAAAUAAAAAAAAUAAAAGAAAAUAAAAUUACCCAAAUUUGAAGUAUAUUGUUGAAGGGUUGAUAGAGGAGAAUGAAAAUAAAAAUAAAAUUAAAAUGAAAGAAGAUGAGAAGGAAAGAAAGAGAAAAUGGUGAGAUGGGAGACAGGUCGAAAGGGAGAAAGAGAGGGGAAAGGGGGGUCGCCGGUCGGCUAGUCACCGCCGCAGCAGAUCACUGACGGUGACUGACGGGGCCGUGUUGCCGAUAGUACGGGUUUAGUGAAUGUGGUGAGGGAAAAAUGAAGAAGAAAAGAAGAACACAAAGGAAGAUAAAAAAAAAUACAAAGAAAAAAACGAAAAGGAAAGAAGAAAGGUGGGGCAUGUUCUCUGGAAGUGGGUCUGGGGGGAGAAGAAGAAGGGGAAAAAAAUGGGGAAAAAAAAAAAGAAAAAGAAAGAAAAGAGAGGAAAAAAGGAAGAUAAAAUGGAAGAGAUGAGAGUGGGGGGUAUGGGUUCUCUGACGUGGGAAUGGGCAGGAAAGAGAGAGUUGAGAGAAUGGGUGGAGUAACUGGCAGAAAAAGAAAAAGAAAAGAAAAUGAAAGAAAAGAGAGGAAAAAAGGAAGAUAAAAUGGAAGAGAUGAGAGUGGGGGGUAUGGGUUCUCUGACGUGGGAAUGGGCAGGAAAGAGAGAGUUGAGAGAAUGGGUGGACUAACUGGCAGAAAAAGAAAAAGAAAAGAAAAGAAAAGAAUAGAAGAAGAAAGAAAAUGAAAGAAAAUGAGAGGAAAAAAGGAAGAUAAAACGGAAGAGAUUUAAAAUUAAAUAAAAUAUAAAAUAACAAAAUAAUAAAAUUUAAGAUUUAAAAUGUAUAAGUAAGUUAAAAAAAUUCAAAUUAAGAUUUAAAAGGUAUAAGUUGAUCAAAAAAUUUAAAUUAAGAUUUAAAAUGCUUGUAUGGGUAAAAAAAAAUCAAAUGUAAUCGAUUUGAAAUAUAAGAAUAAAAUUAAACUUAAAAUUAAUAUAAAACAAAAUUUAGGAAAAAUUUUAGGAUUACAAAAAGUAAGAGUAUGGUACAAAAUUAUUUUUAAAAAUAAUUUUUAUUAUUUAAAUAAAAAAUUAUCUAAAAACAUUAAUUUAUUUUUUUAAAAUAAGAAAUAGUUUUUAUGAAUUUAUUCUUAAAAUGAGAAGAGAGUGUUUAGAAUAUAUUUUUUUCACUUAUUUUCUAAAAAAGUAUUAUAAAAAUCAAUUUAAUAAAUAUGAAGAAUAAUUAAAAAUAAAAUAUUAUAUACAAAAGUUAUUUUAAAAAAUAUAUUAAAAAAAUUCAAAUUUCUAAAUGGACUUUUCUAUUAAAAAAUAUUAAAAAUUGUUUGAAGCAUAUUUUCAAAAAUAAUUUUUCUCUUUAGAUUUCAAAAAUAUUUCCAAAUAGAUUUUAACAUAUCGUUUCAAAGUGAUUCUAAUUAAAAUAUUUUGAUUUAUAUUUUUUAAUUCAAAAUAUAUUGUUCAACUUUUAAAUAUAAAACCAAUUCAAAAAUAUCCUCAACACAUAUUAUUUAAUCAUAAAAAUUCUCAUAAUUUUUUUACUCUUCAAAUACUUUCCAACAAAGAUCAAAAGUCACAUGCGAGUGUAGAUACAAUAAGAUUCUUCCAACAAAUUUCAAAUGCAAGUGACAUACAUAUUUCAACACUCCCCCAACAUAAUUCACAAGAAUAAUUUCUCAAUAACACAAAUCUCAAUUUCUACUAAAUAUCUAUAUCAAAAUAAAUAGAAAAAAUAUAUAUUUAAGAUAUCCAAAGAUGAUCACACCUAUUUUAGUUCAUUGUUCUUCCAUUCAACUUAUAUCCACAAGUAUUAAAUGAAAACUAAAACUGAAAAUAAAUUAAAGAGUAUAAAAAGAAAAAGAUAGAUAAUGAUAUCAGAAUUUAUGUGGAAAACAUUCAAAAAGAUAAAAAAAAAUAUGGACUUACCACCAAUAAAAAAUUUCACUAUGAAGAACAAGCAAUGUGUAUAAUGAUUUACCUAACUCGAGUCUUUUAAUUUUUCAUAGACUUAACCAACACCUUCUCACUUUAGCCGAAUGCCUUGACCUUUCAAAAUAUACUUGACAUUCUCAUCAAUCUUGAUUUCAACCUCUCCUUGAAGCUUGCUUAAGAAGAAAAAUGAGUUUUUACUCAAUCCCAAAUAGAUCAUAAAAUGAGAGAAAAGAUAUUAACCUUUUUUUUUUCUUAAGAAAAUUUGUUGAAAGCAGCUUUAAAAUCAAUAAGAAAAUGAGAUUUUCUUGGCCACCAAACACCAUAAAUUUGGUAAGAAAAAAAAAAGUACAAGGGCAAAACGACUACUAGUGUCUCCCAUUUCAAAAGGCAAUUUUUGUUUUUUAAGUCAAAAGAAACUUUUAUCAAACGAUUGAAAUAACAUCAAGAAAGUGCAACUUGGAUUGAAUUAACAUAAAGUUGGAUCAAUCCUGGAACAUGACAUUUAAACACUUAACAAAAAAAAAUGCUUCCUAAAUCUCCUUUAACUCCUUAAAAUAUAUAUAUAUUUUAAGAAAAACAACAUUUAAAAAAUAUGGUUGAUUUAAUUUCAUCUAACUCUAACCUCAACUACAUGCUUUCAUCUUUUAGCAAAUCCAACAACUUAAUUUUCAUUAGACAAAUAGUUUGAAGAAGGAUUUGAAAAAUAAUUAUGAUCUAAAACUUAAGGAUUGUCUUUAUGUACUCAAGACUAGAAAGAAUCUUGUUUCAAUUUCUAAUUUAAAUAAAUGUGAUCAUUUAGUUUAUUUCAAUAAAUAUGUUUUUAUUAAAAAGAAUAAUUCAUUUAUUUACUCAAACCCAUAGGUUAACAUUCUCAAUCAUUUUACUUCUAGUUAUAUUCUACCUUAUGUUGAAAACAAUCAUAUCUCACUAACCAAACAUAUUUGUGGCAUUUAUGCUUAGGUUAUAUAAAUCUAAAUAGAAUUCAAAAACUAGUUAAGUCUAAAACAUCGUACUCAUUAGUUCCAAAAAAUCUUUUAGUUUGCGAAUACUGUAUAAAAGGUAAAAUGAUUAAGAGGUCCUUUAUUGCUACGGAGGUUAGAGCCAAAGAAUGUUUAGAGUUAAUGCAUCCUAAUGUGUAUGAACCCUUUAAUGUCCAUGCACGAGGAGGGCAUGAAUAUUGCAUCAUUUUUGUUGAUGAUUAAUCUAUGUAUAGUUAUGUUUAUCUUAUGCAUAAGAAAUCCAAUGUCUUGAAUGAAUUCAAGGGGUGUUUGUUACCUAGGAAUGAGGAGUGGAAAUAGAAAUCUCAUUCAUUCCCUUCUUCAUUUCUAUGUUUGAAUAAAUUUUACGAAUGUAGGAAUGAAAUAAAAAAUGAUUCUAAUAUAAAUCAAAUCUCACUUAUAAGUGAGAUUUCAAUCCAUCACAAGUAGGUGGUAUUCUAAUUCAUUUAUCCAUAAGAAAAUAUAAAAUAGCCUAACAUUACUAUUUUACCCUUGAAUUUCAUUUAUCGAGCUCUAAUGCGUUUUCAUCCCAUAACAAAACCAAUUUUUUUUUAGUUUUAUUAUUUUGCAAAAAAAAAAAAACACUCAAAAAUUAUUAUUUUAAAAUGAAAAUAAUUUUAUUUUUUAAACUAUAUGUAAGGGUAUUAUUGUUAAUUUAUUUAAUUUUCAUUAUCAUUUAUAUUAUUACCAAAACAUUAGAAUGAAAACAAAUAAUCAUUCUAAUAUUAAAUUCCUAGGUUCAUCUAAACACUAGAAAUAAAAUUACCAAAUUCAUUUUCAUUCACCAAAAAUAAGAAUGAAAACAAAAUAUCAAUUUUCAUUUUCUAUUCUUAUGUACCAAAUACCCUUUUAAUGAAUUUAAGGCAGAAUUGGAAAAUCAAUUAGGUAAACACCUCAAGGCAUCGAUCAAAUUGAGUUGGAUGGUACGUGUCUAGUGAGUAGGAUUCUUUCUUGGAAAAGCAUAAUAUUAGGUAAACAUCUAUGAAACAAUCAUUGUUGGAUGUUGAUUCUAAAUGUUUCUUCCCCUUUAUCGAGGUAAGAAAUGUCCACAAAGUAAGCAAGUCGGAGGCUUACUUUUUUUAAAUAAAAAAAGAAAAAAGAAAAUGCAAGACACGUACAAAUUAACACGUUUUUUUAUUUUCAUAAUAUGAAAAUCAUAUAAAAAAAAUAACAAAAUAUAUUUUAAAAUUAUAAUAUAAUUAUAUAUUUAAUAUAUAAAUAAAAUUAAAUAAUGCAAUUUUCCUUCCAUUUUUAAUAUAUAUCUUCAUGUUUAAAUAUUAUACAUAUUUUAUUUAAUAAAAUUUAAAAUAUUUAAACAUUUACAUUUAUGCAUGAUUUAAUUUGACAAUAUUAAAGAUGAAAAAUAAAUGUUAUUGCUUUAAAAAAAAUUUGUAUAUAUUUUAAUUAUUUAUAAUUAUUUUAUUUUAAUAAAAUAUUAAUUAUAUAUUUAUAAUGUGAUGGCAACAUUUCAACCCGAUCAAUGAUGGAAUGAUGAAAACAUUGAUCUUAUCCGAUUUUUGCAUGAACAAAAGGCGCAAAAGUUCUAUUUAGCCUUUUAAAGCCCAAAUACAGACCCAAUAAAAUUAUGGAAAACUUGUUUCAUGGGCCAAGCCCAUUAGUCUUUCAUUCGAGAAUUACACUACACUGCAUAAAGUUGUUUCCCCAAAGAUGUGGAAAUACACCAAAAUCACGUGCUUUAAUCUAUUUUAUUUUGUUAGAAAAAAAUUUGGUAUGAAAAGUAGUUUCAGUGCUACAAAUAUAUCUAGAUAUAUACUCUUAAUUGAUGUCUUCUUCAAAAUGGCCCCCAUAUUGUGUUCUAGCCACGAUAGAUAGUACGAUUGAGAUUAAUGAGAUCUCGCUUAGUUAAUCCUUGUGUACGUGGAAUGAAUGGAUGAGAAUUCUUGAAUACUUGACUAGUUCAGUGUUCACAUUAAUCCAUCCUGAAACAGUGGGCAGGUGCUUUCCUUAGCCCAUUGGGCCCUGCCAUCUACCUUGUGCAGCCCCAUUAGCGGACUUGCUUAUGUUUAUGGAAUGAAAAACCAUCACUCAAGGCAUAAAAAAAUGUGAUGACAAAGACAAAUAAUGGAACAAAGGAUAUAACCAAUGAAUUAUGAUGAAAAAUGAUGGUAGGAGGACAAAAAAAUAAUAAACAAGGUGAACUAGUAAGUCUGUGGCUCAUGAAACUUUUGAAUAAAGCAAAUAUACACUAGAGGGUCCCUAUUCUAGUGUAAAAGGUGAGCAAAGCUAUAAAAAAGAAAAUGUUAUGAUGCUCAUGCGAGGCUCAAAGGGCUAACAACGACCCAAAUGUCAAUAAAGGUAAUAGAGUGUGAGCUAAUCAAAAUGAAGGUCACACAUCUUUCAACCAUGGUCUCAAACAUUGUGCUCUCAAGACCUCAAAUGAUCAAUACUAAAGAUCGAUAUUCAUUUGAUAUAACCACGUCAACCCUCUGAAAUCGUGUGCCAAACCCUACUCCAGAUGCUCCAUAAUAAUCUCAAAGAUGAUCAUCUCAAAACAAAGUAAACAACCAUCUUGUCAAGCACAACUGCUCAUCACAAGCCAACUCUCAUUAUGCAAUACCAAUCUCUAUACUCAUGGCAGAAUAAGUGACAGUUUCAUCAGACAAUCAACCAAUCCUCACAUCAUAAACCAACCAAAGAUCAUAAGUCAUCCCUCGCCAUGUAAGAUCAACCCUAAGCUCAAACUCUUCACACUCUACCUAGUUGGAUUAGAUAGAGGAUGUGCAAAGCUAGAAAAGUUGAGGAUGAAAAGGUCAUAUAAUGGUGUCAAGGGUGAUGUGUAAAGCUCACAAUGCAUGGAUGUAGGUCAAAACAAAGUCAAGGUGUGAGAGUGAAUAAGGCACUGCUCUGAUCAUAAGAAGAUGGGUCACAGUCUCCAACUCCCUAAGUCAAAUAUGUGGUCCUAGGUUAAUAGGCUCAAUAUCCUCCAUGAUAAGUUAGGCUUCAAGACCAUAAUGUGCAAGUGAAAAGAUGUCUCAAGUAAAAAAACCUAACAUAACACAUGGUAUGUGGUCAUGUGAUGAUAAUCAAAAUUUGGAUGUAUGACAAAGACUAUAAAGUCAUAAAAGUGUCCACUAUGAGAUGACUACAAAUGUGAUUAAAGAAUUUCUAUGAGUGAUCUAAAAAAUGAAUGAGGUGUGAAAAACAACAUUGCCAGGAAAUCGAUACUCCAUCUAUAACAAAGUAUCCCUAAUUCACUUUCAACUUAAGCUCCAUAAAUAAAAAUGAUAAAGUGAUCAAGGCAGAUCUUUCAAAAAGGGUGUGAACGUGAAAACAUGUUUUUCACAUUUCUGUAAUGAAAAUAUCGAGUUGAAAAUAGAAUUAAGUGAAUCGACCAAAAUAAAGUAUCAAGCCCAUGAUAAGUGAAGAAUGUAAAAAGGUGAGCAUGAUCAAUGAGCAUACCCCAAAAUGUCAAGCACAAUGACAAUCAACCAAAAGAAUGUUAACUCAAGAAAGAAAAUAUGUCUAAAGCCCUAAGGGAAAACGUGCUAGACUCAACAAGCAAUAAGAAGAAACCAACACUAUACAACAAAGAGUGGUCCAACUGAUUCUCAAACUUGCACUGAUCUCUAAACACUCUCAACUGAAGACCCAAAGAUGGAGUAUUGGAUCCAUGCUAUGACUAAAGCAGCCCCAAAGGCUCUCAAAUGCACUCACGUGUAAGUAAGAAAUCCUAAUCAAAUGAUCUAAGACUCAACCUAAUAGGACAAAGCGGCUCUAAAAAGAAAAAAUGGUGGACUUUAAAGGAUCCUUAGCAAAAGAAAUCGUAUCUUUCCAUGGUACGCAACCUCAUGCACACCUCCAAAGAGACGGAGGCACUUCCAUGCAAUGUGGUCAUCACCUCCACACAUCCACUAUCUCUCAUCCUAGAGGAUUUCUUAAUGGUGAAGGUUGUCACAUCUCUCAAUACUCAAUGGUAAUCUAAGGUGCAUAAUGAACGGUGUGGGUGAACCCAAAAAUCCUAUCAAACUUAGCAAAAAGAAAACACAUCGGUCACACAAAUAUCCUGAAAAUCUAGCUCUAUGCUAUACAAGUCUUCAAAGAUUGGACUCUAAUCAGUAUCAAUGUGUUGACUUUCUCCAGAAUGCUCCCAAACAUAGAUAUAGACCAUUAUUAAACUCUACUCUGAAUCACCAGCUCGGUCGAAGAGCAAACAAAGUAACAAGUCUUGUAUCAAAUAUGAGAUCAAGAAAAACAAGGUCAAUCGAGACUAGAGAGUUAGAGGUAAGAGGAUAGAUGUGUGUCCCACACAGACAAGCAAUACAUGCAUCACAUAGAAAAAGAGCAAUUAUGCACCAAACAAUCAUGCAAAUAAUAUGUAUAUCACUCAUAUCUAUACACAAACUAGGCAUGAAUAUGAUAAGCAAGAUAGGUAUUUAACAUAAUAGACAAUAUGUUGAGACAAACAAAAUGUUAUACAACAAAGAUAAUCAAUCAUGUCAAGAUGAAUGAGAUAUACAAAAAUGAGAAUAUGCAUGUCAAGGAAAGCAAGAUAAUCAUACAACAAAAUGAGUCACUAUGAAAGGUAGAUAAGAGAAUCAAUCGAUAUAAUCAACAUGUGAACAUCUCCAAUGAACAAUAAUAACCAAACAUGCAUCAUGGAUAAACAUAUUGAAACUCUCAACGUGUAAUCAACACCCAAUCAUACAAAGGCACAUAGAGAGGGGUAUCCAUUGAUCAACCAAUCAAACACCAUAUUUCCCUCAACUCGAGUUCAAGUUUGACUCUCUAAACAUACCCAGUGGAGUCGCCAUUUUGUGGACCUGCGUUUUUCACGUGCGUCCCCGCUCGAACGACGAAAUUCGUUUUUUAUUUGGUGAAAAUUUUAUUUUUUAGAAAAAAACUUGAAGUCGCCACUUAUUUUUGUUUUAUUUUUUAAAGGGAAAACAAAAUAAGAAAGAAAACUCUAUAUGACUCCUUAUUUGGAAAAAACAUAUCUGUAAAAAAUCGAGUCUAAAUACAUGAGUCAAGUUACCUAUUGGGAAUGUACGAUGGUGAGCCAUAGAACCCCUCCAAGCCCGUAUACCUACAACUUAUACUAAAUGAAUUAAGGGAAUUGUAACAAUUAAUUAAUUAGUCAUGGAUACCAAGAAAAAGAAUUGCACAAAUGAGUAUGUACAAAUUAUGAUAAAAAAAAUCAAAUUAUAAGAAUAGAUAAAAUAAAUAACAAGAGAAUUAUGCAAAAUGAUUUAUUGAACUAAAAAAAAUAUUAAAAAAUUAAUUUUCAAGAAAUUUCAAAGGAUUUUAUUAAAAACAAUUUUGAAUUAAUGAUUUCAAUUUAUUUAUUUACAAAAAAAAUUCAAUUUAUUUUCAAUAAAUGAUUUAAUUUAAUGUAAUUUGUAUUCAAUUUAAAAAAAUGUUAUUUACACUUAUUGUUAUUAAAGGAAUUUAGUAAAAAAAAAUUCAAUUUGACAAUAAAAAAAUGAUUUUUACUUUUAAAAAAUGAUUUUUUACAAUUUUAUUUACAAAUGUAUUUUAAUUUGAUAUCUAUUUAAUUUUUAUUUUUUUUUACAAAUUUUAUUUACAAAAAUAUUGUCAAUCCAAUUUUCUUAAAAAAAAAAAAAAGAUUUCUACAACUUCAAUUUACAAAUUCCAUUCUUAUUAAAAAAGUUAUUUAAGGCUUUUAUCUACAAAAAUUACUUUUAAUUCCAUUAUACUUAAAUAGAGAGAAUUUAUCUAAAAAAACAUUUUUUUGAUCAAUUUUAUUAAAAUUUAACCUUUGGGACAAUUUUAUUUAAAAUAAUAAUAAUUUUUUUAACAAUUAUUAUUCUAUUAAAAACAAUUUUUUCAAAUUCUAUUAAAAACAAUUUUUAUUUUAUUUUUCUAAAAGCAUUUUUCUGAAUUUUUAUUAACAAAUAACUUUCUUUUAUUAAAAAGAAUAUUUUAAAACUAUUAUUUUAUUAAAACAUAUUUAUUGAAUUGUCUCUCUUAUUUAAACAAAAUUUCUUGUUUGUUCAAUGUUCAAUUCUAUAUAUAACAAGUAAAUAUAUACAAACAAAUAUUUAUAAAAACCACUAAAAAUAAAAUCAAAUAGUAGUGGAAAAUAAAAUAUGUACCCAAAUAAGCUUAUAAUAAGCUCAAUGUCUUCCUAUAGUUUUUCGAUUCUCACUUUAUUCCAUGAAAUUCUAUGCGCCACAUGUCAUAAAUUUAUAUUUAGCCAAUAAAAUUGCAAAAUGAACCCAUGGAAAAACAAAAAUAGUCCAAAUGUAAAUAUCUAGAAAUUUGCAAAGUUCAAAAUAAAUAUUCAACCUCAAAUUCAAAGUUCAAAUUAGUCCAGUAAAUUUCAUUAAUUAAAAAUGAGUCUGAAUUAGUAAAUAUAACCCAAUACAAAUAUUUUACAUGUUAUAAGCCUUUGUCCAAAAUUUUCAAAUUAAUAACCAAAAUAUAAACACAAUCAACCAAACUUAAAAUUUGAUAAACUAAAACAAAUUUCAUUAGGUCUAAACUUAAUUUCCCAUCAUCCAAACCUAAUUUAAUACACAAAUUCAAAUUCAUAACCAAAAUCAAACUCAAUUUAAUAUGAAAACCCACAUCCAGAAUAUAUCACAAUUGUCUUAUGCCAAAUUAAAAUCCAUAUCAACCACAAAUCCAUCCAACAAAUUUUAUUAACCACAAAUGAGCCCAAAUUUCAUAUUAAUUGACCAACAACAAAUUAAUCCAAAUUCCAUAUUAAUUAACUAAACACAAAUUUCAUAUUAAUUCAUCAACAAAUGAACCAAAAUUCCAAAUUAAAUCACCAACCCAACUUUCACAAACUAUUAUUAUUAAAAUCAAAGUAAGAAAAAUAAUAAUAAUAAUAAUAAAAUAAAACAAAAUAAACUUACAUCGUUUUUCUUUUUUUUGAGACCAUGGAAGGAAUAUUGGGGAUGGCAGUGUGUGGAGGUGGCAUCGUUAGCAAGCGGUUGAUAAUCAGUUGACAAAUAAAGCGGUGUAGUAGGUUUGGGUGGAGAGAAAGAAAAGAAAAGAAAACAAAAGAAAAUUAAAAUAAAAUAAAAUAAAAGGAAAAGAAAGAAAAAUGAUGGAAGGGGAGAUGAUGGUGUGGGUGUUGUGUGGUGUGUGUUGGAAGUGUCGUUGAAGUAGGAAAUGGAAAGAAGAUGGAAGAGUAAAAGAAAAAAAAUGGGGUCGUGUGGGUGUUCGUCGUGAGUGGCCGUGUGGGUGGAGAUGCAAUCUGAGCAAGUGGGGUGUGGUAGCAGUAGUGUGCAAAAGGAGAAGGAAGUGGAAGAGCAAAAGAAGCAAAAUUAUAAUAAAAAAAAUGGAGAAUUGUGUUUUGGGUUCAACUGGGCCCAAAAAUUAACAUUUGGUCCAUAUAACUUUUAUAAUUGAUGGAAAUGAUAUAAGAUGUUAAAAGACCAAUAUAUCCUUCAAAUUUCUAUAUAUUACCUUUUAAGGAUAUAAAAUAGUGAUGAAUUAAAAUACCCAAUGACCUUUGACAUAAGUUUUUUUUUUGUCUUUAUUGCACCACUAUUCAUGCAACCAUAAUAAUUUUAUUUUAACANNNNNNNNNNNNNNNNNNNNNNNNNNNNNNNNNNNNNNNNNNNNNNNNNNNNNNNNNNNNNNNNNNNNNNNNNNNNNNNNNNNNNNNNNNNNNNNNNNNNUAUCUAUUCUUAUAUUUUGAUUUUUUUUAUCCAUAAUUUGUACAUACUCAUUUGAUCAAUUUUUUUUAUUAGUAUGCAUGACUAAUUAAUUAUUUGUUACAAUUCCAUUAAUUCAAUUAGAAUAAGUUGUAGUUUUACGAGCUAGGAGUGAUUAUAAAUUUCGUCCUAAAACUUUUUCAAUAAAUACCUUGAAUACAAUUGGUAGUCUGGUUUUUUUUCUUUUCUUUUUCUUUUUGAAAAAACAUUUAAUUAAAAAAUGAAAACUAUUUUUUUAAAAAAAAAAUUGAAACCUUGUUUAGUACUAUUUUUUAUAUGAAAAUAAUAAAAAGAAUUAAAUUACAUUCAUUGAUUAUCCAUUUUUAUUUUUUUCCAUUAGUUAUUUUAAUAAAAAAAAUAAAAAAAUAUAGUAUGUUUACAAUUAAACAAAGAAAUUGAUCAAUUAUAUAUUUUUUGUGGGGCUAUCUUUUACAUGAAAAUAUAAUUAAAUAACUAAAUUAUAUAUAUUUAUUACUAUUUUUAAUUUAAUUUUAUUUAUUUAUUUUUUGUCUAAUAGAAAAUUUUAAUAUAUCCAUAAUUAGCUAAGUAAUAAGUCAAUUGUGCACAUUUUAAUCUAUUAAAAUAAAUUACUUUCUAAUUUAAAUAAAUAAAAUGAAAUAAGUAAAUAAAUUUGGGAUUAUUUCUGUUUUUUAACAUAUCUUAUAUCAAUAUUUUUUAUGGUUAAAUAAAUUUUUUAUUUUUUUUCUUUAAUUCAAAAAAUAAAAUGAAAUAAAUAAAUAAAUUUGGUAUUUUUUAACUGAUCUUAUAUUUAUAUUUCUUAUGGUUAAAUAAAUUUUUUAUUCUUUUUUCUUUAUUUCCAAAAAUAAAAGGAAAUAAAUAAAUAAACUUGGUUUAAAUAAUAGUUUUUUAAGUAAUUUCUUUGUCUUAUUUUUAAUUACAUUUUGUAUUGAAAAUAAAAUAAAAUAACGUUUUAUUUAUUUUAAUUAUUUUAAAUGUCAAACUAUUGGGAACAUAAUUUACACACUCAUGUGGAUAUAAUUUAUACAUAGAUAUGAAAUUUAUACCAUUAUACAAUAUUAUUACACUAAUUGUAAAAGAGGUGUGCAAAACUGUACAUUUUGAACAACUUUUUUUUUUCUUGUCAUCUAAGGAUUAUACGUUCUCUUACCACAAAUUCUUUUAUUUCAUGUACUUUAUUUAACUCGCAUAUAAAAAUUCAAAUACUUAUCUUAAUAAUGAUGUUUAGAGAAAAAUUUUGUUUUUACAUUUUAUAUCAUUUUUUAAAUCAAACCAUUUGAAACAUGGUUCACACAUCAUAUGUGACACAUAAUGUAUGCAUAUGAAUGAAAUUUGCACCAUUGUAUAAGGGUGUUAUACUAACUGUACAAGGUAAAUAUUCAAUUGGACAAGACAAAUGUUCCAAUUGUACAAGACAAAUGUUCUAACUAUACAAGGGGUAUACAAGGUUAUCCUUUAUGAAAGAUUUUAAUCAAUUUUGGACAACUUUUUUUUUUUAUCUUGUCAUCUAAGGAUUGCACACUCUUAAGGUACACAUUCCUCUAUUACACACUCAUCUUAUGCACUUUAUUUACAUGAUAAUUCGAAUACUUAUCCCACUAAGGAUGUUUGAGAUAAAAUUUUGUUUUUCCAUCUUCCGCUAUUUUUUGAAACAAACCAAUGAAAACAUGGUUAACCUACCUAUGGUUACACAUUGAGCCAGGGGUAUAUAGAAUUUGAGUCACUGUACAAGGUAUUUACACUAAGUGUACAUGACAAAUAUACUAACUGUACAAGGGUGUACAAGAUUAUUAUUUGUGAAGGAUUUUAAGUGAUUCUGAAAAACUUGUUUGUUUAUUUCCCCUAACCGAUGAUAAAUGACAUUCCUUACACACAUUAGUUAAACAUACAUUCAUCUUAUGCACUUUAUUUAACUUGAAAAGGUACCUCACUUAUGAUGAUUGUAAAACAAAAUUAUACAAUAAUUUUUCUUCUUUUUUAAAACCAAACCAAUGCAAACAUGGUUAAUCGACCUAUUGUCAGAUAUUCAUAAGAUGAUAUAUGAAAUUUGAGUUAUUGUACAAGGGUAUUAUACUAACUGUACAAGACAAAUUUACUAAUUGUACAAGGGUGUACAAGACUACUUUUUGUUAAGGAUUUCAAGUGAUUUUGAAAAACUUUCCCCCUUUUUUUUCCACUCAAAUAUUUUUUUCCCACUCAAAUUCUCUCACUCAAGAAUUGUUUCGAAUUUUAUUUUUAAAUUUCAUCAUCAAAAUUUUGUAAUUGCAUAUUUUGCUUUUGUAGUUUUAGCAAUGUUCUUUCUUUCCACUAUUUUUUUUUUUUUUUUUGUGAAAUUUUAUUCAAAUGAAUCUAUAUUUAAAAUUGUAAUAAUAUUUAUCAAUUUUUUUUACUAAGAUUAUAUUUAAUUCUUUUAAUAUAUUUAUACUCAUUUAUUUAAAAAAUGAAAAACCAAUUUUUUUUUUUUUUUGUAAACAUGCUCUAUUACCUUUCAAGUAAAAAAUUAGAUAAGUUUGAAAGUCAAUUAAAAAAAAAAUUAAAUACCACUUUCAAUAAUUUUUAGAUAAAAUUUUAUAUAAUAUGUUUUAUUUAAAAUUUAAUUUCUAAAGUUUAACUGUAUUGACAAUUUUCUUGUUGUGAGUCAAAAUACUUUGCAUUAGUCUAUCUAGAUAAGAAAAAUUAUUAAUAUAAUAUUAGAACUUCAUAUCUUAGUUAUUUUUUUCAAUAAAUUUAUCUUUUCAAAAAUUUUAAAAUAAAAACAUUAGAAAUUAAAAAGCUAAAAGGAUAUAUAUAUAUAUAUAUAUAUAUAUAUAUAUAUAUAUAUAUAAUAGAGUGAAGUGAUAGUCAAUUUUUAAAAUAUGGUUAAUGUAGAAAAUAUAAAAAAUAAUUAAAAAUAAGAGAAAAAUAUAAAUGAAAGGAUAAUAUAAAUUUAAAAUAAAAAAUGAAAAUUAAAUUAAAAGAUAAAUACAAAAAGAUAAAAAAUAUUUGGAUGAAAAAUUCCAAAAUUUUUAUCAUUGCUUAUAAUAGGAGCAAAAAGAUUCAAUAUCUUUAAAAAAAAAAAAACAUUAUUGCUUUUUAUUUGACAUAAAAUAGAAAUAUAGAUUAGAAAAAAAAAGAAAAAAAAGUUAGAAAUGAAUAAUACUUAAUAAGAAAUAGAAAUGGGAAAAAAAAUACAAAAAAAUUGAAAUUCACACUCAUUUGUGUCUAUGUAAGGGUUAAGGGUAUUUUAAGGAUUAAUGAAAGAUAAUAUUUUUCAUCUUAAUUUUCAUACUUUGUUUAGGUUUUGCACUUAAAUAUACAUGAUAUAUGGACCAAAUGUUAAUUUUUGGACCCAAUUGGGUUUAAAACACAAUUCUCCCAAAAAAAGAAGUUGGAGGAAGUUGUGGGGAGAUGUGCAGAAGAAGGUAAUGGGUAAAGCGGUUAAUUGGAGAGGGUAAGAUGGGAAGAAAGAGGAGAGAGGAAAAUGAGGAAAAUUAAAAGAAAAUAAUAAUAAUAAUAAUAAUAAUAAUAAUAAUAAUAAUAAAUAACAAAAUAAAUAAAUAAAUAAAUAAAUUUUGAAAAUUUUUGGUGUUUACAAAAUCAUUUAAAAAAAUAAUUAUCUCAUCUAUGAAAAAUUGCAUGGACGAAGAUAAAACGUUAUUUUUCUUGUAUAAUUUCAAAUUGUGAGUAAACUCCUACUUUUCCCAAAUUUUGUGUAAGUGGAAUGAAUGGAUGAAAUUUUUUGAAUAGCUAAAGAAAGAGGAGAGAGGAAAAUAAGGGAAAUUAAAAGAAAAAAGAAGGAAAAGAAAAUAAUAAUAAUAAUAAAUAAAAAUUUUAAAAAAAUUUGGGGUUUACAUAAUCACUUAAAAAAUAAUUAUCCCAUCUAUGAAAAAUUGCAUGGACGGAGAUAAAACGUUCCUUUUCACGUAUAAUUUCAAAUUGUGAGUAAACUCCCACUUUUCCCGGAUUAUUGCGUACAUGGAAUGAAUGGAUGGGAAUUCUUGAAUAGUUGAUUAGUUCGGUCUUCAUCCAUUAAUCCAUCUAGAAACAGUGGGCUUCUAGGUGCUUUCCUAAGCCCAUUGGGCCUGACACGACAGCCCAUAUGCCCUGUACAGCCCCAAUAGCUAACUUGCUUACGUGUAUGGAAAGAAAUGAAGCACGAGGGCACAACCAUGAUGCCAAGCCUUGGAAUUCAAUAAAGCAGUUUGAUAUUUCUCCGCCACCCCCACCCUAUAUAAACCUCUACCCAUUUCCACAUAAACCAUCAUCACCACCACUACAAAGAGCGUCUUCCUCAAAAUGGGCCUCUUUAGCUGACUUGCUUGCGUCUAUGGAAUGAAGUCAAGCACGAGGGCACAAAGAUAUAUGACGCACGAGGGCACAAAGAUAUAUGACGCCAUUCCUUGGAAUUCAAUAAAGCAGUUUGACAUUUCUCCGCCACCCCCACCCUAUAUAAACCUCUACCCAUUUCCACAUAAACCACCAUCACCACCACUACAAAGAGCGUCUUCCUCAAAAUGGGCCUCUUCAAAAGCCUCUCCAUUUCCUCCUUCCUUCUCAUCACCCUCUUCUUCACCUCCGCCCAUGCAGCCAUUUUCAAUAUCCAAAACCGUUGUUCCUACACAGUUUGGGCAGCAGCUGUGCCGGGUGGGGGUAGGCGCCUCGACCCGCGUCAGUCCUGGAGCUUGACUGUGAACCCUGGGACAACUGGAGCCCGUAUUUGGGCCCGGACCGGCUGCAGCUUCAAUGGGGCUGGGCGUGGGCGUUGUCAGACCGGGGACUGCGGUGGCGUCCUCCAAUGCACAGCCUAUGGUGCACCCCCCAACACCUUGGCUGAAUUCGCACUUAACCAGUUCAACAACCUGGACUUCUUUGAUAUAUCCUUGGUCGAUGGGUUUAAUGUGCCUAUGGCUUUUAACCCUACCUCCAAUGGGUGCUCCCGUGGAAUACGGUGCACGGCCAACAUCGUGGGACAGUGCCCCAAUCAGCUCCGAGCUCAGGGUGGCUGCAAUAACCCAUGCACCGUUUUCAAGACCGAUCCGUACUGUUGCAAUUCCGGGAGCUGUGGCCCUACAGAUUACUCAAGGUAUUUCAAGACUAGGUGCCCUGAUGCUUACAGCUACCCUAAGGAUGAUCAAACCAGCACCUUUACAUGCCCUGGUGGUACCAACUAUGAUGUUAUCUUCUGCCCAUAAAGCCUCUAUUAACUAUAGUAUGCAUGUACUCGCUAGUCCAAACUACUAGGGUGCUUUUGAGUCCAAAAGCCUAGAGGAAUAAAUUUGAAUAAAUUUGAGCACAUGUAUGUGUACUACAUGCGAUCGUGUAACAAAAUUUCUAAGCUAGUUGAAGAAAUGGAUGUUUUUACGAGGGAUUUUACCGAUAUUAUUAAGAAUGUGUUUUAUAGCGAUUUUAUAAAGUGUUUUUAAUUUUUUUUUAUAUUUGAAAGAUAAAAAGUUUUAAAUGUUAAAAAAAGUAAAAACAUUUUCUAAAAUUACUGUCAAAUACACUUUAAAAAUGGAUUUAAUAAUGAUUCUAAAAAGUUUUUAUAAUUAAAUAUGAAAAUUUUGAAGUAUUAAAAAAAACUAAAAAUAUUUUCUAAAAUUAUUAUCAAAUAUAUUCUAAAUAAUGUAGGACCUAAUAGAGAAACACUUUUGCAUAAGAAUUUUAAACAAAUAAAAAAAUAAAAAUCAUUCCAUCAAAAUAAUUCUAACUUUCUUUUUGUCUAAUUGGAUUCCAAGUAAGCUCGGUUUUUGUCCGCAAGACCAAUUGUUAAUUUAGUCUUUAGACCACUAGAAUGGAGGUUUCAAGGAAAAAGAAAAAAAAAGGGUUUGACUGUGAGCAGUGCUUUGCUGACUGACCUCACUCCCAAAUCAAUUUUCCAUGUGGUGGAACCGUGGAAGACGCCUUCCUUAAUGGGUAGGAGGCUGUUAAUGGAGAGUUUGGACUUUGGGGAGAAAUUGAUUGUUUCCCCACUCACUUUCAAUUAUAUCCAUUUACAUGGAAAUAUAUAGGAAAAGAAAAAAAUUUAAAAUUUUUCGUCAAAAGCAUCUCCUUCCAAUUGUUAUAUUAAAUAUUUUAUGAUUUCAAAUCUUUUCUGGUUUAAGUUUUGAAUUUACCCUAAUGAGUUUGCCUUUUUUUUUUUCUGUCCCUAUUUAAUAUAUAUAAUUAUGUAGAUUUUCCAUUUUGUCUUUCAUAGUACAUAAUUUUGACAAUAUUUAAUGUCUUUUGCUUGGUUCCCUGCAUAGCAUGUGCGUAGGAUUAUUUUUGGCUUUUAAAUCUGCUUGCAGCCUUCAUUGAACCGAAGUGGAUAGGAAGGGCUUGACUUAUUCGUAUACUCAGAGGGCACUCAACUCACUAGCAAUGCCCCACCAAAGUCGCGUGCAUUGAAUUGUAAAAUCGAUUGACUUUUUACUUUUACCUCUUAAACAAAAGGACACCUUCUCACUCCUUCCAAAUUUUUGAAAAAGAUAUAUAUAUAUAUCUAAAAACUGAAUUUAAUUAGAUUAUUUAUUAGAAAGGUAGGGUGAUCAUUCAUAACACUUCUCAAUACUCAUAUAUGUACUGUUUUUACUAAAUGAAUGAAAAGAAGUAUGAUGAUUAAUUAAUUAAUCAUGAAUAUUAAGAUUAAGAAGACAAAUCAAUAUAUAUAAAAAAAUAAUCAAAUCAAAAUAAUGCACAAAAUAAAUGACAAGAAAAUUUUACAAAAUAAUUUAUUAAACAAAUUUAAAAUAUAUAUAUUUCAAAAAAUUAUUCUUUUAAGAAUUUCGAAAAAAAAUUAUUAAAAACAAUUUCGAAUAAAUAAUUUCAAUUUAUUUUUUAUUUUUAAAAAGUUUCAAUUUAUUUCCAACAAAUGAUUUGAUUUAAUUUUAUUUAUAUUCAAUUUAUAUAUUUUUUUUAAAUAAUUACACUUAUUUUAUCAAAAGAUUUUUUUUAAAAAAAAGGAAAAUUCAAUUCCACAAUAAAAAUGAUUUUUACUUGCUUUUAUUAGAAAAAAAAAAAGAAUUUUUACAACUUUAUUUUCAAAAAUAAUUUAAUUUUAUUUUAUUUACAAAGAAUUAAUUUCUUUACAAUAAAAUAUUUUCAAUCCAAUUUUAUCAAGAAAAUUAUUUUUACAACUUCAAUUUGCAAAAAAAACUUUCAUUUUAUUUUUAUUAAAAUAUUAUUCAAGACAUUUAUUUAUGAAAAUUAUUUUUAAUGUCAUUCUAAUUAAGGAAAGAUAACUUAUUUAAAUUUUUUGGAUAAUUUUAUUAAAAAAAACCUUUUGGACAAUUUCAUUUAAAAAUCAAUUUUUUUGAACAAUUUUAAUUAAACAAAAUAAAUUUUAGACAAUUAUUAAAAACAAUUUUUUAAAAUUUUAAUUAAAAACAAUUUUAGAAUUCCUUUAAAAACAUUUUUUGAAUUUUUUUAUUAAGCAAACUUUCUUUUAUUUAAAAGAAUCAUUUUAGAAAUAUUAUUUUAUUAAAAAAUAUUUAUUAAAUGGUUCCUCUUAUUUAAACAAAAAUUUUGGUUUGUUGUGAAUAUUUAAACAAAAUUUUUGGGUUUGAAUCAAUACAAAUAAAACCAAAUAAAAGUGAAAAUAAAAUGUAUAUCCAACAAGCCUACAACUCUUUUUUCUUCAUGAAAUUCAACCUUUCAUGUGUCUCGAAUCCAUACUUAGACAGAAUACCAAUGAGAGUAGUGGAAUGGGCCAUGAAAAACAAAAAUUAGUCCAAAAGUAAGUAUUUGGAAAUAUGCAAAAUCCAAAAUAAAUAUUCAAACCCAAAUUCUAUAAGCCCAAUAGGAAAAUUCAAAUUGGUCCAAUGAAUUUCACCAAUGAAAAUAAAUCAAAUUAACAAGUAUAACCCAACAAAAAUAUCUCAUUUGCUAUAAGCAUUAGUUCAAAAUUUUCAAAUUAAUAACCAAAAUCUAAUAUCCAUCAACAAGCCACAAAUCAAAAUAAUCUCAAUUAAGCCUAAGCCCAAUUUAAUACGCAAACUCAAAUUCAUAAUCAAAAUCAAACUCAAUUUAAUAUACAUACCUAAAUAAUAUCUAAAAUAUAUCACAAUAUUAUCUCAUACCCGAAUUAAAUAAUUCAUGAGCAAAACCUAUAUCAAAUGUCAAUCAAUCCAAUAAAUUUUACCAAUAAUAAAAUAGCUUAAAUUUCAUAUUAAUUAAUAAACUCAGAACGUGAUAAAUCAAAAUAAAUUGAAUCAAACAUAAAUUCAAUAUCUUAUAAUUUAAGCCUAAUUGAAUAUUCAAAUCCAAAAUCCAAUAAUCACCAAAUCCAAAUACAACAUAAACUAACAAACCCGAAUUUAUAUGAAUACAAAUCAAAAUAUAAGGUCCAAAAUGAUCCAGAUUAUCUAAGCUUACAAAUAAUGUCUAAAUGCACACAUGAAAAUAAUAAAAAUUAGCCCAAACCAAUAAUCUCAAUAAUCAAGAACAAAUUAUUGUAGUGAUUAAACAGAAAUAAUAAAAAUAUAAGGAUAUAAACUUACCCAUGAAGAACCCAUUAUAGUAAUUAAACAUAAAUAACAAAAAUAAAAGAAAAUAAAUUUGCCCAAAUUUGAAGUAUAUUGUUGAAGGGUUGAUAUAGGCUAAUGAAAAUAAAAAUAAAAAUAAAAUGAAAGAAGAUAGAGAGGGAAAGAAAGAGAAAAUGGUGAGAUGAAAGAUAGGUGGAAAGGGAGAACGAAAGAGGAAAGGGGGUCGCCGGCCGGCAGCAGAUCACCGAUGGAGACGGACCAACUGUGUUGUCGAUAGUGAGGGUUGAGUGAGUGUGGUGAGGGAAAAAUGAAGAAGAAAAAUGAAGAGAAGAAAAAAAAAAAAAAGAAAGGUGGGGCAUGUUCUCUGGAAGUGGGCCAAGAGGGGAGAAAAAGCGGGGAAAAAAAGAAGAUGAAAGAAAAUGAAAGAAAAGAGAGGAAAAUGGAAAUGGAAGAGAGGAGAGCGGGGGAUAUGGGGUCUCUGACGUGGGAGUGGGCAGGAGAGAGAGAGUUGAGGGAGUGGGUGGAGUAGGUGAGAGAAAAAGAAAGAAAAGAAAAUAAAAGAGGGAGGGAAGGAAGGAAAUGAGAAAAAAAGAAGAAGUAAAAUAAAAUUAGAUAAAAUAAUAAAAAAUUAAAAAUUAACAUUUAAAAUAUAUAAAUAGGUUAAAAAAAUUCAAACUAAGAUUUAAAAAAUAUAAAUGGACCAAAAAAUUUAAAUUUCGAUUUAAAAGGUAUAUAUGAAUAAAAAAAAAAUCAAAUGUAAUCCAUUUGAAAUAUAAUAAUAAAAUUAAACAUAAAAUUAAUGUAAAAAAAAAAUAGAAGAAAUUUUAAGAUUACAAAAAGUAUAGGGCAUGGUACAAAUUUAUUUUUAUUAUUUAAAUAAAAAAAGAUUAUCUUAAAACAUUACUUUAUUUUUUAAAAUAAGAAAUAAUUUUUAAGAAUUUAUUCUUGAAAUGAGGAGAGUGUUUAGAAUAUUUUUUUCACUUACUUUCUAAAAAAAUAUUAUAAAAAUUAAAUUAAUAAAUAUGCAGAAUAAUUAAAAGUAAAAUGUUAUAUACAAAAGUUAUUUUAAAAAAUAUAUUAACAAAAAUCAAAUUUCGAAACGGACUUCUUCUAUUAAAAAAAUAUUAAAAAUGGUUUGAAGCAUAUAUUCAAAAGUCGUCUUUUGAGAGUAGAUUUCAAAAAUAUUUCCAAAUAGAUUUUAACAUAUCAUUUCAAAGUGAUUCUAAUUAAAAUAUUUUGAUUUAUACUUUUUUAUUCAAAAUAUUUUGAUCAACUUUUAAAUAUAAAACCAAUUCAAAAAUAUCCUCAACACAUAUUAUUUAAUCAUAAAAAUUCUCAUAAUUUUUUUAUUCUUCAAAUACUUUCCAACAAAUAGUCAAAGUCACAUGCAAACUCUUCCAACAAAUUUCAAAUGCAAGCCACAUACAUAUGCAACACUCCUUAACAUGAUUCGUAAGAAUAAUUUCUCAGUGACACAAAUUUCAAUUUCUACUAAAUAUCUAUAUCAAAAUAAAUAGAAAAAAAAAUUCAAGAUAUCCAAAGAUGAUCACACCUAUUUCAGUUCAUUGUUCUUCCAUUCAAUUUAUAUCCACAAGUAAUAAAUGAAAACUAAAACUGAAAAUAAAUCAAAGAAUAUAAUAAAAAUAAAUAAAUAAAUAAUGAUAUCAGAAUUUACGUAGAAAACUUUCAAAAAGAUUAAUAAAACACGAACUUACCAUCAAUAAAAAAUUCCACUAUAAAAAAUAAAUAAUGUGUACAACGAUUUACCUAACUCAAAUCUUUUAAUCUUUCGUAGACUUAACCAACACUUUCUCACUUCAAUAGCAUAUCCUCAUCUUUCAUAAUAUACUUGGCCUUUUCAUUAUACUUGGCCUUUUCAUUAUACUUGAUCUUAACCUCUUCUUAAAGCUUGUUUAAGAAGAAAAAUGGGUUUUUUACCCAAACCCAAAUAGAUCAAAAAUUGAGAGAAUGAAUGAAUAAAUAGAUUAACCUUUUUUUUUUCUCAAGAAAAUUUAUUGAAAGCGACUUUAAAAUCAAUAAGAAAAUGAGAUUUUCUUGACCACCAAACACCGUAAAUUUGGUAAGAAAAAAAAGUACAAGGGCAAAAUAACUAUAUAUAUAUAUAUAUAUAUAUAUAUAUAUUAUUUUGUUAGAAAAAAAAUUUGAUAUAAAAAGUAGUUUUAGUGCUACAAAUAUAUCUAUAUAUAUAUAUAUAUAUACUCUUAAUUGAUAUCUUCUUCAAAAUGGUCCCCAUACUGUGUUCUAGCCACGACAGAUAAUACGAUUGAGAUUAAUGAGACGGCACUUAGAUAAUUCUUGUGUACGUGGAAUGAAUGGAUGGGAAUUCUUGAAUACUUAAAUACUUGACUUGUUCAAUGUUGUGGGCUUCAAGGUGCUUUCCUUAGCCCAUUGGGCCCUGCCAUCUACCCUGUGCAGCCCCAUUAGCUGACUUGCUUGCGUCUAUGGAAUGAAGUCAUACACGAGGGCACAAAGAUAUAUGACGCCAUUCCUUGGAAUUUAAUAAAAGCUGUUUCCCAUUUCUCCGCCGCCCCCACCCUAUAUAAACCCCUACCCAUUUUUCCAAAGGUUGAAUUCAAUUUAAAUAACAAAUCCAUCUUUAUAAAGUGAAAAAUAAAUUUGUUUUUUCAAAAAUCAAGUUUAAUAUUAAAAUAAAACAGAUAAGAGAUUAAAAACAAAAGUUACAAAACGGACAAGAGAGAAGAAUGGAAUGUGGUAAAAAAAAAACACAUUUUGUAUUUAUUUUUAAAUAACAAUUUUAGUAAUGAUUUUAUAAGGUGUUUUUAAUAUUUAAAAAAAAAUUAAAAAUACUUGUUAAAAUAAUUGUGAAACGCAUUGUUAGACUUUUUAGACCAUACAGGUUUCAGGGAAAAAACAAUAAAAAAUAAAAUAAAGAAGAUUUGAUUGUGAGCAAAGCUUUCAAUUUUCCAUGUAGUGGAAGAAGCCUUCUAUAUGGGUAUUUUAUUUUGUCCUCAUAACAUGAUAUUUAUCAUAUUUGGUAUUUGCAUAGUAUAUAUACAAAAUUCUUUUUGAUUUUUCUACUCUUUGCACUUCUUAGUGGUCUUUCUAUUACUUUUAUACAUAAUAAAAGUCAAUAACUAAAUGUAGAGAUUUUUUGCGGGCCCAAAAAUCACACGGUUAGUUCAUGGAGUUGCUUUCGGAGAGGCCUGAACCACCCACCAAAGUUGAGCUUAUCUCUUCGCUUUUACAUCUUAAAUGACACUAGAAAAAGGUAUAUGGCAUAGUAGAAAACUAUUUUUAAUUUUUUUUUUAUUAUUUAAAUAAUUUUUUUUUACCUGAAAACUUUUAUUAUUAUUUUAAAUAAGAAAUUGUUUUUUAAUUAUUUAUUCUAAAAAUGAGAAGAAAGUGUUAAGAAUAUUUUUUUCACUUAUUUUCUGAGAAUCAUUUAAAAAAUUUAAUUAUAUAAAUAUUGAGAAGAGUUGAAAAUAAAACAUUACAUAUAAUUUUUAAAAAUAUAAAAAUUUUAUUAAAAAUAUUUCAAGUUUCUAAACAUGCUUCUAGUAAAAAAAAAAAUUAAAAAUUGUUUGAAACAUAUUUUCAAAAAUUAAUUUUGGACAACAGUUUUAAAAAAUAUUUCCAAAUAGACCAUGAAAUAUCAUUUCAAAAUGAUUUUAAUUAAAGUUGUGCAGAGUAUUUUAACAAUGAUAUGGACCUUAUCUGGAAAAUAUUUUAAAUAAAAAAUAUAUGUUUAUUUAAAUUUGCGCCAUUGUAUUUGCUUACAAGUUUAUUUAUUGUCAUGUUUCAGAAAAAAAUAUCAGCUUCAGUUGAAAAGUUUUGAAAGAUACUUCGUAGUGGACCCACAUGGAUCACGAAUCCAUCUAAAACCCAACAUUUACGGGCUUUCCAUGACAUUGGGCCCAGUCACGUGUCUUUUAAGUGGAAAGUAAACUUUGGAUUUUCUCUUCUCUGGACUGGGUUGCUUCUCAGUAUCUUAAACGAUAAAUGAUGAUAUUAUCGAAAAUAGUCCCAGUCUCAGAAUAAUUGAAGUGGCCAAUCAUAUUGGAAUAAUUCAACAGGCUGUCUCAUUGAAUUUUGAAAUAAAUUUUUCCAACAACAUCCACCGACGUUUUUCUCAUUCAGCAUUCGGUAUUUAUGAAUUUACAUAAAAGUUAGGCAGAUUUCUGAAAUUAUAAAAAAUAAAAAUAAAAAUGACAAUGACGUGGGGCCUCGUCUCUGCAAAAUAUUUUAAAUAAAAUUAUUUAUUUUCUAAAAACAAACCUUUUUCAUUUGAAAAAAAAAAUUAUUGGCUUUUGAUGAUAAGGUUUGUGGAAGAAAAAGGCCAUCCCGCAUUGACUCUUUCUUUCAUGCCUACGAGUCACAACGAAGUCGACCACAAAGAUGAUGCCAUCAUUUGGAAUUUUUACAAGGCUUUAUGCACGCGGUUUUUCCACACUCACACCAACCCAAGCCCUCCUUCACACUAUACAAACCCUUUCUUCAAAUUGAUAAAUGAUAGUUUUUUUCAUUCAUACUUUCAUUUGUUCAUAUACAGAGUAUAUAUAGAGGGUAAUCAUCAUUCUAAGAAUGAGAAAGAAUAAUACAAGGAAAGAAUGAUAUAAGGAAAUAACAACUAAUAUCCUAAUAUCUCAACUUUCCUAAUAUUUCAAUAUUCCUAGUAUCUCAAUAUUCAUAAUAUCUCAAUAUUCAUAAUAUCUCAACAUUCCUAAUAUCUAAACAUUCCUAAUAUCUCAAUACUAAAUGAUAUAAGGAAAGAAUGAUAUAAGGAAAGCAUUCCUAAUAUCUCAACACUCCCCCUCAAGUUGGUGCAUAGAUGUCACACAUACCCAACUUGUCUAAAAAUUUUGAGAACACUUGACUUGAGACAGCUUUGGUAAGGAUAUCGGCCAAUUGAUCUUCUGAUCGAAUCUUAGGCAAUUCCACAAUCUUAUCAUCCAACUUUUCCUUAAUGAAGAAUCUAUCCACCUCGACAUGCUUUGUAUGAUCAUGUUGUACUGGAUUAUGAGUAAUGUCACAUGCGGCUUUAUUGUCACAAAACAAUCGGAUUGGUUGCCUAGAUAGGUAACUUAAAUCCUGUAAGAGGAGUCUUACCCAUAAUGCCUCACAAAGUCCUAGAGUCAUAUCUCUAAAUUCCGCUUCUGCACUUGAAUGAGCGACGACAUUCUGCUUCUUACUUUUCCAUGUCACAAGAUUACCACGUACAAAGGUAAAGUAACCAGAUGUAGAUCGCCUAUCAUCCACUGCACCGGCCCAAUCAGCAUCAGUAUAUACUUCUAUACUCUGAUGAUCAACAUUUUUAGUGAACAAAAUUCCCUUCCCAGGAGCAUUCUUCAAAUACCUCAAAAUAUGCAUGACUGCAUUCAUAUGUUGCUCUCCAGGAUUAUGCAUGUAGUGACUCACUACACUCAAUGCAUAAGCAAGAUCUGGUCUUGUAUGAGCUAAGUACAUUAAUCUCCCCACAAGUCUCUGGUAUCUUCCUUUAUUGGUUGAUACUUGAUUAGGCUCAACACACAAUUUCAGACCUUCUUCUAUUGGUGUAUUAACAGGUUGACAUCCCGACAUUCCAGUCUCCUGUAAAAGAUCUAAGGCAUACUUUCUUUGAGACAAAAAAAUUCCUUCACUUGAUCGAGAAACUUCAAUCCUAAGAAAGUAUUUCAGAGGACCUAGAUCUUUCAUUUCGAAUUCUUUAGAUAGAUAAUUUUGCAGAGCUUUUCUUUCUUCAGGAUCAUUUCCUGUAACUACCAUGUCAUCCACAUAUACGAUGAGUGUCGUAAUCUUACCAUGUUGCUUUUUUAGGAAUAAAGUGUGAUCUGAAUUACUUUGACGAUAGCCAAAAGCUCUCAUUAACUUUGUGAACCUUCCAAACCAUGCUCUCGGGGAUUGCUUCAACCCAUACAAUGACUUCUUCAAUUUGCACACCUUCUGACAUUGCUUUUCUAACACCAUGCAUCCUGGUGGAAGAUCCAUAUAUACUUCUUUAGAUAACUCGCCAUGAAGAAAAGCAUUUUUCACAUCGAAUUGUUGUAAUGGCCAAUCUAGGUUUGCAGCUAAAGACAAUAAUACUCGAAUUGUGUUGAUCUUAGUUACAGGUGCAAAUGUCUCUGUGUAGUCAAUUCCAUAAGUUUGAGUGUACCCUUUUGCUACCAGUCUUGCUUUAAAUCGUUCAAUACUACCAUCUGCCUUGUACUUCGCAGUAUAGAUCCAACGACACCCAACUGGCUUCUUUCCUGGUGGACAUUCUACGAGUUCCCAUGUUUCAUUCUUCUGCAAUGAUUUCAUCUCUUCAUUCAUGACUGCUUUCCACCUUGGAUCAGCUAAGGCUUCUUGCACACUGUUAGGAAUAGAUACAGUAGAUAAUUGAUUUACAAAUGACUUAUUUGAUUCAGACAAACGAUGGGUAGACACAUAGUUGCUCAUGAGAUAUUUGACUUUAUUAGGCAAUUCAGGUUCAUAUGUGGGUUUAGGAAUACCUCUAUUAUGACGAUGUGGUAACCGUUUCAUGAAUGGAUCAGGUUCCAAAUUAAGAACACCCUCAACAGACGACGAUUGGUUUGGUAUUUCAGUGAAGAUAACUUCGGACCCAAAUGUGCAACUAGUGCCAUGAUUAUCCUGAAAGAGUCCUUCGUAGAAACUGGAGAGAAGGUCUCUUUGAAGUCAAUUCCUUCUUUUUGAGUAAAGCCUUUAGCUACAAGACGUGCUUUAUAUCUUUCUACAUUACCAUUUGAAUCCCGCUUGGUUUUAAAUAUCCAUUUACAACCAAUGGGCUUCGUGCCAACUGGUAAUGGGACAAGUUCCCAAACUUUAUUGUCUUGCAUAGAUUUGUACUCUUCAUUCAUGGCUUCAAUCCAUUUCUGAGAGUUGGAACUUUUCAUGGCUUGCUGGAAGUUGAUUGGAUCAUCUUCCAUCAUUCCACUUUCUACCCCACGUUCCUAGAGAUAUACGAUAUAAUCGUCCGAAAUUACAUUUCUCCUCUCUCUAGUGGAUCUCCUUAAUAGCAUAUUUUCUUGAGGUUGUUGAGUUUGUUCUUCAAGAGCAAUGUCCUCAUUUGCAAUUAAGGGUUGAACAAUAUUGUCUAUUGGUUAAGGAUCCAAAUUUACUUCUUGAUCGAUGAUAGGUAGUGAAACCUGUACAUUAUCAAAAGCAAUAGUAGAUCCCUCUUCCUCCUCAAAGACAAUAUUCCUAGCCUGAUUUCUCCCCCCAAACUCAACAUCCUCAAAAAAUGUUGCAGUUCUCGUCUCAAAAAUUGACCUAAAAGCAGGAUCAUAAAAUUUAAAACCCCUUGAUCGCUCUGCAUAGCCAAUAAAGUAGUUGCUAACUGUUUUAGAGUCCAAUUUCUUUUCAUGAGGCUUAUAAGGUCUCGCUUCAGCUGGACAUCCCCAAAUAUGGAAAUGCUUUAAACUGGGCUUUCGACCCGUCCAAAGCUCAUAAGGCAUUUUAGCAGCCGCUUUAGUUGGCACCCGAUUUAGGAUAUAAGCUGCCGUUUUAAGUGCUUCACCCCAGAGUUUUUCGGGUAAAGUAGAAUGACUAAUCAUACUCCUUACCAUGUCCUUAAGAGUUCGGUUUCGUCUUUCUGCUACACCAUUCAUGCUAGGUGAUCCUGGCAUGGUGUAUUAAGGGACGAUCCCACAUUCCUCUAGGUAUUUAGCAAAUGGUCCUGGACGUUGUUCACCUGAUCCGUCAUAUCUACCAUAGUAUUCACCACCACGGUUAGAUCUGACGCUCUUUAUUCUUUUGUUGAGUUGUAACUCAACUUCUGCUUUAAAUGUUUUGAACACGUCCAAUGAUUGUGAUUUCUCAUGUAUAAGAAAUAGGUAGCCAUAUCUUGAAUAGUCGUCUAUGAAUGUUAUAAAGUACUGUUGACCAUUCCAAGAUAUCGUAGGGUAUGGUCCACAGAUAUCUGUAUGAAUUAAUUCUAAGACGUUUGUAGCUCUAUUGGCACCUAAUUUCUUUGUUUUGGUCUGUUUUCCUUUAAUACACUCAACACAAAUAUCAAAAUCUGAAAAGUUAAGUGAAUCCAAAAUCCCAUCGGACACAAGUCGCUCAACUCUAGAUUUAGAGAUAUGACCUAGGCGUUUGUGCCAUAAUGAGGCCGAAUUAUCUUUAUUCAAUUUACGUUUUGUACCUCGUGAUUCCACAUGCAAGGUUUCAUUAUAGGACGGAACAGUUUCCAACAAAUAUAGAUUAUCAUAAACAUUAAGUAAACCGGUUCCUACAACAUUUGAAAUAAUAGAUAAUGUAAAUCUAUUGUUUCCAAAUGAACAACAAUAACCUGAUUUGUCCAAAACAGAAACUGAAAUUAAAUUCCGUCUGAAAGACGGUACAACAAAAGUAUCUAUUGAAUCCAAAAAAUAACCAGAUUUCAAUAAUAAUCUAAAGUGCCCUAUUGUCUCUACUUCUAUCGACUGACCGUCUCCGACAUAGAUGCAUCUUUCAGCAUCACUUGGUUUUCGGUAACUCAGGCAACCCUGCAUAGAAACACAAAUAUGAAUAGUAGCACCAGAAUCUAACCACCAUGUGUUUCUAGAUACUGAAGCUAAAUUAACUUCAGAACAUACCAAAGUAAGAAAUAUACCUUUCUUAACACGCCAAGUAGCAUACUUGGUACAUUCCUUCUUAGUAUGUCCAGGCUUAUUACAGAAGAAACAUGUUACCUCAACUUUCUGUUUCUUUUGUUCUGGACCAUUAGAAGCAACAACCUUAUUAUUCUUAUUCUUUCGUUUGCCCUUAUCCUUGGAAGUGCUAGCCAGAAGAGCACUUUCGGUCUUGUCUUGCUUCAAUCUCUCUUCCUCUUGCACACAGAAUGAAAUGAGCUCAUUAAGAGUCCAUUUAUCCUUUUGAUAGUUAUAACUGACCUUGAAUUAAUUAAAUUGUGCAGGAAGAGAGAUGAGAACCAAAUGCACGAGUAAAUCAUCAGAUAACUCGAGUUUCAAAGCCUUAAGUUUUGAAGCAAGAUGAGACAUCCCCAUGAUGUACUCCCGAACAUUACCCUUGCCUUUAUACUUCAUUGAAAUCAAGCUUGCUAAAAGCGUGCUCGUUUCAGCCUUAUCGUUUUUGGCAAAACGUUUCUGAAUUUCCGCAAGGAAGUCACUGGCAUUAGUAACCUCAUCGGUUACCGCACCCCUGAAAGCUUCUGGAAUGCCGCGCUUCAUGAUCAUAAGACUUAGCCUAUUUGAACGUUCCCACUUACCCCAAUAAACCUCAUGCUCUUGAGUACUUUCCUCAUUGAGUUCAUCGGGUUUGGGCAUUCUCAAGGCUAAGUCUAUAUCCAUGCAGCCUAAGAGAAUCAUCAUAUUCUCUUUCUAGUCCUUAAAAUUAGUCUCAUUUAACAUAGGGACAUUAUUGAUGUUGGCAGAUAUAGAAGUAGUUGAUAUAAAAGUUGAAUCGAAAACAAAAUAAAAUAAAUCAAAUAAACCAUCAUGCUCACAUAAAAUAAGCAAUUAAACACAUAAUCUUUAAAUUUAAAAGCAAAUUAUGACAUUUCAAGAUACCUAGCACAACAUUAAUAUCAAGUCUUUGGACAGUAAUAUUAACUAUAAGUGGUACUCUUGUUGUAGUGAUCAAACAUUGAUGAUAAGUUAUGUCAAAUAAUAAAUCUAUCUUUGGAUUGAUUUAUUAUUCACAUUAAGUUACCUUUAUAAUCAUCACAUAUUUAUCACCACAGGUAUGUAUGCAAUUUGACCAAAUAUUAACUUUCCUUUGGGCCAGUCAAUACCCGCAUGAAUCACAUACACACGAAUAUCUAACACCCUGAACAGACUAAUCUACACGAAAGAUGUCACUUUGGUGAUUUUCCGCUUUAAUUAACCUAUUUAAAAUGCUAGAUCAAUAACUUAAAUAUUAAUAUCAUAAAAUGCUAUUAAAUAAUAAUAAUAAUAAUAAUAAUAAUAGUAAAAAAAAAAACAAAUUUAUUUAAUACAAAAAAAAAUAAAUUAAAACUUAAUAUAUUAUUAUAAGAAUAUGAUAAAUACUGCAGCAGCAAGGGAUAAAGGCCUUUUAUACUCAUAUAUACAUAUAUAUAUAUAUAUAUAUAUAUAUAUAUAUAUAUAUUUGAAACUUUAACAGAAUCAUCACCUACUAUUCCCAAAGAAAUUUCUAAGAUAUAUCAUUGGAAAUGUAAUACUUUUGACUUCAAAUACAAAUUUUUUUUGCACCUCUUUUCUUAACCAAUGAAUGUAUCUAUGUAUACUCUUAUAUUAAUACAAUCGAUUUCUAUUGACUUUAUCAAAACGAUCCACUGGUUUGUCAAACGAUUUAUGAAACGAUUUAUUGGUUUAUCAAACGAUUGUAUUUAUUCUGCCGAUAAAUCGCUUGAUAAACCAAUAGAAACCGAUUGCGGAAUAAAAAAAUAAAAAAUAUCAACUCAAUAUUUCAUAAAUCUUAAUCCAUUGACAUAUAUACAUAUAUAUAUAUAUAUAUAUAUUAAAAUAAUAACUCAAAGAAUUAAUCAAGGAGUAGGCUCUGAUACCACUUGUUAUAAUCAAACAAGAUGAAUACCCUAAUUUCAUAUAUACUGGAAUCUCCUGAUUAAAAAACAAUGAGUAGAAAAAUAAUAGCGGAAGCAUACCUGAAUCUAUUGAGGGAGAAACCUUAUAGGAAGAAAACCCUUUGAGAUGGUCUUCCAAUUCUAGCCACUAGAUUCUGUGUCAAUUUCUCUCUGAGAGGAUUUUUCAGAAAUUAGAAUGCGUAGUCGUAGAAUGGGGACCAUAACCCUAUUUAUAAACCGCUAGGGCAGUUUUAAUUUUAUCACAAUUAUAUUUCUGCCCCUCAUAGAAAUAAUAAUUAUCUAAUGGUAUCUACACAAUAAUCUCAUGACAAUUAUACCCUUAAGCCAAUUAAUCAAUUAUUAAUUAGAUCACUAUAUUUAGGCUUAAUUAAAUGAUAGCACACACAUUUUAAUUAUUUACAUGUGUGGUCCAAAUUAUAGAUUAAUUACAAAAAUUAAUCUAACAUCUUCCUCAAAAUGGGCCUCUUCAAAAGCCUCUCCAUUUCCUCCUUGCUUCUCAUCACCCUCUUCUUCACCUCCGCCCAUGCAGCCAUUUUCAAUAUCCAAAACCGUUGUUCCUACACAGUUUGGGCAGCAGCUGUGCCGGGUGGGGGUAGGCGCCUCGACCCGCGUCAGUCCUGGAGCUCGACUGUGAACCCUGGGACAACUGGAGCCCGUAUUUGGGCCCGGACCGGCUGCAGCUUCGAUGGGGCUGGGCGUGGGCGUUGUCAGACCGGGGACUGCGGUGGCGUCCUCGAAUGCACAGCCUAUGGUGCACCCCCCAACACCUUGGCUGAAUUCGCACUUAACCAGUUCAACAACCUGGACUUCUUUGAUAUAUCCUUGGUCGAUGGGUUUAAUGUGCCUAUGGCUUUUAGCCCCACCUCCAAUGGGUGCUCCCGUGGAAUACGGUGCACGGCCAACAUCGUGGGACAGUGCCCCAGUCAGCUUCGAGCUCAGGGUGGCUGCAAUAACCCAUGCACCGUUUUCAAGACCGAUCAGUACUGUUGCAAUUCCGGGAGCUGUGGCCCUACAGAUUACUCAAGGUAUUUCAAGACUAGGUGCCCUGAUGCUUACAGCUACCCUAAGGAUGAUCAAACCAGCACCUUUACAUGCCCUGGUGGUACCAACUAUGAUGUUAUCUUCUGCCCAUAAAGCCUCUAUUAACUAUAGUAUGCAUGUACUCGCUAGUCUAAACUACUAGGGUGCUUUUGAGUCCAUGUUGAGAUGCAAAAGCCUAGAGGAAUAAAUUUGAGCACAUGUAUGUGUACUACAUGUGAUCAUGUAACAAAAUUUCUAAGCUAGUUAAAGAAAUGGAUGUUUUUACGAGGGAUUUUAUCGAUAUUAUUAAGAAUGUGUUUUAUAGUGAUUUUAUGAAAUGUUUUUAAUUUUUUUUUAUAUUUGAAAGAUAAAAAGUUUUAAAUGUUAAAAAAAACAAAAAUAUUUUCUAAAAUUAUUAUUAAAUACAUUCUAAAAGUGGAUUUAAUAAUGAUUCUAAAAAAAUUUUAUAAUUAAAUAUGAAAAUUUUGAAGUAUUAAAAAAAACUAAAAAUAUUUUCUAAAAUUAUUAUCAAAUAUAUUCUAAAUAAUGUAGGACCUAAUAGAGAAACACUUUUGCAUAAGAAUUUUAAACAAAUAAAAAAAUAAAAAUCAUUCCAUCAAAAUAAUUCUAACUUUCUUUUUGUCUAAUUGGAUUCCAAGUAAGCUCGGUUUUUGUCCGCAAGACCAAUUGUUAAUUUAGUCUUUAGACCACUAGAAUGGAGGUUUCAAGGAAAAAAAAAAAAAAGGGUUUGACUGUGAGCAGUGCUUUGCUGACUGACCUCACUCCCAAAUCAAUUUUCCAUGUGGUGGAAGACGCCUUCCUUAAUGGGUAGGAGGCUGUUAAUGGAGAGUUUGGACUUUGGGGAGAAAUUGAUUGUUUCCCCACUCACUUUCAAUUAUAUCCAUGUACAUGUAAAAAUAUAUAGGAAAAGAAAAAAAUUUAAAAUUUUUCGUCAAAAGCAUCUCCUUCCAAUUGUUAUAUUAAAUAUUUUAUGAUUUCAAAUCUUUUCUGGUUUAAGUUUUGAAUUUACCCUAAUAAGUUUGCCCUUUUUUUUUCUGUCCCUAUUUAAUAUAUAUAAUUAUGUAGAUUUUCCAUUUUGUCUUUCAUAGUACAUAAUUUUGAUAAUAUUUAAUGUCUUUUGCUUGGUUCCCUGCAUAGCAUGUGCGUAGGAUUAUUUUUGGCUUUUAAAUCUGCUUGCAGCCUUCAUUGAACCGAAGUGGAUAGGAAGGGCUUGACUUGUUCGUAUACUCAGAGGGCACUCAACUCACUAGCAAUGCCCCACCAAAGUCGCGUGCAUUGAAUUGUAAAAUCGAUUGACUUUUCACUUUUACCUCUUAAACAAAAGGACACCUUCUCACUCCUUCCAAAUUUUUGAAAAAGAUAUAUAUAUAUAUAUAUAUAUAUAUCUAAAAACUGAAUUUAAUUAGAUUAUUUAUUAGAAAGGUUGGGUCAUCAUUCAUAACACUUCUCAAUACUCGUAUAUGUACUGUUUUUACUAAAUGAAUGAAAAGAAGUAUGAUGAUUAAUUAAUUAAUCAUGAAUAUUAAGAUUAAGAAGAUAAAUCAAUAUAUAAAAAAAAAUAAUCAAAUCAAAAUAAUGCACAAAAUAAAUGACAAGAAAAUUUUACAAAAUAAUUUAUUAAACAAAUUUAAAAUAUAUAUAUUUCAAAAAAUUAUUUUUUUAAGAAUUUCAAAAAAAAAUUAUUAAAAACAAUUUCGAAUAAAUAAUUUCAAUUUAUUUUUUAUUUUUAAAAAAUUUCAAUUUAUUUCCAACAAGUGAUUUGAUUUAAUUUUAUUUAUAUUCAAUUUUUAUUUUUAAGAAAAAUAAUUACACUUAUUUUAUCAAAUGAUUUUUUUAAAAAAAAGGAAAAUUCAAUUCCACAAUAAAAAUGAUUUUUACAUGCUUUUAUUAGAAAAAAAAAAAAGAAUUUUUACAACUUUAUUUUCAAAAAUAUUUUAAUUUAAUUUUAUUUACAAAGAAUUAAUUUCUUUACAAUAAAAUAUUUUCAAUCCAAUUUUAUCAAGAAAAUUAUUUUUACAACUUCAAUUUGCAAAAAAAACUUUCAUUUUAUUUUUAUUAAAAUAUUAUUCAAGACAUUUAUUUAUGAAAAUUAGUUUUAAUGUCAUUCUAAUUAAGGAAAGAUAACUUAUUUAAAUUUUUUGGAUAAUUUUAUUAAAAAAACCUUUUGGACAAUUUCAUUUAAAAAUCAAUUUUUUUGAACAAUUUUAAUUAAACAAAAUAAAUUUUAGACAAUUAUUAAAAACAAUUUUUAAAAAUUUUAAUUAAAAACAAUUUUAGAAUUCCUUUAAAAACAUUUUUUGAAUUUUUUUAUUAAGCAAGCUUUCUUUUAUUUAAAAGAAUCAUUUUAGAACUAUUAUUUUAUUAAAAAAUAUUUAUUAAAUGGUUCCUCUUAUUUAAACAAAAAUUUUGGGUUUGAAUCAAUACAAAUAAAAUCAGAUAAAAGUGAAAAUAAAAUGUAUAUCCAACAAGCCUACAACUCUUUUUUCUUCAUGAAAUUCAACCUUUCAUGUGUCGCGAAUCCAUACUUAGACAGAAUACCAAUGCAAGUAGUGGAAUGGGCCAUGAAAAACGAAAAUUAGUCCAAAAGUAAGUAUUUGAAAAUAUGCAAAAUCCAAAAUAAAUAUUCAAACCCAAAUUCUAUAAGCCCAAUAGGAAAAUUCAAAUUGGUCCAAUGAAUUUCACCAAUGAAAAUAAAUCAAAUUAACAAGUAUAACCCAACAAAAAUAUCUCAUUUGUUAUAAGCAUUAGUUCAAAAUUUUCAAAUUAAUAACCAAAAUCUAAUAUCCAUCAACAAGCCACAAAUCAAAAUAAUCUCAAUUAAGCCUAAGCCCAAUUUAAUACGCAAACUCAAAUUCAUAACCAAAAUCAAACCCAAUUUAAUAUACAUACCUAAAUAAUAUCUAAAAUAUAUCACAAUAUUAUCUCAUACCCGAAUUAAAUAAUUCAUGAGCAAAACCUAUAUCAAAUGUCAAUCAAUCCAAUAAAUUUUACCAAUAAUAAAAUAGCUUAAAUUUCAUAUUAAUUAAUAAACUCAGAACAUGAUAAAUCAAAAUAAAUUGAAUCAAACAUAAAUUCAAUAUCUUAUAAUUCAAGCCUAAUUGAAUAUUCAAAUCCAAAAUCCAAUAAUCACCAAAUCCAAAUACAACAUAAACUAACAAACCCGAAUUUAUAUGAAUACAAAUCAAAAUAUAAGGUCCAAAAUGAUCCAGAUUAUCUAAGCUUACAAAUAAUGUCUAAAUGCACACAUGAAAAUAAUAAAAAUUAGCCCAAACCAAUAAUCUCAAUAAUCAAGAACAAAUUAUUGUAGUGAUUAAACAGAAAUAAUAAAAAUAUAAGGAUAUAAACUUACCCAUGAAGAACCCAUUAUAGUAAUUAAACAUAAAUAACAAAAAUAAAAGAAAAUAAAUUUGCCCAAAUUUGAAGUAUGUUGUUGAAGGGUUGAUAUAGGCUAAUGAAAAUAAAAAUAAAAAUAAAAUGAAAGAAGAUAGAGAGGGAAAGAAAGAGAAAAUGGUGAGAUGAAAGACAGGUGGAAAGGGAGAACGAAAGAGGAAAGGGGGUCGCCGGCCGGCAGCAGAUCACCGAUGGAGACGGACCAACUGUGUUGUCGAUAGUGAGGGUUGAGUGAGUGUGGUGAGGGAAAAAUGAAGAAGAAAAAUGAAGAGAAGAAAAAAAAAAAAAGAAGAAAGGUGGGGCAUGUUCUCUGGAAGUGGGCCAAGAGGGGAGAAAAAGCGGGGAAAAAAAGGGAAAAAAAGAAGAUGAAAGAAAAUGAAAGAAAAGAGAGGAAAAUGGAAAUGGAAGAGAUGAGAGCGGGGGAUAUGGGGUCUCUGACGUGGGAAUGGGCAGGAGAGAGAGAGUUGAGGGAGUGGGUGGAGUAGGUGAGAGAAAAAGAAAGAAAAGAAAAUAAAAGAGGGAGGGAAGGAAGGAAAUGAGAAAAAAAGAAGAAGUAAAAUAAAAUUAGACAAAAUAAUAAAAAAUAAAAAAAUAAAAAUUAACAUUUAAAAUAUAUAAAUAGGUUAAAAAAAAUAAAACUAAGAUUUAAAAAAUAUAAAUGGACCAAAAAAUUUAAAUUUCGAUUUAAAAGGUAUAUAUGGAUAAAAAAAAAAUUCAAAUGUAAUCCAUUUGAAAUAUAAUAAUAAAAUUAAACAUAAAAUUAAUGUAAAAAAAAAAAUAGAACAAAUUUUAAGAUUACAAAAAGUAUAGGGCAUGGUACAAAUUUAUUUUUAUUAUUUAAAUAAAAAAAGAUUAUCUAAAAACAUUACUUUAUUUUUUAAAAUAAGAAAUAAUUUUUAAGAAUUUAUUCUUGAAAUGAGGAGAGUGUUUAGAAUAUUUUUUUCACUUACUUUCUAAAAAAAUAUUAUAAAAAUUAAAUUAAUAAAUAUGCAGAAUAAUUAAAAGUAAAAUGUUAUAUACAAAAGUUAUUUUAAAAAAUAUAUUAACAAAAAUCAAUUUUCUAAACGGACUUCUUCUAUUAAAAAAAUAUUAAAAAUGGUUUGAAGCAUAUAUUCAAAAGUCAUCUUUUGAGAGUAGAUUUCAAAAAUAUUUCCAAAUAGAUUUUAACAUAUCAUUUCAAAGUGAUUCUAAUUAAAAUAUUUUGAUUUAUACUUUUUUAUUCAAAAUAUUUUGAUCAACUUUUAAAUAUAAAACCAAUUCAAAAAUAUCCUCAACACAUUAUUUAAUCAUAAAAAUUCUCAUAAAUUUUUUAUUCUUCAAAUACUUUCCAACAAAUAGUCAAAGUCACAUGCAAACUCUUCCAACAAAUUUCAAAUGCAAGCCACAUACAUAUGCAACACUCCUUAACAUGAUUCGUAAGAAUAAUUUCUCAAUGACACAAAUUUCAAUUUCUACUAAAUAUCUAUAUCAAAAUAAAUAGAAAAAAAAAUUCAAGAUAUCCAAAGAUGAUCACACCUAUUUCAGUUAAUUGUUCUUCCAUUCAAUUUAUAUCCACAAGUAAUAAAUGAAAACUAAAACUGGAAAUAAAUCAAAGAAUAUAAUAAGAAUAAAUAAAUAAAUAAUGAUAUCAGAAUUUACAUAAAAAACUUUCAAAAAGAUUAAAAAAACACGGACUUACCAUCAAUAAAAAAUUCCACUAUAAAAAAUAAAUAAUGUGUACAACGAUUUACCUAACUCAAAUCUUUUAAUCUUUCAUAGACUUAACCAACACUUUCUCACUUCAAUAGCAUAUCCUCAUCUUUCAUAAUAUACUUGGCCUUUUCGUUAUACUUGAUCUUAACCUCUUCUUAAAGCUUGUUUAAGAAGAAAAAUAGGUUUUUACCCAAACCCAAAUAGAUCAAAAAUUGAGAGAAUGAAUGAAUAAAUAGAUUAACCUUUUUUUUUUCUCAAGAAAAUUUAUUGAAAGCGACUUUAAAAUCAAUAAGAAAAUGAGAUUUUCUUGACCACCAAACACUGUAAAUUUGGUAAGAAAAAAAAAGUACAAGGGCAAAAUAACUAUAUAUAUAUUUUAUUUUGUUAGAAAAAAAAUUUGAUAUAAAAAGUAGUUUUAGUGCUACAAAUAUAUCUCUAUAUAUAUAUAUAUACUCUUAAUUGAUAUCUUCUUCAAAAUGGUCCCCAUACUGUGUUCUAGCCACGACAGAUAAUACGAUUGAGAUUAACGAGACGGCGCUUAGAUAAUUCUUGUGUACGUGGAAUGAAUGGAUGGGAAUUCUUGAAUACUUAAAUACUUGACUAGUUCAAUGUUCACAUUUAUCCAUCCAGAAACAGUGGGCUUCAAGGUGCUUUCCUUAGCCCAUUGGGCCCUGCCAUCUACCCUGUGCAGCCCCGUUAGCUGACUUGCUUGCGUCUAUGGAAUGAAGUCAAGCACGAGGGCACAAAGAUAUAUGACGCCAUUCUUUGGAAUUUAAUAAAAGCUGUUUCCCAUUUCUCCGCCGCCCCCACCCUAUAUAAACCCCUACCCAUUUACUCGUAAACCACCAUCACCACUACAAAGCCUGUCUUCCUCAAAAUGGGCCUUUUCAAAAGCCUCUCCAUUUCCUCCUUCCUUCUCGCCACCCUCUUCUUCACCUCCGCCCAUGCAGCCAUUUUUAAUAUCCAAAACCAUUGCUCCUACACAGUUUGGGCAGCAGCUGUGCCGGGUGGGGGUAGGCGCCUCGACCGGGGACAGUCCUGGAGCCUGACUGUGAACCCUGGCACAACUGGAGCCCGUAUUUGGGCCCGGACCGGCUGCAGCUUCGAUGGGGCUGGGCGUGGGAGGUGCCAGACCGGGGACUGCGGUGGCGUCCUCCAAUGCACAGCCUAUGGUGCACCCCCCAACACCUUGGCUGAAUUCGCACUUAACCAGUUCAACAACCUGGACUUCUUUGAUAUAUCCUUGGUCGAUGGGUUUAAUGUGCCUAUGGCCUUUAACCCUACCUCCAAUGGGUGCACCCGUGGGAUACGGUGCACGGCCGACAUCGUGGGACAGUGCCCCAGUCAGCUCCGAACUCAGGGUGGCUGCAAUAACCCAUGCACCGUUUUCAAGACCAAUGAGUACUGUUGCAAUUCCGGGAGCUGUGGCCCGACAGAUUACUCAAGGUAUUUCAAGACUAGGUGCCCUGAUGCUUACAGCUACCCUAAGGAUGAUCAAACCAGCACCUUUACAUGCCCUGGUGGUACCAACUAUGAUGUUAUCUUCUGCCCAUAAAGCCUCUAUUAACUAUAGUAUGCAUGUACUCGCCAGUCUAAACUACUAGGGUGCUUUUGAGUCCAUGUUGAGAUGCAAAAGUCUUUGUAAGGAAUAAAUUUGAGCACAUGUAUGUGUACUGAAUGUGCUCAUGCAACAACUUUUCUACGCUAGUAGAAUAAAUGGAUGUUUUUAUGAAUCUUCGGGACUUUACACAUAUUAUUAAAUCAUGUAGGACCUGGUAUAGAAGCACUUUGCGUGCAAAUAUAAGAAUUUUUAAAAAAUAAAAAAUAAAAACCAUUCUAUCAAAAUAAUUCUAAACUUUUUUUGUCUGGUGGGAUUGCACAUGAAACAUCACUUUGAAAAAGAUGGAAAAUAUUUAUAAAAAAAAACUAACUCAUUUUUCCAACGGUUGAAUUCAAUUUAAAUAACAAAUCCAUCAUUAUAAAGUAAAAAAUAAAAUUGUUUUUUCAAAAAUCAAGUUUAAUAUUAAAACAAAACAGAUAAGAGAUUAAAAACAAAAGUUAUAAAACCGACAAGAGAGAAGAAUGGAAUGUGGUAAAAAAAAAACAUAUUUUGUAUUUAUUUUUAAAUAACAGUUUUUAAUGUUUUAGUAAUGGUUUUAAGAUGCGUUUUUAAUAUUUUUUAAAAAAUUUAAAUAUAAAAUAAUUAAAAAUACUUUUUAAAAUCGAUGUGAAACGCGUUAUUAGACUUUUUAGACCAUACAGGUUUUAGGGAAAAAAACAAAAUAAAGAAGAUUUGAUUGUGAGCAAAGCUUUCAAUUUUCCAUGUAGUGGAAGAAGCCUUCUAUAUGGGUAUUUUAUUUUGUCCUCAUAACAUGAUAUUUAUCAUAUUUGGUAUCUGCAUAGUAUAUAUACAAAAUUCUUUUUGAUUUUUCUACUCUUUGCACUUCUUAGUGGUCUGUCUAUUACUUUUAUAUAUAAUAAAAGUCAAUAACUAAAUGUAGAGAAUUUUUUGCGGGUCCAAACAUCACAUGGUUAGUUCAUGGAGUUGCUUUCGGAGAGGCCUGAACCACCCACCAGAGUUGAGCUUAUCUCUUCGCUUUUACAUCUUAAAUGACACUAGAAAAAGGUAUAUGGCAUAGUAGAAAACUAUUUUUAAAAAUAUUUUUUAUUAUUUAAAUAAAUAAAAAUUUACCUGAAAAUUUUUAUUAUUAUUUUAAAUAAGAAAGUGUUUAGAAUAUUUUUUCACUUAUUUUCUAAGAAUCAUUUAAAAAAUUUAAUUAUAUAAAUAUUGAGAAGAGUUGAAAAUAAAACAUUACAUAUAAUUUUUAAAAAUAUAAAAAUUUAUUAAAAAUAUUUCAAGUUUCUAAACAUGCUUCUAGUAAAAAAAAAAAUUAAAAAUUGUUUGAAACAUAUUUUCAAAAAUUAAUUUUGGACAACAGUUUUAAAAAAUAUUUCCAAAUAGACCAUGAAAUAUCAUUUCAAAAUGAUUUUAAUUAAAGUUGUGCAGAGUAUUUUAACAAUGAUAUGGACCUUAUCUGGAAAAUAUUUUAAAUAAAAAAUAUAUUUUUAUUUAAAUUUGUGCCAGUGUAUUUGCUUACAAGUUUAUUUAUUAUCACGUUUCAGAAAAAACAUCAGCUUCAGUUGAUAAGUUUUGAAAGAUACUUCGUAGUGGACCCACAUGGAUCACGAAUCCAUCUAAAACCCAACAUUUAUGGGCUUUCCAUGACAUUGGGCCCAGUCACGUCACGUGUCUUUUAAGUGGAAAAUAAACUUUGAAGCGGUUGCUUCUCAGUAUUUUAAAUGAUAAAUGAUGAUAUUAUCGAAAAUAGUCCCAGUCUCAGAAUAAUUGAAGCGGCCAAUCAUAUUGGAAUAAUUCAACAGGCUGUCUCAUUGAAUUUUGAAAUAAAUUUUUCCAACGUCAUCCACCGACGUUUUUCUCAUUCAGCAUUCGGUAUUUAUGAAUUUACAUAAAAGUUAAGGCAAAUUUCUGAAAUUAUAAAAAAUAAAAAUAAAAAUGAUAAUGACGUGGGGCCUCGUCUCUGCAAAAUAUUUUAAAUAAAAUUAUUUAUUUUCUAAAAACAAACCUUUUUCAUUUAAAAAAAAAAAAUUAUUGGCUUUUGAUGAUAAGGUUUGAGGAAAAAAAAGGCCACCCCGCAUUGACUCUUUCUUUCAUGCCUACGAGCCACAACGAAGUGGACCACAAAGAUGAUGCCAUCAUUUGGAAUUUUUACAAGCACGCGGUUUUUCCACAUUCACACCAACCCAAGCCCUCCUUCACACUAUACAAACCCCUACCCUUUUCCUGGAUAGACCACCCUACUCCAACCAUCAAGCCUAUCUUCCUCAACAAUGGGCCUCUGCAAAAUCCUCUCCAUUUCCUCAUUCCUUCUCACCACCCUAUUCUUCACCUCCAGCUAUGCAGCAACCUUCAACAUCCAAAACCGUUGCUCCUACACAGUUUGGGCGGCGGCAAUCCCAGGCGGGGGCAUGCGGCUUGGCUCAGGCCAAUCCUGGAGCCUCGAUGUGAAGGCCGCCACCACCGGAAGCCGUGUUUGGGGCCGUACCGACUGCAGCUUCGAUGCGUCAGGGAAUGGGAAGUGUGAGACCGGGGACUGUGGUGGCCGCCUCCAAUGCAAGGCCUAUGGUACACCCCCUAACACCUUAGCCGAAUUCGCACUUAACCAAUACAGCAACUUGGACUUCUUUGAUAUAUCUUUGGUUGAUGGAUUUAAUGUGCCUAUAGCCUUUAAUCCUACUUCCAAUGGGUGCACCCGUGGCAUCAGUUGCACCGCCGACAUCGUGGGAGAGUGCCCCGCUGCGCUAAAGACUACCGGUGGUUGCAACAACCCAUGCACCGUUUUCAAGACCGAUGAAUAUUGUUGCAAUUCUGGGAGCUGUAAUGCUACAGAUUUCUCAAGGUUUUUCAAGACUAGGUGCCCUGAUGCUUAUAGCUACCCUAAGGACGAUCAGACAAGCACCUUCACAUGCCCUGGCGGUACCAAUUAUGAAGUUAUCUUCUGCCCAUCAGCAGUGCCACAAACAUGUGUUUUUAUUAUAAAUUAAUUUGUGGUAAAAAAAACAUUUUGUGUUACAAGAUUUUUUUUCCACAAAAAAAUAUUUCCGACCAGUUUGUUGCUACAAAUUCGUAAACAAUUAUUUUUAAUCACAAAAUUUAAUUUUAUAAUAAAAUAAAUAAUUUUUUCAUAAAAUAAAUUUUAUAACAAAAUAUCAAUAUUCACCAUUAAAUAAAAUUUAUGAUAAAAUGUCAUUUUUCACCGUAAAAUAAAAUUUGUGACAACACAUCGUUUUUCAUGAAAAUAAUUACGAUAAUAUGCGACUUUUUUGUUAUAAAAAAAUUCAUGAUAAAAAAUUACCCUUCUACCAAAAAACAUUAAUUGUAACGGUCCAAACCACUGGUCUUGACAAGGAAAUAUGACAUACAGUCAAGGAGGGUUUGCUUAAAAGUCAUUAUCCUACUUGGAAACUACCUCCCUUAUUGGGGUACAUGGCAUUUUUUUAAUAAUAUUUGACUCACUUUUCCGGGAAACCUAGUUGUAGAAGUCCAAACAGGUUGCUUUUCAGGGGAAUUCACGGCAUAAAUAGAAAAGAAAGUUGCCAGAAAUGCCCUAACUGAUUAAAAUCAUUACCUUUAAUUGCAGAGAAUUAUGUCUAUCAAUUAAAUAAAUUAUAAAUAUAUGUUUGAAUUGAUUUUUAAGAAAUUGAAUGGUUUUUUAAGUUCAAUAAGAAUUUUAAUAUUGAUUUAACUAAUUUUAUUUAAAAAGCUUAUGAUUUAAAAAAUAGUUUUAUAUGAUUUAGAUAAGAAAUUAUUUAAUAUUUAAUAUAAGUUUUAUAAUACUAAUAUUAUGUAUUAAAAAUUAUGAUUUUGGUUGGACUCUCAACAUUUAGUUAAAUCUAAAAGUAGAAAACUAUUUCAAACAAAGUCAUGUUUUCUAUUUCAUUAUUAAUUAAUAUAUAUUUUUUUUAAUUCGGAUGUGAAAAGGUGUUUCAAAGUUUAAGAUUGUCUAAUAUUUUAAAUCAAAAUCUCAAUACUUAAAUUAAAGAAAAAUUUAGAUCGUAUUUAUUUGUUUAAUUGAAUAGAAAAAAUUAAAAUAUUUAAUUUUUUUAAUUUUAAUUAAAAGUAAUCUAUUUAUAUUAAUCAAUAUAACGAAAUCGAAUAUAUUGAUAAUAAAUUUACUUUAAAUAUCUUAAUUGAUAUUAAUAUAUUACUUGAACUGAAAAAACUAAAAAGCAAAAAAUAAACUCCACACUUAAAAAGAUUCUGGGCCAUGGAUACAGAAGCCCAAAAGAUUUAUUGAUGGGGGCAGUGGGCCUGGCCUGCCGUGUGCAGCUGCAUUUGUUUGACUUGUCCUCAAGCCUAGUCAACGUCUCCGUUCAAUGAAGCUGAUGUAUCGAAAAAUCCCAAAAAGCCUCAUUUUUCCCGCCAAACGCGUAAACCCCAAAAUGAGUUUCUUCUGCAACUGCAGCAAUCUCUCUACUUCCUUCUUCCUCCUCAUCUUCAUCAAUGCAACCAUUUUCGAAAUCCGAAACAGCUGCCCCUAUACCGUCUGGGCAGCCGCCUUACCCGGCGGCGGAAGGUAACUCGACCAAGGCCAGACCCGGAACCUUUCAGUGAGCUCCAACACAACCCAAGGCCACAUCUGGGGCAGAACCAAGUGCAGUUUCGAUGAAGCCGGAAGGGGGAACUGCGAGUCCGGUGGAUGUGGAGGCCUCCUUGAAUGCCAAGAAUAUGGUUCACCGCCCAACACCAUUGCCGAGUACGCCAUAAACCAAUUCAACAAAACUGAUUUCUUCGAUAUUUCUCUGGUGGUUGGAUUCAACCUUCCAAUGGAGUUUAGCCCAACUUCUGAUGGGUGCAAACGUGGGGUCAAGCGUACGUGCGACAUUAACGGGCCGUGCCCAAACGAGUUGAGGGACCCGGGUGGGUGUAACAACCCAUGUACCGUUUUCAACAAUACUCAGUACUGUUGCAAUACCGGGAGCUGUUAGCCUACACCUUCAUGUUUUUCAAGGCUAGCUGCCCAGAUGUAUACAGUUACCCUUUGGGAGAUGAUUCAAUCGGUACGUUUACCUGCGCCGCAUGCACUAACUAUCGUAUAGUCUUCUCCGAGUUUUGGGGUAGCCCAAAGUUUAAACCUUUUUGCAAAACUUACAAUCAAACUCGUCCUUUUUAUUAUCACCUAGAGUCAUAUUAUGUUUUUUUUUUCAAAAUUUAAGUUGAAAAUUUUAUUUUUGAAUUGAAGCCAUAAUUAAUAACCAAGACUUCAUUUUGAACGGAAACCUCAUUUGAUAAGUGAGACUUAGUUUUUUAAUUAAAACCUCAUUUUGACAAUUAAAACUUCAUUUAUUAAACUAAAACCUUAAUUGUGACUUUAGUUAUUUUUUUUACUUUAAAAUUUAAUUAAAAAUAUUAAAUUUCAAAUUAUUAUUGAAAUUAAAAAUAUUUACUUUAAUAAUAAAAAAUUAUAUAUUUAAGUUUAAGGAUUCAACAUUAUUCUAAUAAAGAUAAAUUGAUAAAUAAAAUAAAUAAAUGAAUAAUUUUAUUUAUCAAUAAAUUAAUAAUUUUAAAAUAAUAAAGUUAUAUAAUAUAUAAAUAAAAUAUAAAAUUAUAUAAUUUAUUAAUUUAAGUUAUAUUACAAAUACUAUAUGUUACCGGGCAACUAAAAAGGAAGAAAGUUAUGUAUAGGUUCUCUCUUUGUAAAGACACGUAAGAUUAUAUAAUUUUCUUUUUUACUAUAUGAAUAUUUAGUAAACAAUUUUUGUGACAUAGAUGAAACUACUAAAACUUAUAUUUUGUAGUAAACAUUUUUUAAUUAAUUUUAUUAGCUAAUUUUAAAAUGUAUCUUCAAGGCAUAUAUGUUGUGGGUAUAAAUAAUAAUUUUUUUUUAAUGAAAAAUUAUAAACAUAUACUUUAAAAUAAUAAUAAAAUCUAUAUAUAAAAGCUUAAGAAUAUACUAUUAUUUUAAUAAAGAUAAAUUUGUGAAAAUACAAAUAAAUUAAUAUCUUAAAAAUAAAACAAAUUAAAUAUCUUAAAUUAAUAAAUUAUAUAAUUUUAUAUCUUAUUAUAUUUAUCAAUUUAUCUUUAAACCUAAGUCCUAAGUCCAAGGUUUAAAUAUUUUAUUAUAUUUAUUAAUUUAUCUUUAUUGAAGUAAUACUAGAUUUUUAAGUUUAAACAUAUAAUUAAUUUAUUAUUAAAGUAUAUAUUUUUAAUUUCAACAAUAAUUUAUAAUUUAAUAUUUUAAUUAAAUUUUAAAGUAAAAAAAUAAUUAAUUGAAGCUUCAAUUGAAAAUUAAGACUUUAAUAAAAAAAUGAAGUCUCAAUUAUCAAUUGUGAAUUCAAUUUAAAAAUGAGGUAUGAUUUGACAAUUAAGGUUUCAGUUUAUAAAUGAAACCUUAAUUGUCAAUUGUGGUUUUAGUUCAAAAAUAAACCCUCAAUUGAUAAUUGAGGUUUUACUUAAAUUUUAAAAUAUAUAUAUAUUAUGAUACGACUCUUAUGUGACAAUAAAGGACUAGUUUGAACAUAAAUUUUAUAAAAAUGUUAAAUCUUACAUUUCUUUUUAUACAAGCUUAUUUAUUUUUGUUUCUUAAAAAAAAAAAAAUUAUCAGCUUCCCUUGAUAAGAUUUGAGGAAAAACAAAGAUGAGGUAGGAUUGGCUCUUCCAUGCCUCUAAGUCGAGCACCAUCUUUUAGAUUUUAACAAAGCUUAUUGCUAAAAUAUUUUCAUUUAGGGUCAUUAACUUUAACUUAGGGUUCAUCGAGGAACUUUUUCAGAAAUAAUUCUUAAAAAGUAAUUCUCAAGAAUAACUUUUAAAAAUAAUAUUUUAAUAUUUUUAAAAUAAAAAGUUUUGAAGAGCUUAGAAUAUUGUCAAUUUUUUUUUAUAUUUUUAAAUAUUUCUUAAAAAUAAUUCCUAUUUAUAAUACCUUAUUUUAAGACAUUCUUCGUGUUUAUUCAAUAAUUCCUAAAAAGUAAUUAAAAUAUAAUAUAUGUAAAAAAAAUCACUUUUCAUAGUUUUAGUUUUAAAUUUAUAAUUAACAAUCGAAUGUGUUUUUAUACUUUUUUUAUUCUAAAAACCAAAAAGAUAAAUCCUUAAUAGAAAUUUUCAAACAUUGUUUUAGUGUCCCACCCCAAGUCCACCUUCGCUCUAUAUAAACUCCUAGCCAUUUCCUCACGGACCACCCCAAACCAUAAAGCCCAUCUUCCUGAAAAAAUGGGCCUCUUCAAAACCCCUUUAAUUUCCUCAUUCCUUCUCACCACCCUAUUCUUCGCCUCCUGCCACGCAGCCACGCUGAUCAACAUCCAAAACCAUUGCUCCUACACAGUUUGGGCGGCGGCGGUACCAGGUGGGGGCAGGCAGCUUGGUCCGGGCCAAUCCUGGAGCCUCGAUGCGAACCCUGGCACAGCCCGUGUGUGGGCACGUACCAACUGCACCUUUGAUGGGUCAGGGAACGGGACGUGUGAGACCCGAGAUUGUGGUGGCCGCCUCCAAUGCCAAGCCUAUGGUACACCCCCUAACACCUUGGCCGAAUUCGCACUUAACCAAUUCAACAACAUGGACUUCUUCGAUAUAUCUUUGGUUGAUGGAUUUAAUGUGCCCAUGGCUCUUAAUUCUACUUCCAAUGGGUGCACCCGUGGCAUCCAAUGCAGCGCCGACAUAGUCGGACAGUGCCCUGAUGAGCUCCGAGCUCCCGGUGGUUGCAACAAUCCAUGCACUGUUUUCAGGACCGAUGAAUAUUGUUGUUAUUCUGGGAACUGUGGCCCUACAACUUACUCCAAGUUUUUCAAGGAUAGGUGUCCGGUGGCUUAUAGCAACCCUAAUGAUGAUCAAACAAGCACCUUUACAUGCCCUGGUGGUACUAACUAUGAUGUUAUCUUCUGCCCAUGAUGCCUCUACUAGUCCUGUUAGACGAUUUGGUACCAUCUUGGGAUCCAAAUGUCUAGAAGAAUAAAUUUGAGCACAUGUCCAUGUCCAUAGUCAUGUAAUAAGAUUUCUACCAUCAUAGAAAUCGAAUGAUUUUCAGAGGGGUUAGAAGCUUUGAAUAAUGUUUAAAUGUGCUUUACUUAUAAAAGUUUAGAACUAAUUCUUCAUAAAAAUAAUUUUGUCCAAGUGUUAUUGUUUAAGAGUUUAUUUGAUAUUGAAUUAUGAAAGUAUUUUGAAUUAUUUUAACAUUUAAAAAAUAAUUUUUCUUUAAAUAUUAAAAAAUUUAAAAAUGCUUCUUAUAAUUAUUAUCAAAUAAACUCUAAAUACUAUAUAUUAAAAACAUAAUUACUAGAAUGACCUCUAAAUGAAUUCAUAUUUUAAGUACACCGAGAAUGAUAGAAUUCAGUAAUGGUGUUUUAAAUUAAAUUGGUAAAUAUUUUGGGAUUUUCCAUUUGAAUAAUUUUUAGAAGUGAAUAAAUUAUUUUUCAGCUCUAACAUAAACAAAUCCUGUUAUUGUGGUGUGGAAAAACCUUUGCUCAAGAGUCAAGAGCGGUGGUGGAGGCUUGAGUUACGUACCCAAGUUGAAUUUUUGUAAAAGGAUGUGGAGGAGUAGAGUACAAGGAAAAUUGAUUUGCGGACAAGACCAGUUAGUUAGUGAAGCUUGAUUAAAGUCGAAGUUUUGGUGUUUUCUCCCAAGACUUCCUUUGUAGUGGUCCAAAAAAUUGGUAAGGAAAUAUGACAGACAUCGAAAGAGGAUUUGGCUAAAAGUCAAUAACUAUUUGGAGCUAUGUUCCCUUCUCGGGGCGAUGGCGUUUGCUAGUAAUCUUUGACUCGCUCUUCCCCGUAGCUUCCAUAGCAGUCCAAACCGGUUGCUUGUUCAAGGAAAACACCGUAUAAAUAAGAGGGAAGUGGCUAAAAGUCUAACUAAUUAAAAUCGUAGUCAUUUAUUGUGUGGAAUAGCGGGACACAUACGUAUUGAAGUUGAACUUGUCCAUCAAUUAAAUCUAAUACAAUUUUCUUUUUCAAUCCAACUAUUACGUAAUAAAUUUUAAAUUUCAAAUAUAUUUGCUUUUAAAAUUUACUCAAACCAAUUUAAUAACUUACAAAUAACUAAUUCAAUAACUUGGACUUCUUUAAUAUAGUAUUGUCCAAGCAUAUAUUUGAUAUGUCUUUAAUUUAUUUUUAAUUGUGCUUCUAAGCUACGUUUGGUUCUCGAAAAAUUUGAGAGAAAAUUUAAAAGAAAAAAAUUACAGAUGAAAAAAAAUAAAAAAUAGUUUAAAUAUAAUAAAUUAUAUUUGAUUUGAUUUUCUAUUUUUUUUUAUAGUGAAACAAAAUAUGAGAAAACCAUUUUUAUUAAUAUUUUUUUUCUUUAGAACACUUUCCAACAUAACUUACCAUUUAUUUUUUUGGUCAUGCAAAAGUUGAUGUAAAAAAUAUAGUUAGUCUCUCUUAUAUCAUUCAUUUGAAAUUGAGUAGAUUAAUGGUGUUUGUUUUUUUGGUUUUUUACUUAAAGCAAUUUAGUUUUAGAAUUUAGGUUGUUUGUUUUUCUACUUUUUCAUGACUUAUUAUAAACUUUUUACUAAAUAGAAAAAGUCAAAAUAUGUAGCUUUUUCUAAGUAGGAAAAAUAACAUAUUGAUUUUUUUUACUUUUUAAUACUUAAUAGAAAUAAAAUACUACAAAAACAAAUAACCUAAUAUUUAACACUAUUAAGCAUUAAGGUUCUAUUUAGAAUUAAGUAAAAAAACAAACAUCAUCUUCACACUAAGUAAUAACCCUAUAUUAGUCCUAAUAAGUAAUAAAAUUCCUCUACUAAUACAUGGUAUGGAUAAAAUAUUUACUAAAUUAACAACAUGAAUGUAAGUAAUUUAGAUAUUAGUAGGAUAUAUUUUUGUCUUAAUUAUUUAAAAAUAUAAACAUAUUUAUAUUAGGUUCUUGCUUUUUAUAAAUAUUAAUUCAACAUUUUUAGUAAUUUUUUUUUUAAAUUUAAUAAUUACAUAACCAAAAGUAAAAAAAAAAAAAAAUCAUUUUAUGAUGAUUUUUUGUCAAUUUUCAAUGAUUUCUUUCUAGUUCUUUGUUUUCAGUAGGUUAUUGAGUUAAUAAAGAAAUAAUGAAAUAUAAUGUGAUUGGGUUUUGGGUAUUUUUUUUUUUUAUAAUUUGUUUAAAAAAAAUUAGAUAAUAAAAAUAUCAUAUAUAUAUAUUUUGUUAUAAAAUUUUUAAAAGGAAAAAAAUUGUUGCUAAAUAUGAUUUUCAAAAACAUUUAUCACAAUUUUAAUUCAAAAAAUUGAAAAAUAAAAGUGUAAUGGAAGAUACUACUAAUGUAGUACAAGCAAUAAAUAUUUUUACCCUUAGUUGUGAAAAAUAUAGAGGAAAGAAAUUUUAUGAUGUCUGUUUCUAGAAGGUUGUAGGAAACCUGUUUGCCACGCCAGCCUAUUAAUAUUUUCUUCUUCGAAAAUUAAGAAAUUAUGGCAUUUUUUUAAAAAAAAAUUAUGCUUAAAAAUAGUUUUUUAUUUAGAAUAUAAAACUUAAAUUUAAAGAAAUUGAGAAUAUAUUCUAAAACUGAAUUAUCUUUUAGAAUAAAUUUAAGGGUUUUUUUUUAUUAUGUUCUAUUAAAUAAUAAUUAUUAAAAAUAUGAAAAUUAUUUUUUUUUAAAAAUAUAUUAUAUAUGUGUAUGUCAACUUUAAGAAAAAUAAAUAAAUAAAUAAAUAUAUAUAUAUAUAUAUAUAUAUAUAUUUUAUGUCUGAGAUUUUAAACAAAAUUUUAUUUAUAAAAAUAAUUAAAAAUUAUGUUUUGCCUAACAUGCCUAUGUUCUAGUCGUCUACGGAGUUGGUUCGGGAUGGCAGUGGAAAAUAUACUUUAGAUAUUUUCUCUUCUCUAUAGUCAGAUGCUUCUGCGUAUUUUAAAUGGUAAAGACCAAAACUCAAUUAUGAUAUUAUCGAAAAUAGACCCAGUCCAAAGUGGUCAUUCAUACUGGCAUAGUUCCAGGAAGGUGAUCAACAUCAGGGCUGUCUCAUUCAAGAAAGGAAAUUUGCACCCACGUUUUCUAGAUACAUUCCUACUGUUCUGAUGAUUCGGUAUGCACGAAUUUAUGCAAAGGUUAGGCAGAUUUCUGAAAAUAAUAAAAAUGGUAAUGAAGUGGACCCUUCUCUCUGUAAAAUAUUUUAAAUAAAAAAUACUUAUUUUUCUAAAAAUAAGUAUUUUCAAUAUGUAAUAUAUGUUUUAAAAAAAAAAAUUAAUUUACAAGCUUAUUUAUUUUUAUUUCUUAAAAAUAUUAUCGGCUUUUGUUGAUAAGAUUUGAGGAAAGAAAAAGGGCCACCUCACAUCGACUCUUCCAUGCCCGCAGGCCCCAACGAAGUCGACCACAAAGAUGACGCUAUCUUUUGGAAUUUUUACAGGGAGGUUUUUUCACAUACACACCAACCCAAGCCCACCUUCACCCUAUAAAAACCCCCACCCGGUUCCUCACAGAUCACCCCACUCCAACCAUCAAGCCUAUAUAUCUUCCGAAACUCAACAAUGGGCCUCUGCAAAAUCCUCUCCAUUUCCUCAUUCCUUCUCACCACCCUAUUCUUCACCUCCAGCUAUGCAGCUACGUUCAACAUCCAAAACCAUUGCUCCUACACGGUUUGGGCUGCGGCAGUCCCAGGCGGGGGCAUGCAGCUUGGCUCAGGCCAAUCCUGGAGCCUCAAUGUGAAUGCCGGCACCACUGGAGGCCGUGUUUGGGCCCGUACCAACUGCAACUUCGAUGCGUCAGGGAAUGGGAAGUGUGAGACCGGGGACUGUGGUGGCCUCCUCCAAUGCACGGCCUAUGGUACACCCCCUAACACCUUAGCCGAAUUCGCACUUAACCAAUACAGCAACUUGGACUUCUUUGAUAUAUCUUUGGUUGAUGGAUUUAAUGUUGCUAUGGCCUUUAAUCCUACUUCCAAUGGGUGCACCCGUGGCAUCAGUUGCACCGCCGACAUCGUGGGAGAGUGCCCCGCUGCGCUAAAGACUACCGGUGGUUGCAACAACCCAUGCACCGUUUUCAAGACCGAUGAAUAUUGUUGCAAUUCUGGGAGCUGUAAUGCUACAACUUACUCCGAGUUUUUCAAGACUAGGUGCCCUGAUGCUUAUAGCUACCCUAAGGACGAUCAGACAAGCACCUUCACAUGCCCUUCCGGGACCAAUUAUGAAGUUAUCUUCUGCCCAUAAAUCUAUUAUUUAAAUCAUAUGCUAGUAUGCCUCUACUGGUCUCAACUAUUAGGAGGCAAUGGUAUCCACCUUGGGUUCCAAAAGCCUAGAGGAAUAAAGUUGAGCCCAUAUUCGUGGUCAUGUAUUAAGAUUUCUACACUAGUCGAAGCAAUGGAUGCCUUUUUUUAUAUAGAUAUAUGCUAUCUUCUUCUUCUAAUCUCUGUGGUCCCUUCCAAGUAACAUUUCAUAUAGAUAUAUGAAUUUUAAUGAUUAUUCUUCUUCAGAAUUCUUUUUUUUUUUUUUUUUGAAAAUGAAAUUAAGCUUAACAUGAACAAAAUUCUGCUAUCAUGGUACGGAGAAAUCUUUGCUUGAGAGCGGUGGUUGAGGAUUGAGUCACCUACCCAAGUCAAAUUUUUGUAACAAUUAGAUGUUCAUCUUUAGAGUACUACAAGGAAAAUUGAUGUGAGGAUAAAGACCAGUUAACGAAGCUUGACUGACGUCAAAAUUUUAUUUUAUUUCCUUUUCUCUAAUCCUACCUUGUAGCGGUCCAAAUUAAUUGUCUUGACAAGGAAAUAUAACACAUAGCCAAGGAGGAUUUGCCUAAAAGCCAUCAUCCUGUUUGAAAACUACCUCCCUUAUUGUGCACAUGACACUUUUUCUAAGGGGAAUAAUCCAACCAUACAUUGGACCAAUAAAAUAAGUAUUUUUGGGAUUUUAUUUUUACCUUCACAAAUUGAGUGCGUAAAGUGCGGGGGAAAAAAACUCAUUCAUGCAUUUCAAUAACACUUGUGAAUUUAUUCCAAAAUUACAUUCAAAGUACACCUAUCAUUUUUUUUUACAUCAACUCUCUCACACCUCCAUUUCACCCGCCAUGUUCAUACGGUUUUUUUAUCUCUCACCAACAUAUUCAUAGUCUCAUGUAUUUUCUUAUAAAACAUCUUUAAUUUCAAUUUUUUUUUCACUCUCUAAUCUCUCCAUAUUUAUUGAUUUUAAUCAUUUUUUAGACACAUUAAACUUAAAAUGAUAAUAUAUAAUAAAUAAUUAAUAAUAAAAAAUUAAAUAAAAACAUAAUAUUUAAUGAACAAAAAUUAAAAUAUUAUCUCACAAAUAAUAUACUUGAUAAUUUUAAAUAUUAAUUAUAAUAAUGUUUAAGAUUUAAAUUUAAAAAUUAUGUUUUUAUUAUUUAGAGGCUUAUGAUAUAAUUUUUUUUAUAUUAAUACUAAAUAAAAGAUUUAUUGAUUUUGUAAAUCUUAUCAUACGUAAAAGUAAAAAAUAUCUUUGUAAUAUUAUUUUAUUAUUUUUAUUUUGAUAUAAAAUUUUUCAUUUGUAAUAUUAUUUUAUUAUUUUUAUUUUGAUAUAAAAUUUUUCAUAUCAAAAUCACAAUAAGUGAUAGUAGUUUUUUUUUUGUUAUGGUUUUAAUUGUGGUUUUAACUUUUUACUUGGUUAAAUUUUUUAAUUUUUUAUCAAGAUAAAAUAUAAAAGAAAAUAUGUUUUUUCAUAAAAAAAAAAUACAUUGUUUUAGGGAAAUUGAGAUACUUAUCUCUUUUAUCAUGAUGCAUAUACUCCUUUUGGAAUUCUCGGGAAGUGUUUUUAAAUUCUCUCCCACCUCGAAAAAGACUUUGAAACUUCAAGUAAGAAAAAUAAAUACAUCCUUUAAGAAAAAUGGAUUUUCUUUGAAUUGGUUGCCUCACAAUAUUUUAAAUGAUAAAGACUAAAAUUCAAUUAUGAUAUUAUCGAAAAUAGUCCCAAUCUAACGACUAGUCAAGAUAUUUGAAGUGGCCAAUCGUAUUGGAAGAAUUCCAGGAAGGUGCUCAACAGGGUUGUCUCAUUCAAAUAAGGAAAUUUGAAAUAAAUUUUCUCAAUACCAUGCACCCACGUUUUCUAGAUACAUUCCUACUGUUCUCAGAAUUGAGUGCUCAUGAAUUUACAUAGAAGUUAGGCAGAUUUCUGGAAAUAAUAAAAAUGAUAAUCACGUAGAACCUUGUCUCUGUAAAUUAUUUUAAAUAAAAAAUACUUAUUUUUCUAAAAAUAAGUAUUUUCAAAAUGUAAUAUAUGUUUUUUUUUUUUUUAAAUAAUAAUAAUUUACAAGCUUUUUUAUUUUUAUUUCUUAAAAAAAUUAUGGGCUUUUGUUGAUAAGAUUUGAGGAAAAACAAAAAGGGCCACACUACAUUGACUCUUCCAUGCCUACAGGCCACAACGAAGUCGACCACAAAGAUGACGCCAUCUUUUGGAAUUUUUACAGGACGGUUUUUCCACAUACACACCAACCCAAGCCCACCUUCACCCUAUAUAAACCCCCACCCAUUUCCUCACAGAUCACCCCACUCCAACCAUCAAGCCUAUCUUCCGAUCCUCAACAAUGGGCCUCUGCAAAAUCCUCUCCAUUUCCUCAUUCCUUCUCACCGCCCUAUUCUUCACCCCCAGCUAUGCAGCCACCUUCAACAUCCAAAACCAUUGCUCCUACACGGUUUGGGCUGCGGCAGUCCCAGGCGGGGGCAUGCAGCUUGGCUCAGGCCAAUCCUGGAGCCUCAAUGUGAAUGCCGGCACCACUGGAGGCCGUGUUUGGGCCCGUACCAACUGCAACUUCGAUGCAUCAGGGAAUGGGAAGUGUGAGACCGGGGACUGUGGUGGCCUCCUCCAAUGCACGGCCUAUGGUACACCCCCUAACACCUUAGCCGAAUUCGCACUUAACCAAUUCAGCAACUUGGACUUCUUUGAUAUAUCUUUGGUUGAUGGAUUUAAUGUGCCUAUGGCCUUUAAUCCUACUUCCAAUGGGUGCACCCGUGGCAUCAGUUGCACCGCCGACAUCGUGGGAGAGUGCCCCGCUGCGCUAAAGACUACCGGUGGUUGCAACAACCCAUGCACCGUUUUCAAGACCGAUGAAUAUUGUUGCAAUUCUGGGAGCUGUAGUGCUACAGAUUACUCAAGGUUUUUCAAGACUAGGUGCCCUGAUGCUUAUAGCUACCCUAAGGACGAUCAGACAAGCACCUUCACAUGCACUGCCGGUACCAAUUAUGAAGUUGUCUUCUGCCCAUAAAUCUAUUAUUUAAAUCAUAUGCUAGUAUGCCUCUACUAGUCUCAACUAUUAGGAGGCAAUGGUUUCCACCUUGGGUUCCAAAAGCCUAGAGGAAUAAAGUUGGGCACAUUUUCGUGGUCAUGUAACAAGAUUUCUACACUAGUAGAAGUAAUGGAUGUUUUUUUUUUUUAUAUAUAUAUAUAUAUAUAUAGAUUUAUGCGAUCUUCUUUCUUUCUAACCUCUAUGGUCCCGUCCAAGUAAUAUUUCAUAUAUAUUUUAUUCUAUAUAAUAUCUGCGGAUAAGAUCGGUUAAUGAAGCUUGACUAAAGUCAAAAUUUUAUUUUAUUUCAUUAUCCUACUU
Molecule: long non-coding RNA, 134860 nt
Filed under: Vitis vinifera (wine grape)
Lineage: Eukaryota; Viridiplantae; Streptophyta; Magnoliopsida; Vitales; Vitaceae
Description: long non-coding RNA (VVIN_LNC000377)
Source: RNAcentral